This 100221-nucleotide long non-coding RNA is filed under the name Triticum aestivum (bread wheat). Its description in RNAcentral is "long non-coding RNA (TAES_LNC019749)". The stretch from base 84185 to 84320 matches the Rfam family "MIR1120/MIR1122 microRNA precursor family". Lineage: Eukaryota; Viridiplantae; Streptophyta; Magnoliopsida; Poales; Poaceae. The record is from RNAcentral.
UUUUUUUUUUUUUGGUUACAGAACGUAUAUCGUUCAACACCAUGUGCGUAUGUUGUGAGCGUGAAGAUAAUGCGUCCAUGGCGCCGGUCUAUUUCUGGGUCUGACGACAAUCGAUAAAAAUUUUGUGGCUUCAGAAUGGUCAGCAAGGAAGAACUGCGAUCCACUUUAAAUCUCCACAUGAGGCUCUUGAUCUCGAUCCAGCUAGCCAUUUAUCAUAGUAACGUGGACGAGAGAAACUGCCAGGAAACUAACCUGAACAUGCAACAGUCUGCUGAUGAGACCGGACACGAUCGAUAUGCUCCACGGCCGUGUGGACUUUGGAGCUAGAUCACCAAUCGACCACGUCGGCCACCCCCUAUAUAUUUACCGGCUCGUACUACGUACAUGUGGCGUCCGUGUGUCGGUGCGUGCACCUGACUUGACCAACUGCUGGUGCAACGCUCUGAACUUUUCGACGCUUGUAGCUUAGCUUGCUUGACACCACUUUGGCUUAACUGGAAAUGGUUGACCUGUGUGUGAUGAAUUACUUUUAUAUAUAAGGAUAGGUCAAACUCAGUGGUUUGGCACAGUGGGGCAACACGUUAUGUGUCGUUGUCUUUUGGUAUUUCCUUACUUCACGUGAAGUCCUGUUUGCGUAUGUUCUCCUCCUUGCCGACACAGUGACACCACGUGAAACGUGGGAGGAUGAACAGAGGGCCAGGUGGACCGCCACUUAAUCUGGAGACAAGUUUUCCCUUCUUCUUUUUAGCCUGAAUCUAGAUCCAAGUUUUUUUUUAAAUACAAAUCUAGAUCCAAGAUGUUAGAUAAGUGUAAGCCAUUUUGUUCGAGAAAAAGGAGCCACUAAAUGAUGACUCAAUAUUUUCUUUAAAUUAUCUAAAAAAUACAUUUUGUUUACCAUCAACAAGAUGUCUGGACACGUGAAAGUAAGAUACUGUGAUACGUCUCCAAUGUAUAUAUUAUUUUUGAUUGUUCCAUACUAUUAUAUUAUCUGUUUUGGAUGUUUAAUGGGCUUUACUAUGCAUUUUUAUAUUAUUUUUGGGACUAACCAAAGGUCCAGUGCAAAUUGCUGUUUUUUGCCUAUUUCAGUGUUUCACAGAAAACGAAUAUCAAACGAAAUCCAAACGGAAUGAAACCUUCGGAAGAGUUAUUUUUGGAACAAAUGCAAUCCAGGAGACUUGGAGUGGACGUCAAGGAAGCAACGAGGCGGCCAUGAGGUAAGGAGGCGCGCCCCCCACCCUCGUGGGCCCCUCGUGGCUUCACCGACCUACUUCUUUCGUCUAUAUAUACUCAUAUACCCUGAAAACAUCCGAGAGCACCACGAAACCUUAUUUCCACCGCCGCAACCUUCUGUACUCAUGAGAUGUCAUCUUGGGGCCUUUUCCGGCGCUCCGCCGGAGGGGGAAUCGAUCACAGAGGGCUUCUACAUCAACACCAUAGCCUCUCCGAUGAUGUGUGAGUAGUUUACCACAGACCUUCGGGACCAUAGUUAUUAGCUAGAUGGCUUCUUCUCUCUCUUUGGAUCUCAAUACAAAGUUUUCCUCGAUUCUCUUGGAGAUCUAUUCGAUGUAAUUCUUUUUGCAGUGUGUUUGUCGAUGAUGUGAUUGACUUGAGCCAUUCCGGUAGCUUAGCACACGAUCGUUUAGUAUUCUGCUAUUGCUUCCUUCAUGAGUUAUACAUGUUCCUCUGACUAUGAGAUUAUGCAACUCCCGAAUACCGGAGGAACACCAUGUGUGCUAUCAAACGUCGCAACAUAACUGGGUGAUUAUAAAGAUGCUCUACAGGUGUCUCCGAAGGUGUUUAUUGAUUUGGCAUAGAUCAAGAUUAGGAUUUGUCACUCCGUGUAUCGGAGAGGUAUCUCUGGGCCCUCUCGGUAAUGCACAUCACUAUAAAGCCUUGCAAGCAAUGUGACUAAUGAGUUAGUUGCGGGAUGAUGCAUUACGGAACGAGUAAAGAGACUUGCUGGUAACGAGAUUGAACUAGGUAUGAGGAUACCGACGAUCGAAUCUUGGGCAAGUAACAUACCGAUGACAAAGGAACAACGUAUGUUGUUAUGCGGUUUGACCGAUAAAGAUCUUCGUAGAAUAUGUAGGAGCCGAUAUGAGCAUCCAGGUUCUGCUAUUGGUUAUUGACCGGAGAUGUGUCUCGGUCAUGUCUACAUAGUUCUCGAACCCGUAGGGUCCGCACGCUUAACGUUCGAUGACGAUUUGUAUUAUGAGUUAUGUGAUUUGAUGACCGAAGUUUGUUCGGAGUCCCGGAUGAGAUCACAGACAUGACGAGGAGUCUCGAAAUGGUCGAGAGGUAAUAUAUUGGAAGGCUAUAUUCGGACAUCCGAAUAGUUCCGAGUGAUUCGGGUAUUUUUCAGAGAACCGGGGAGUUACGGGAAUUCACCGAGGAAGUAUUGGGCCUUAUUGGGCUUUAGUGGAAAGGAGACAAGGGCCACAAGGGGAGGCAGCGCGCCCCCAUGGGCUGGUCCGAAUUGGACUAGGAGGGGGCGGCGCCCCCCUCUUUCCUUCUCUCUCUCCUCCUCCUUCCCUCUCUCCACCUCUUGGAAAAAGGAAGGGGACUCCAAUUAGGAUUGGGGAUCCUAGUUGGACUCCCCAUAUAGGCGGGCCCCUCCUAGGCCGGCCUCCUCCUCCUCCCUUCUUUAUAUACGGGGGAGGGGGGCACCCCAAAGACACACCAAAGUUUCUCUUAGCCGUGUGCGGUGCCCCUCUCCACAGCUACACACCUCGGUCAUAUCGUCGUAGUGCUUAGGCGAAGCCCUACGCCGGUAACUUCAUCAUCACCGUCACCACGCCGUCGUGCUGACGGAACUCUCCCUCGUCCUCAACUGGAUCAAGAGUUCGAGGGACGUCAUCGAGCUGAACGUGUGCUGAACGCGAAGGUGUCGUACGUUCGGUACUUGGAUCGGUUGGAUCUAGAAGACGUUCGACUACAUCAACCGCGUUACUUAACGCUUCCGCUUUCAGUCUAUGAGGGUACGUGGACACACUCUCCCCGCUCGUUGUUAUGCUUCUCCUAGAUGGAUCUUGCGUGAUCGUAGGAAUUUUUUUGAAAUUACUUCGUUCCCCAACAGUGGCAUCUGAGCCAGGUCUAUGCGUAGAUGUUAUAUGCACAAGUAGAACACAAAGAGUUGUGGGCGAUAAUAGUCAUUGUGCUUACCAGCAACGUCUUACUUUGAUUCGGCGGCAUUGUUGGAUGAAGCGGCCCGGACCGACAUUACAUGAUCGCAUUCAUGAGACUGGUUCUACCGACGUGCUUCACACACAGGUGGCUAGCGGGUGUCUAUUUCUCCAACUUUAGUUGAAUCGAGUUUGACUACGCCCGGUCCUUGUUGAAGGUUAAAACAGCACACUUGACGAAAAAUCGUUAUGGUUUUGAUGCGUAGGUAAGAACGGUUCUUGCUAAGCCCGUAGCAGUCACGUAAAACUUGCAACAACAAAGUAGAGGACGUCUAACUUGUUUUUGCAGGGCUUGUUGUGAUGUGAUAUGGUCAAGACAUGAUGAUAUAUAAAUUGUUGUAUGAGAUGAUCAUGUUUUGUAAAAGUUAUCGGCAACUGGUAGGAGCCUUAUGGUUGUCGCUUUAUUGUAUGAAAUGCAAUCGCCAUGUAAGCUUUACUUUAUCACUAAGCGGUAGCGAUAGUCGUAGAAGCAAUAAUUGGCGAGACGACAACGAUGCUACGGUGGAGAUCAAGGUGUCAAGCCGGUGACGAUGGUGAUCAUGACGGUGCUUUGGAGAUGGAGAUCAAAGGCACAAGAUGAUGAUGGCCAUAUCAUAUCACUUAUAUUGAUUGCAUGUGAUGUUUAUCCUUUAUGCAUCUUAUUUUGCUUAGUACGGCGUAGCAUUAUAAGAUGAUCCCUCACUAAAUUUCAAGGUAUAAGUGUUCUCCCUGAGUAUGCACCGUUGCGACAGUUCGUCGUGCCGAGACACCACGUGAUGAUCGGGUGUGAUAAGCUCUACGUUCACAUACAACGGGUGCAAGCCAGUUUUGCACACGCAGAAUACUCGGGUUAAACUUGAGGAGCCUAGCAUAUGCAGAUAUGGCAUCGGAACACUGAGAUCGGAAGGUCGAACGUGAAUCAUAUAUUAGAUAUGAUCAACAUAGUGAUGUUCACCAUUGAAAACUAUUCCAUCUCACGUGAUGACCGGACAUGGUUUAGUUGAUAUGGAUCACGUGAUCAUUUAGAUGACUAGAGGGAUGUCUAUCUAAGUGGGAGUUCUUAAGUAAUAUGAUUAAUUGAACUUAAAUUUAUCAUGAACUUAGUCCUGAUAGUAUUUGCAUAUCUAUGUUGUAGAUCAAUAGCUUGCGAUGUAGCUCCCCGUUUAUUUUUUAUAUGUUCCUAGAGAAAAAUAAGUUGAAAGAUGAUAGUUGCAAUGAUGCGGACUUGGUCCGUGAUGUGAGGACUUAUUGCUACACAGAAGAAUUAUGUCCUUGAUGCACCGCUAGGUAACGGACCUAUUGCAGGAGUAGAUGCAGACGUUAUGGACAUUUGGCAAAGCUCGGUAUGAUGACUACUUGAUAGUUUUGUGCACCAUGCUUUACGGCUUAGUAUCAGGACUUCAAAAACCGUUUUGAAUGCCACGCGGCAUAUAAGAUGUUCCAAGAGCUGAAUUGGUAUUUCAGACUCAUGCCCGAGUCGAGAGGUAUGAGACCUCUGACAAAUACUUUGCCUACAAGAUGGAGGAGAAUAGCUCAACCAGUGAGCAUGUGCUCAAAUUGUCUCGGUACUACAAUCGCUUGAAUCAAGUGGGAGUUAAUAUUCCAGAUAAUGUAGUAAUUGAUAGUGUUCUCUAGUCACUAUCACCAAGCUACUAGAACUUCAUGGUGAACUAUAAUAUGCAAGGGAUGACGAAAACGAUUCCCGAGCUCGUCGCGAUGCUGAAAUCGGCGAAGGUAGAAAUCAAGAAAAAGCAUCAAGUGUUGAUGGUUGACAAAACCACUAGUUUCAAGUAAAAGGGCAAAGGAAAAGAAAGGGAACUUCAAGAAGAAUGGCAAGCAAGUUUCCACUCCCAUGAAGAAACCCAAAGCUAAACCCAAGCCUGAAACUAAGUGCUUCUACUGCAAAGGAAAUGGCCACUGGAAGUGGAACUACCCUAGAUACUUGGUGGAUAAGAUGGAUGGCAAAGUGAACAAAGCUAUAUUUGAUAUACAUGUUAUUGAUGUGUACUUUACUAGUGUUCAUAGCAACCCCUCGGUAUUUGAUACUGGUUCAGUUGCUAAGAGUAGUAACACGAAAACAGGAGUUGUAAGAUAAACAGAGACUAGUUAAGGACGAGGUGACGAUGUGUAUUGGAAAUGAUUCCAAGCUUUAUAAGAUCACCAUCGCAUACUCCUUUUACCUUCGGGAUUAGUGUUGAACCUAAAAUAAAUGUUAUUUGGUGUUUGCGUUGACCAUGAAUAUGAUUGGAUCAUGUUUAUUGCAAUACAGUUAUUCAUUUAAGUCAAAGAAUAAUUGUUGUUAUGUUUACAUGAAUAAAACAUUCUAUGGUCAUACACUUAAUAUAAAUGGUUUAUUGAAUCUCGAUUGUAGUGAUACACAUAUUCAUAAUAUUGAAGCCAAAUGAUGCAAGGUUAAUAAUGAUAGUGCAACUUAUUUGUGGCACUACUGUUUAGGUCAUAUUGGUGUAAAGCGCAUGAAGAAACUCCAUGCAGAUGGACUUUUGGAAUCACUUGAUUAUGAAUCAUUUGAUGCUUGCGAACCAUGCCUCAUGGGCAAGAUGACUAAAACUCCGUUCUCCGAAACAAUGGAGCGAGCCACUGACUUAUUGGAAAUAAUACAUUUUCGAUGUAUGCGGUCCAAUGAGUGUAGAGGCUCGUGGCGGGUAUCCUUAUUUUCUGACCUUCACAGAUGAUUUGACCAUAUCUACUUAAUGAAACACAAGUCUGAAACAUUUGAAAAGUUCAAAGAAUUUCAGAGUGAAGUGGAGAAUCAUCGUAACAAGAAAAUAAAGUUUUUACGAUCUGAUCGCGGAGGCGAAUAUUUGAGAUACGAGUUUGGCCUUCAUUUAAUGUGGAAUAGUUUCACAAACUCACGCUACCUGGAACACCACAGCGUAAUGGUGUGUCCGAACGUCGUAACCGUACUUUAUUAUAUAUGGUGCGACUUAUGAUGUCUCUUACCGAUUCACCACUAUCGUUUUGGGGUUAUGCAUUAGAGACAGCUGCAUUCACUUUAAAUAGGGCACCAUCUAAAUCCGUUGAGACAACACCAUAUGAACUAUGGUUUGGCAAGAAACCCAAGUUGUCGUUUCUUAAAGUUUGGGGCUGCGAUGCUUAUGUGAAAAAACUUCAACCUGAUAAGCUCGAACCCAAAUCGGAGAAAUGCAUCUUCAUAGGAUACCCAAAGGAGACUGUUGGGUACACCUUCUAUCACAGAUCCAAAGGAAAGAUUUUCGUUGCUAAGAAUGGAUUCUUUCUACAGAAGGAAUUUCUCUCGAAAGCAGUGAGUAGGAGGAAAGUAGAACUUGAUGAGGUAAUUGUACCUUCUGCCGAAUUGGAGAGUAGUUCAUCACAAAAAUCAGUUCCAGUGAUACCUACACCAAUUAGUGAGGAAGUUAAUGAUGAUGAUCAUGAAACUUCGGAUCAAGUUACUCCCGAACCUCGUAGGUCAACCAGAGUACAUUCCGCAUCAGAGUGGUACGGUAAUCCAAUUCUGGAAGUCAUGUUACUAGACCAUGACGAACCUACGAACUAUGAGGAAGCGAUGAUGAGCCCAGAUUCCGCGAAAUGGCUUGAGGCCAUGAAAUCUGAGAUGGGAUCCAUGUAUGAAAACAAAGUAUGGACUUUGAUUGACUUGCCCGAGGAUCGGCGAGCCAUUGAGAAUAAAUGGAUUUUCAAGAGCAAGGCGGACGCUGAUAGCAGUGUUACUAUCUACAAAGCUCGAAUUGUCGCAAAAGGUUUUCGACAAGUUCAAGGUGUUGACUACGAUGAGAUUUUCUCACUCGUAUCGAUGCUUAAAGUCUGUCCGAAUCAUGUUAGCAAUUGCCGCAUUUAUGAAAUCUGGAAAAUGGAUGUCAAAACUGCAUUCCUUAAUGGAUUUAUUUAAGAAGAGUUGUAUAUGAUGCAACCAGAAGGUUUUCUCAAUCCUAAAGGUGCUAACAAAGUGUGCAAGCUCCAGCGAUCCAUCUAUGGACUGGUGCAAGCAUCUCGGAGUUAGAAUAUAUGCUUUGCUAAGAUGAUCAAAGUAUAUGGUUUAUAAAGACUUAUGGUGAAGCCUGUAUUUACAAGAAAGUGAGUGGGAGCACUACAACCUUUCUGAUAAGUAUAUGUGAAUGACAUAUUAUUGAUCGGAAAUGAUGUAGAAUUAUCAGGAAAGCAUAAAGGAGUGUUUGAAAGGAGUUUUUCAAAGAAAGACCUCGGUGAAAGCUGCUUACAUAUUGAGCAUCAAGAUCUAUAGAGAUAGAUCAAGACGCUUGAUAAGUUUUUUCAAUGAGUACAUACCUUGACAAGAUUUUGAAGUAGUUCAAAAUGGAACAGUCAAAGAAGGAGUUCUUGCCUGUGUUGAAAGGUGUGAAGUUGAGUAAAGACUCAAAACCCGACCACGGCAGAAAAUAGAAAGAGAAUGAAAAGUCAUUUCCUAUGCCUCAGUCAUAGGUUCUAUAAAGUAUGCUAUGUUGUGUACCAGACCUAUUGUGCAACUCACCAUGAGUUUGGUAAGAGGGUACAAUAGUGAUCCAGGAGUAGAUCACUGGACAGCGGUCAAAAUUAUCCUUAGUGGAACAAGGAUAUAUUUCUCAGUUAUGGAGGUGAUAAAGAGUUCGUCGUAAAGAGUUACGUCGAUGCAAGCUUUGACACCGAUCUGGAUGACUCUGAGUCUCGAUCUAGAUACAUAUUGAAAGUGGUAGCAAUUAGCUAGAGUAGCUCCGUGCAGAGCAUUGUAGACAUAGAAAUUUGCAAAAUACAUACGGAUCUGAAUGUUGCAGACCCGUAGACUAAAAUUUAUCUCACAAGCAAAACAUGAUCACACCUUAAUGCUCCUGGGUGUUAAUCACAUAGCAAUGUGAACUAGAUUAUUGACUCUAGUAAACCCUUUGAGUGUUGGUCACAUGGCGAUGUGAACUAUGGGUGUUAAUCACAUGGUGAUGUGAACUAUUGGUGUUAAAUCACAUGGCGAUGUGAACUAGAUUAUUGACUCUAGUGCAAGUGGGAGACUGAAGGAAAUAUGCCCUAGAAGCAAUAAUAAAGUUAUUAUUUUAUUUCCUUAUAUCAUGAUAAAUGUUUAUUAUUCAUUCUAGAAUUGUAUUAACCAGAAACUUAGUACAUGUGUGAAUACAUAGACAAACAGAGUGUCCCUAGUAUGCCUCUACUUGACUAGCUUGUUUAUCAAAGAUGGUUAUGUUUCCUGACCAUAGACAUGUGUUGUCAUUUGAUGAACGGGAUAUCAUUAGAGAAUGAUGUGAUGGACAAGACCCAUCCGUUAGCUUAGCUUUAUGAUUGUUUAUUUUUAUUGCUAUUGCUUUCUUCAUGACUUAUACAUGUUCCUCUGACUAUGAUAUUAUACAACUCCCGAAUACCGGAGGAACACCUUGUGUGCUAUCAAACGUCACAACGUAACUGGGUGAUUAUAAAGAUGCUCUAUAGGUGUCUCCGAAGGUGUUUGUUGAGUUAGCAUAGAUCGAGAUUACGAUUUGUCACUCCGUGUGUCAGAGAGGUAUCUCUGGGCCCUCUCGAUAAUGCACAUCACUAUAAGCCUUGCAAGCAAUGUGACUAAUGAGUUAGUUGCGGGAUGAUGCAUUACGGAACGAGUAAAGAGACUUGCCGGUAACGAGAUUGAACUAGGUAUGAGGAUACCGACGAUCGAAUCUCGGGCAAGUAACAUACCGAUGACAAAGGGAACAACGUAUGUUGUUAUGCGGUUUGACCGAUAAAGAUCUUCGUAGAAUAUGUAGGAGCCAAUAUGAGCAUCCAGGUUCCGAUAUUGGUUAUUGACCGGAGAUGUGUCUCGGUCAUGUCUACAUAGUUCUCGAACCCGUACGGUCCGCACGCUUAACGUUCGAUGACGAUUUGUAUUAUGAGUUAUGUGAUUUGAUGACCGAAGUUUGUUCGGAGUCCUGGAUGAGACCACGGACAUGACGAGGAGUCUCGAAAUGGUCGACAGGUAAAGAUUCAUAUAUUGGAAGGCUAUAUUCGGACAUCGGAAUAGUUCCGAGUGAUUCGGGUAUUUUUCGGAGAACUCGGGAGUUACGGGAAUUCACCGGGGGAAGUAUUGUUGGAAAUAUGCCCUAGAGGCAAUAAUAAAAUGGUUAUUGUUAUAUUUCCUUGUUCAUGAUAAUUGUCUAUUGUUCAUGCUAUAAUUGUGUUAUCCGGAAAUCGUAAUACAUGUGUGAAUACAUAGACCAUAACAUGUCCCUAGUGAGCCUCUAGUUGACUAGCUCGUUGAUCAAUAGAUGGUGACGAUUUCCUGACCAUGGACAUUGGAUGUCAUUGAUAACGGGAUCACAUCAUUAGGAGAAUGAUGUGAUGGACAAGACCCAAUCCUAAGCAUAGCACAAGAUCGUGUAGUUCGUCUGCUUAAAGCUUUUCUAAUGUCAAGUAUCAUUUCCUUAGACCAUGAGAUUGUGCAACUCCCGGAUACCGUAGGAAUGCUUUGGGUGUGCCAAACGUCACAACGUAACUGGGUGGCUAUAAAGGUGCACUACGGGUAUCUCCGAAAGUGUCUGUUGGGUUGGCACGAAUCGAGACUGGGAUUUGUUACUCCAUGUGACGGAGAGGUAUCUCUGGGCCCACUUGGUAGGACAUCAUCAUAAUGAGCUCAAUGUGAUCAAGGAUUUGAUCACGGGAUGAUGUGUUACGGACGAGUAAAGAGACUUGCCGGUAACGAGAUUGAACAAGGUAUAGGAAUACCGACGAUCAAAUCUCGGGCAAGUAUCAUACCGGUAGACAAAGGGAAUUGUAUACGGGAUUGAUUGAAUCCACGACAUCGUGGUUCAUCCGAUGAGAUCAUCGUGGAACAUGUGGGAGCCAACAUGGGUAUCCAGAUCCCGCUGUUGGUUAUUGGCCGGAGAGAUGUCUCGGUCAUGUCUACAUGCCUCCCGAACCCGUAGGGUCUACACACUUAAGGUUCGAUGACGCUAGGGUUAUAGGGAAAGUUUGUACGUGGUUACCGAAUGUUGUUCGGAGUCCCGGAUAAGAUCCCGGAUGUCACGAGGAGUUCCGGAAUAGUCCGGAGGUGAAGAUUUAUAUAUGGGAAGUCAUCAUACGAUCACCGGAAGUAUUCGGGGGUUUGCCGGUGUUGUACCGGGACCACCGAAGGGGUUCCGGGGGUCCACCUACCCCGGAGGGCCCUAUGGGCUGUAUGUGGAAGGGAACCAGCCCCUAAGUGGGCUGGGCGCCAUCCCCCCUAGGGCCCAUGCGCCUAGGGUUGGUGGGAACCCUAAAGGGGGCGCCCCCUUGGCUUGGGGGCAAGCCCCCUCCCCUUGGCCGCCGCCCCCCCUCUAGAUCUCAUCUAGAGGGGCCGGCCCCCUUUCCCCUUCGCCCUAUAAAUAGAGGGGUGGAGGGAGGGCAGCCGCACCACAUCCAAGGCGCAGCCCUCCCCCUCUCCAACACCUCCUCCUCCUUCCGCAGUGCUUGGCGAAGCCCUGCCGGAGUACCACGCUGCUCCAACACCACCACACCGUUGUGCUGCUGCUAGAGUUGUCUUCCCCAUCCUGUCCCUCUCUCCUUGCUGGAUCAAGGCGUGGGAGACGUCACCGGGCUGCACGUGUGUUGAACGCGGAGGCGCCGUUGUUCGGCGCUUAGAUCGGAAUCAACCGUGAUCUGAAUCGCUACGAGUACGACUCCUUCAUCCGCGUUCUUGUAACGCUUCCGCAUCGCGAUCUUCAAGGGUAUGAAGAUGCACUCCCCUCUCUCUCGUUGCUAGUCUCUCCAUAGAUUGAUCUUGGUGAUGCGUAGGAUUUUUUAAAUUUCUGCAACGAUCCCCAACAAGUAUUGGGCCUUAUUGGGCUUUAGUGAAAAGGAGAGAAGUGCCACAAGAGGAGGCAGCGCCCCCCCCCCAUGGGCUGGUCCGAAUUGGACUAGGAGGGGGCGGCGCCCCCCUCUUUCCUUCUCUCUCUCCUCCUCCUUCCCUCUCUCCACCUCUUGGAAAAAGGAAGGGGACUCCAACUAGGAUUGGGAAUCCUAGUUGGACUCCCCCUAUAGGCGCGCCCCUCCUAGGCCGGCCUCCUCCUCCUCCCUCCUUUAUAUACGGGGGUGGGGGCACCCCAAAGACACAUCAAAGUUUCUCUUAGCUGUGUGCGGUGGGCCCCUCCACAGUUACACACCUCGGUCAUAUCGUCGUAGUGCUUAGGCGAAGCCCUGCGCCGGUAACUUCAUCAUCACCAUCACCACGUCGUCGUGCUGACGGAACUCUCCCUCGUCCUCAACUGGAUCAAGAGUUCGAGGGACGUCAUCAAGCUGAACGUGUGCUGAACGCGGAGGUGUCGUACGUUCGGUACUUGGAUCGGUUGGAUCGAGAAGACGUUCGACUACAUCAACCGCGUUACUAAACGCUUCCGCUUUCGGUCUAUGAGGGUACGUGGACACACUCUCCCUGCUCGUUGCUAUGCUUCUCCUAGAUAGAUCUUGCGUGAUCGUAGGAAAGUUUUUGAAAUUACUUCGUUCCCCAACACCCCUGUCCUUGGCGUUUGGUCAUAAUUAUGUCAUAAAUGCGACCACAUCGACGACAUAUCUUCCUGUCGGUGUAAAAACCGGUGAACCUCUGGGUAGGGGCUCCCAAGCUGUGGACCUCGAACAGAUGGUAACGGGAACAAGGAGAUGAUGUUUACCUAGGUUCGGUCCCUUUUGAUGGAGGUAAAACCCGAUGUCCUGCUCUUUGUUUAUAUUGAUCUAGAUGUAUCAAGUACAUACUUGAUCUACCUCGAGAUUGUGAGAUGUGUUCUAACUCUAGGGCUAUGUGAAUGAGAUUGCCUUGAUGGCCCCUCUAUGGGCUAAACCCCUUGUCUUAUAUACACGCCAGGUAGGGUGUCUAGCGUAGAGGUGGUGAGAGAAGUCUUGGAGUAUACGACAAGUCUUUGGUAGAUGUGGUCUCAAUCUUCUCCCCAGCGUGCGGCCUUCGGUGUCCAUCUUGAGGAGAAUGAGGGCCCGCCGGCCCAAUCCGAGGAGCGUGGGCCGGCUAGGUUAGACCCCCUAAUCUAGGACACCGUCACUUCCCUUUCGCCCCUCCUCCUGAAGCAGAGCGUUUUCACCAGCUCAUAGUCAUUUCCACAUCUGCAUUGCCAAACAACUAACUUUCACUACAGUAGCUUCCUCAGCACAACAACUUUGCCAACAUAGCAAGUCCAGGGCUGGAUUUUUCAACGUUGCACCCCAAACAAACAGGGCCUUAGUGGCAUUUCUAAGUUAACAAAACUCUUAGUGGUGUUUCUUAGUAGUGUUUCACUAGUGACUUAACAUCAAAAGCAACUAUGAAUAUGUCUCGAAGAGGGGCAAUUAAAGAAAAAAUUAAGCAAAAGAAACCUAUGAUUGGAUUUCUUGUAGAGUAACAAGCACAACUUAUCUCUACCAUAUGAAUAUUGUGAUGUACUAUAUGAAGAGUAGGCAAUGCGCAGCUAACUAGCAACGACACAAUGUUACUCAUCGACAUCCUUCAUCCUUGUAAUGCUGAAAUGUGCAAUCAUAUUUUGACACAAAUGCCAUCCUUCAUGCAGAGUAACACAACGUGGCUAACCAAGACCACACCUAUUUGAAACUCAUCCAGAGAUCCUUCCAAGGCACUGAUACUCUGCAUGCCCAAGUGAUUCGCCAGCUCAUCCAGCAGGAGUACAUGAGGACGUGACAUCCAUAUCAAAGCGGUCAUGACAUGGACCUUCUAAGAGCAUCUCUAACAAAAACACUAAAAGGCUUUAACUCCUCAAAAGAUUCUCUUUGAGGAUUUAAAGCCUUUCUAACCGAACCCUGAACUGGUCUAACUCCUAAAUUUUUUGAGAGAAGUGACCCUCCCUCCUCAAAUUUGAGCAACCCAAAUCGAUUCUCAGUAGAGGAUUCCCUCGUCCGUGUCCAUUUCUCUCACUAAGCCUCGUCCACACUGGUGCAUCCUCCGUCGUGUUCUUUGCCUUCCACUUGCUCUUGGCAGCUUCUUUGCUAUCCUUAGAGCAUCUACAGCCGGGCGCCCCAAACUCUCCCCCCUAAAUGCCCGGGUGGAGAGCCUAGUAACUGACUGGUCAAAAAAUACUUGACCCGGACGGAUGCCUCAUACCGGCCUCAGACGCCAGGGCUGACCGGCAACCCUCAUAUCUAGCCCAAAUCUGCGGCCAUUAUAGGGAGGCCCGGGCGUGUCGGCCACGUCAGAUCAGGCCCACACUGGCCCACCCCGACCCCACAAAUAUUCCUUCCCAUCCUCUUCCCGGACCAGACCCUAGCCACUACACUCUGCUUCGCUUCGCCCCCAAGCUCCCGUCUGGUGAUCUUCGGCCUUUUCCGGCAUGGCGCGUAGUAGAUCUGACUCGGACCACUCCUGAUCCAUCGGCUGGGGCGUCGUCCCAUAUGGGAGGAGGCGCGCGCUACCGCGGAAGAGGAAACCAUCUGUGCCAGCAUCCUCCACAAGCGGCAGAGGAGGAACACGCGCGCCGUCGCCUGAGAGCAAAGCCAGAGUGGUCCGUGCCNNNNNNNNNNNNNNNNNNNNNNNNNNNNNNNNNNNNNNNNNNNNNNNNNNNNNNNNNNNNNNNNNNNNNNNNNNNNNNNNNNNNNNNNNNNNNNNNNNNNNNNNNNNNNNNNNNNNNNNNNNNNNNNNNNNNNNNNNNNNNNNNNNNNNNNNNNNNNNNNNNNNNNNNNNNNNNNNNNNNNNNNNNNNNNNNNNNNNNNNNNNNNNNNNNNNNNNNNNNNNNNNNNNNNNNNNNNNNNNNNNNNNNNNNNNNNNNNNNNNNNNNNNNNNNNNNNNNNNNNNNNNNNNNNNNNNNNNNNNNNNNNNNNNNNNNNNNNNNNNNNNNNNNNNNNNNNNNNNNNNNNNNNNNNNNNNNNNNNNNNNNNNNNNNNNNNNNNNNNNNNNNNNNNNNNNNNNNNNNNNNNNNNNNNNNNNNNNNNNNNNNNNNNNNNNNNNNNNNNNNNNNNNNNNNNNNNNNNNNNNNNNNNNNNAGGACAAUGAUGGGGCGUACAGCUCUGGCGAGGAGGAGAUCCGGUUUGAUCCAUAUAGCAUCUUUGGUCGCUACUUCCGCGACAAAGACGUCAAGGGCGCCGGCAAGAGCAAGCGUGGAUGAUCUUUGCCCAUAACAGUAUGUAUGUAUACCAUGCCAAAUUUUGGUAGUCGGAUGGCAUUGUAUUGAUGUAGUAGCCGGAUGUCCGGAUGCAUCGAAAGUUUAUGAUGUGUGUGUAAUAUGGAUUCGGGGUUUGCUAAUUGAGAGUCCACGGAACAGAGAUUUGAUGUGUGGUCGACCAUUAUCCGUUGACGUAACCGUCACGUCUGUGGACGUAUGAGGUACCGGUUUAGCAGUAGGUGGCUGUAGAUGCUCUUACACAGCGCUUGGCUUUUCACCUUGUCCUGAGCAGCCAUCCUCCAGUUUCUCCUCGCUGCUUGAAUUUGCUACUCGUACACCUCGGCCUUUCUGUUCGCGUCCUUCCUGCUCUGCUUGUACCCGCUCUCAAAAUCAUGGAGGUUGCCACAGCAGAGGUGGAGGUUCUCGUCGUGCAAAUGUAUGACACCGUUGCAGGCGGUGUUGAGCAGGUCCCGGUCGUGGGACACGACGACCAGCAUCUUUGUUCUUCCACUGCGAGCACAGGGUACGGCUCCAGACAGAGCACAUCAUUUCAAUUCGUUUUCAGGCCACCCAAGUUCAGCGAUUUUGCAGUUAUGCAACUGCUAGUACCACGGAAGGCUGUCACAGGGUCAUUGCUGAAACGGAUUCAUUUGAAGCUUCGGCGGGACCAAUGGAAGGUGGGAAUAGUACGGCUGCAGUGAUCAUUGUCGAGGGAGGAACCUGUAACUUGUCCGAGGAGGCCCCAUUUUGGUCAGGCUAACCAAGUUGCUACUGAGAUCGGUCUAAGUUUUGCCAUCUUUGUGAACUGAAACUCGAUCGGUGUGGCUGCGGUAGUCCAAGUUCAGUGUUCAAAUUCCGCGCCCAUUAAACAAUGUCUACGUCAAUAACAAAGCCUUGCCAAAAUAAAGAGUAAAAUGCACUGGCAGUCACUGAACUUGCGAAGAGCGCUCACUUUGGUCACUGUACUUAGAAAUACGGCCAAUACGGUCACCCAAUACGACAAGACGUGUUUGUACGGUCACUGUUGCUCGUAUGCCACCCGUCGCCGCUCUGUUUGACCAGUCAGUGCCGUCCACGUCGGCACGCUCAGGGUUAUUUCUGUAAAUUACGCCGGCGCAUGUAAUUAUCCACCCCCCCUGAAAUACCCCACUCUGUAGUGGAAUCCCUAAAUCCCCACUCUGCUGGCGACGCCGCUGCCCUCUCCCAAAUUCCCCACUCUGCCGCCGACGCCGCCGCCCUCUCCCUGUUGUUGCCGCCGCCCUCUUCCGUGCUGCUUGCCGGCGGCCUCUCCCUGCCGCGUGCCACCGCCCGUUGCUUCACUCCGCCAUGUCGACAAGCUUGGUCAGGUCAUCGGUUGGCGGUCGUUCGGUGGUGGUGCCGCUCAUCAGGUGCCCUUCUUGCCGCACUCGUGUGAAGUUCUAUCUGUCGAACACGGAGAAGCACGAGGGCUGGGUCUUCUACAGGUGCCCUGUUGGUGUAAGUGGAGUGCAUCCCUAGUUCUUCAUUUUGGUCGAAUUUUGGGAACUUGUAAUGGUGAUUUCUGGCGUUUGUUCUUUUCUUUUGAUCUUCAGGACCAUUUCUGGCAUUGGGAGUUGGAAUACGUUGCAUAUUUGGUGGAUAAUCAGUUUCUCGUUGGCAAUGAAGCCGUAGAUGCAUUAGGAGCUGCAGAGGAUAAGAGGGAAGAGCUGAUUCGAGCAAGGAAUCGAAGAUAUGCAGGUGGAGGUGCAGGUGUAGGUGCAGUUGAUCUUCCAGGCUUUGAAGAUGGACAUCAUGGAAGAGUUGCAUGUCAAAUGAGCAAUCAGCAAGCAGAAGCACUCGUAGGGUUAGGCAAUGAAAUAUUGGUGAUGAUGAAGGCACUGUUGGCAGCACUCAUUGUAGUUGCAGUGCUAGUAGCUAUUUCUGUGCUGAAGAAGUGAUGGAGUGGAUGCAAGAGUGAUGCAAUAUGUAGUUGAUGCAGUGUUUGCAGUAGCUAUUUCACUGUUACUAUGUUAGGAAUGAUGCCUAGUUUGUUAGGAGAUGAACUGGUACUAUGUGGUGGUGUUGUUAGUGUCAAGUGUCAAUCUUUUGCAUUGCAUCUCAUGCUUUUGCAAUAUGUAAUGCAAGUGACAAUGUUGUACUGCAAAUGAAGUUAAUGGAUCAUCCUGCUGUCUUAUGAAGAUAUCAUUUUUAUGUUAUAUUUGCCUUGUGUGUGUGCAUUGCAAAGCUAGUUGAUGAUGCUGUCAAUUUGGGCACAUUUGACCAUUGUCAUUUUUGUCUUGUGUGUGUGCAUUGCAAAGCUAGUUGAUGAUGCUUGUAGACCAUUUUCCUGUUCAUUUUGCAUGCAAAAAAAACUAUACAACUGCUGCAAGUUGAAGAGGACAAAUGUGACCAUUGUCAUAUGUUGGGCAAUGUUAUAACCAGGGCAUUAAGCAUAGUCAUAAGUAGGCAAAGAAGUAUCUUGUAGAACUGGUUACAAAAUGAGCAACAAUUGAUCCAUACUCAUGUGUCUACAUCAUUAUGGAUCAAUUGCAAUAUUUUCCUACAUACUACAUGGAUUGGGCAAAAUAAGAUGCUUGCAUACUACAUGGAUGUUCUGGCUGUCCACUGUCUCAUCACCUAAAGAUAUCAAACAUGGAUGUUCUGCUGGCCUUCCUUGGCUGACCAUCUUCUUGGUUCUGUGAAUCAUCCUGGCUUUUACCCAUUGCAAUAGAUAUCAGCCUCAUUUCUUCCUUUCUUUGUGUUGCGGUAGCCUCCUUCUCUGCUUUCUUAUCUGCUCUUCUUUUUGUUGCAGCAGCCUCUUUCUCUGCUAGCUUCUUGGCAGCUUCUUGUUCUUUUUGAGCCUUCUUCUCAGCCUCCUUCUUUGCUUUGUUCUCAGCAGCUAUAGUUUUCUUAACCUCCAAAAGAAUCUGCCUUGUCUCUGCUUGAGCCUGCUUUUUUAUUGCUGCUUCUUCUUUCCUCUUCUCUCUGUUCAGAGCAGCUGCCUGUCUCUUCCUCUCUGCCUCUGCUGUUUUCUUCUCCUCUUGAAGAUGUCUCUUCCUGGCAGCUUCUUCAGCCUUCUUUUCCUGUUCUUCUCUCCUUGCUGCAAGUAUAGCAUUUUUCUUGUCUUCUAACUCUUUGUCUCUCUGCUUUUUAAUGCAAGUAAGUUCUUGGCCAUCUCUCCUUGCUGAAUGGUGCUUGUGCUCCCUUGGUUUUGAUUGACCAAUAACUGAGCAGCAGAAAGGAAUGUUGACUCUGGAACAGGUCCUUGUGCAAUCACUCUUGGCACAGGCCUCUGCAUGACAUAACAAGCAACAGUGACCGUACAAACACGUCUUGUUGUAUUGGGUGACCAUAUUGGCCGUAUUUCUAAGUACAGUGACCAAAAUGAGCCCUCUUCGCAAGUUCAGUGACUGCCAGUGCAUUUUACUCCAAAAUAAAACCCUCGGCAGGUAGUAUAGUGCACAACUACUCCCUCCGUUCCUAAAUAUAAGUUUUUUCAAUAUAGACUACAUACAAAUGUAUAUAGACGUAGUUUAGAGUGUAGAGUCACGCAAUUUGCUCCGUAUGUAGUCCAUAUUGAGAUCUCUAGAAAGACUUAUAUUUAGAACCGGAGGUAGUACACAUCAUCAUCUCAGGAUGUGUGAACUCAACUGACGGAGACGCGCCCAGUUAAAUUUAAAUUCAGAAACACCAGCUAGGUGUCUCGUAAACGCACUGAUAGGUGCUGGCUGAAUAAUUGAACCUUUAAAAAAAAUGCUAUGGAUCCCAGUGAUCAGCUAAUGUCUAGUACUCCCUCCGUUCCCAAAUAUAAGUCUUUCUAGAUAUUCCAACAAGUGACUACAUACGGAGCAAAAUGAGUGAAUCUACACUCCAAAAUAUGUCUACAUACAUCCGUAUGUUGUAGUCCAUUUGAAAUGUCUAAAAAGACUUAUAUUUAGGAACGGAGGGAGUAUAUCAGUAAGUGUCAAUUUUGUCAGAUAAAAUCUGACAAACAAGAAUGUGGAAUUAUCAAUGCGAAAAGCCAGCUACUGUUGUCAUGGCGAAAUAGUCCCAAAGGCAAGCGAGAUCAACUCGUUGGACAGCAGAAAUCCAUCUGGGUCACUCAGACGGAGGAAGGCCAUCCUGCUCCCACUCAUCUCACCCUCGCUUUCCAAAUCUGACUCGAACUCAUUGAACUGCAGGGCCUCUCGCUCCUUGUCCAUGGCGAUCACCAGUCCACUCUCAACAAAAGGCCUAAACGUCUCGCACAAUGACCGUGUCAGAGCCUCUCCAAAAGAUUUACUGAAACUGUGCAGAUCUAGCCCGCGGGCUGUUCUCAGCGAUAGCAUCACCGAGUCCAUCGCCAUAUCCUUUGUCUCGGAGAUGCUAGACUCGUGGCACCAGGUUCCGUCUUCAAGCUUCUGAACCCAAUCCGCGUAGUUCCUCAUUCCUCUGGGCCUAGAGAACCUGACACCGUUGAUGUAGCUUGCUGAUCCAAGACCAAACGCAUAGAACGGCCUGUUUUGCCAGUAUGUUACGUUGUGCUUGCACUCGUAACCAGGCUUGCAGUAGCUACUGAUCUCGUAGUGUUGAUAUCCUGCUUCAGAAAGCCGCUUCGAAGCUAUCUUGUAGAAGUUCGCAGAGUCUGUCUCAUUUGGGAGAGGAAAUACACCAGGCGUAUAGCUGCAACAUUUGAUAUGGAAAGAGUGAGAUAGGCAUCAAUCUGACACAUAUUUAAGGAUGAGCUCAUUUCAUCUUUCAUACAAAAAUGUGACUGAAAAUUAAUAUGUGACCAAAUUGUUAGAAACUUGGAUAUAGGAUGGCAGGCUAGAGAACAACAUGGCUUUAUAAGGUAGUAGUAUAAUGCAAUUGGUUGAGUAAUACACCCGAACACAAAUCCAGUUAAGCCUUUUAACUUGCAACUAUCAGCAGCAUGAGUUCAAUAAGAAGACUGAACUUCUUUCUCUGGAAUGACAUAAUCUUCGCGAACAGUGAGGCAACAGUCAGAGCGUCGGUUCAGUUCUUACUGAACUAUAGGAACACUUUGCAAGAUAUCAAAGAUGAUGUAAAUGAAUACGAUGAAAAGGGCAAGAGUGUAAUCCACGGACAAGCUCGCAAGGAGACAACUCCUUACUAGAUAAGUUGUAUGCCACCUGAUGUCAGAUGGUUUAUGUCAUUAUGUGGACACCAGUUUUACCGCCAAACUAAUACUGCAACUUGGACGGCGGUGAUCAGAAUCAAAGAGGAAAAAGUAAUUCUGUCCGCCUAGGGCAUGGUGCCACGAUGCCUUAAUGCUGAGAAGCAGAAACCAUUGCAUCGCAUGUCUAUAAGGUGUCCAAAAGGCGCUGAUCUACACUAAUCAGGCCGAUGUUGAUUGACAGCAACAGCCUGACGGUGGCUAAUGCCAUCGACCCUCAUAUGUUGUGCUGGUCCACAAUUAGUGGUGGCAUUCAGGAGAUUUGUCUCGUGUUGCCUGAAUUCCUGAGUCACAGAAUUCUCAAAAUCUAAAAGCAGGAUAACAGGGUAGCGCAUGGUUUAGCUCGAUACUGUAGAAAGGAUGUUGUGUGGUGGUGUUCUACAAGAUGCAGUCCCGGCUUGCCUGUUGAUUAUGAUACUGCAGGAUCGUAACCUCAGCUCUGUAACCUAGUUAAUACAAGUAGCCCCUUUCCAAUAAGAGAAGACUGAACUUCUAAAACACAAACAAGUGCAAAUCAAAACAACACUUGUAGCUAACUGUGUGACGAUGAUGGUUGCAGUGUGUUAGUUUUUCUCCAAUUCGUUAUUAUCUAUAGAACAGAACCACCACAAACAACACACAUAUUUGUCAGGAGCGAUAAUGUUUUCAAGAUAGGGAUCAUAGCUCAUAGGUAUGGACAGAAUAAAACUCACAUUUGCCCAAACUUGGUGCCCUGCUCAAUCUGCAGAUCAUAGACAGACACAUGCGUGGGGCGGGCAUCGACGGUGCACCGCAAGCUCUCCUCCCACAUCUGCUGGGUCUGGUUGGGCAGGGAGGAGAUGAGGUCCAUGCUCCAGUUCUGGAGCCCCUCGCAGGCGGUCACGAUCCCGACGGCCUCGUGCACCUCCCGCAGGCCGUGCGCGCGGCCGCACGCCCGGAGCAGCUCCUCCUGGAACGCCUGCACGCCGAGCGACACCCGGUUCACGCCCACGCCCACCAGCUCCCGCAGCUUGGCCGCGUCGAACGUGCCGGGGUCCAUCUCGAUGGACACCUCCGGGCACGCGGACAGCCCGAACCUGCCGCGCAGCGCGUCGAGCACCGCGGCCACCAGCCUCGGCGGGACCAGCGACGGGGUGCCGCCGCCGAAGAAGAUGGUCUCGAGCGGCACGCCGUCGUCGGAGACGGGACGCGUGGCGGCCACCUCCCGGAGCAGGAGGCGCACGUAGUCGGCGAUCCGAGGAUCCUCGCCCUCGCCCGGGCCGCCGGGGGAGGAGGCGGAGGAGCCGAGCGCCACGAUGGGGAAGUCGCAGUAGUGGCAGCGCUUGCGGCAGAAGGGGAGGUGCACGUAGGCAGAGGCCGGGGGAAGCGGCCGUGGCGGAGGAGGCGGCGGCGGGACGGCGGCGGCCGGGGAGGCAUAGCGACGAACAGGUGGUGGGCGGGGUGGGCGGAUUGGGGGCGGUUUCCUGUGCGGCAACUGGAAGACGAGAGGGAAGGCUGAUCUUAGCAUUACUGACCACUCGCCUCCCAAAGGCUCCUCCCGGUGGACUGGUAAAGAGACAAUUUUGCAUUGAGUUGAAAAUGGCGACAAAAUCCAAAUUGACUUUUAAGUAGCAUUCAGCCGUGUGUUUUUUUUUCAAAAUCCAAAUUAACUCGUGUUAGAAUCAUUACAUUGUAAAAUCUAGAUUAUUGACUCUAGUGCAAGUGGGAGACUGAAGGAAAUAUGCCCUAGAGGCAAUAAUAAAGUUGUUAUUUUAUAUUUUCUUAUAUCAUGAUAAAUGUUUAUUAUUCAUGCUAAAAUUGUAUUAACCGGAAACUUGAUACAUGUGUGAAUACAUAGACAAAACAAAGUGUCCCUAGUAUGCCUCUACUAGACUAGCUCGUUAAUCAAAGAUGAUUAAGUUUCCUGACCAUAGACAUGUGUUGUCAUUUGAUGAACGGGAUCACAUCAUUAGGAGAAUGAUGUGAUGGACAAGACCCAUCCGUUAGCUUAGCAUAAUGAUCGUUAAGUUUUAUUGCUACUGCUUUCUUCAUGACUUAUACAUAUUCCUUUGACUAUGAGAUUAUGCAACUCCCGAAUACCGGAGGAGUACCUUGUGUGCUAUCAAACGUCACAACGUAAAAGGAUGAUUAUAAAGAUGCUCUAUAGGUAUCUCCGAAGGUGUUUUGUUGGGUUGGCAUAGAUUGAGAUUAGGAUUUGUCACUCCGAGUAUCGGAGAGGUAUCUCUGGGCCCUCUCGGUAAUGCACAUCAUAAUAAGCCUUGCAAGCAAUGUGACUAAUGAGUUAGUUGCGGGAUGAUGCAUUACGGAACGAGUAAAGAGACUUGCCGGUAACGAGAUUGAACUAGGUAUGAAGAUACCGACGAUCGAAUCUCGGGCAAGUAACAUACCGAUGACAAAGGGAAUAACGUAUGUUGUCAUAACGGUUCGAUUGAUAAAGAUCUUCGUAGAAUAUGUGGGAGCCAAUAUGAGCAUCCAGGUUCCGUUCGAUGACGAUUUGCAUUAUGAGUUAUGUGUUUUGGUGACCGAACUGUGUUCGGAGUCCCGGAUGAGAUCACGGAAUGACGAGGAGUCUCGAAAUGUCCGAGAGGUAAAGACUGAUAUAUUGGACGAUGGUAUUCGGACACCGGAAUGGUUUCGGAGUGGUUCGAGUAUUUUUCGGAGUACCGAGGGGUUACCGGAACCCCCCGGGGAAGUAAUGGGCCUACAUGGGCCAUAGGGGAGAGGGGAGGCAGCCCACAAGGGGUGGCCGCGCCCCCCUCCCAUAGGGAGUUCGAAUUGGACUAGGGGAGGGGGCGCGCCCCCUUUUCCUUCUCCUCUUCCCUCUCCCUUCCCUCUUUCCCCCUCCAUGAGAACGAAAAAAAGGGGGGCCGAAUCCUACUAGGACUGGAGUCUUAGUAGGACUCCCCUCUCCUUGGCGCGCCCCUGGUGGCCGGCCUCCUCCUCUCCCUCCUUUAUAUACGGGCAGGGCACCUCUUGGAGACACACCAACUGUUCUCUUAGCCGUGUGUGGUGCCCCCCUCCAUAGUUUACUUCUCCGGUCAUAGCGUCGUACUGCUUAGGCGAAGCCCUGCGCGGAUCACAUCACCAUCACCGUCACCACGCCGUUGUGCUAAUGAAACUCUCCCUCGACCUUCUGCUGGAUCAAGAGUUCGAGGGACGUCAUCGAGCUGAACGUGUGCUGAACUCGGAGGUGCCGUACGUUCGGUACUUGAUCGGUUGGAUCGUGAAGAUGAUCGACUACAUCAACCACGUUAAACUAACGCUUCCGCUUUUGGUCUACGAGGGUACAUGGACACACUCUCCCCCUCUCGUUGCUAUGCAUCUUCUAGAUAGAUCUUGCGUGAUCGUAGGAAUUUUUUUGAAAUUGCAUGCUACGUUCCCCAACAAUGUGCUUUGUGAAAGUCCAAUUAAGUGUCUUGAUCUAUCUCUAUAUGAUCUUGAUGCCCAAUAUAUAAGCAGCUUCACCGAGGUCUUUCAUUGAAAAACUCUUAUUAAAGUAUCCUUUUAUGCUAUCUAUAAAUUCUAUAUCAUUUCCAAUCAACAAUAUGUCAUCCACAUAUAAUAUUAAAAAAGUUAUAGAGCUCCCACUCACUUUCUUGUAAAUACAGACUUCUCCAAAAGUCUGUAUAAAACCAUAUGCUUUGAUCACCUCAUCAAAGCGUAUAUUCCAACUCCGAGAUGCUUGCACCAGUCCAUAAAUGGAUCACUGGAGCUUGCACACUUUGUUAGCACCUUUAGGAUCGGCAAAACCUUCUGGUUGCAUCAUAUACAACUCUUCUUUAAGAAAUCCAUUAAGGUAUGCAGUUUUGACGUCCAUUUGCCAGAUUUCAUAAUCAUAAAAUGCGGCAAUUGCUAACAUUAUUCGGACAGACUUAAGCAUCGCUACGGGUGAGGUCUCAUUGUAGUCAACUCCUUGAACUUGUCGAAAACCUUUCGCAACAAGUCGAGCUUUGUACACAGUAACAUUACCAUCAGCGUCAGUCUUCUUCUUGAAGAUCCGUUUAUUCUCUAUGGCUUGCCGAUCAUCGGGCAAGUCAACCAAAGUCCAUACUUUGUUCUCAUAGAUGGAUCCCAUCUCAGAUUUCAUGGCCUCAAGCCAUUUCACGGAAUCUAGGUUCAUCAUCGCUUCCUCAUAGUUCGUAGGUUCGUCAUGGUCUAGUAACAUGACUUCCAGAACAGGAUUACCGUACCACUCUGGUGCGGAACGUGCUCUGGUUGACCUACGAGGUUUGGUAGUAACUUGAUCCGAAGUUUCAUGAUCAUUAUCAUUAGCUUCCUCACUAGUUGGUGUAGGCAUCACGGGAACGGUCUUCUAUGAUGAGCUACUUUCCAAUUCGAGAGAAGGUACAACUACCUCAUCAAGUUAUACUUUCCUCCCACUCACUUCUUUCGAGAGAAACUCCUUCUCUAGAAAGGAUCCAUUCUUAGCAACAAAGAUCUUGCCUUCGGGUCUGUGAUAGAAGGUGUACACAACAAUUUCUUUUGGGUAUCCUAUGAAGACGCACUUCUCCGAUUUGGGUUCGAGCUUAUCAGGUUGAAGCUUUUUUACAUAAGCAUCGCAACCCCAAACUUUAAAAAAUGGCAGCUUAGGUUUCUUGCCAAACCACAGUUCAUACAGUGUUGUCUCAACGGAUUUAGAUGGUGCCCGAUUUAACGUGAAUGUAGCUGUCUCUAAUGCAUAACCCCAAAAUGAUAGUGGUAGAUCGGUAAGAGACAUCAUAGAUAGCAUCAUAUCCAAUAAAGUAUGGUUACGACGUUCGGACACACCAUUACGCUGUGGUGUUUUAGGUGGCGUGAGUUGUGAAACUAUUCCACAUUGUUUUAAAUGAAGGCCAAACUCGUAACACAAAUAUUCGCCUCCGCGAUCAGAUCAUAGAAACUUUAUUCGGCCUCCUCUCCUAGUCCUAUUCGGCCUCCUUCCCUGUGGGGGGCGCGCCACCCCUUUGUGGCCUGGUGUGCCUCCCGCCUAUGGCCCAUAUGGCCCAUAUCUUCCCUAAGGAUGGCAAUGGGUAGGGUAUGGGGCGGGUAGGGCAAUAUCAUGCCCAUACCCGUGUAGUUAAUGGGUAAACAAUUUUACCCAUACCCGUACCCAUGGGUACAAAACUUAACCCGUGCCCAUACCCGAUGGGUGUUGGAAAUAUGCCCUAGAGGCAAUAAUAAAAUGGUUAUUAUUGUAUUUCCUUGUUCAUGAUAAUUGUCUAUUGUUCAUGCUAUAAUUGUAUUAACUGGAAACCGUAAUACAUGUGCGAAUACAUAGAGCACAACAUGUCCCUAGUAAGCCUCUAGUUGACUAGCUCGUUGAUCAAUAGAUGGUUAUGGUUUCCUGACCAUGGACAUUGGAUGUCAUUGAUAACGGGAUCACAUCAUUAGGAGAAUGAUGUGAUGGACAAGACCCAAUCCUAAGCAUAGCACAAGAUCGUGUAGUUCGUUUGCUAAGAGCUUUUCUAAUGUCAAGUAUCGUUUCCUUAGACCAUGAGAUUGUGCAACUCCCGGAUACCGUAGGAAUGCUUUGGGUGUACCAAACGUCACAACGUAACUGGGUGGCUAUAAAGGUGCACUACAGGUAUCUCCGAAAGUGUCUGUUGGGUUGGCACGAAUCGAGACUGGGAUUUGUCACUCCGUAUGACGGAGAGGUAUCUCUGGGCCCACUCGAUAAUGCAUCAUCAUAAUGAGCUCAAUGUGACUAAGGAGUUAGCCACGGGAUCAUGCGUUACGGAACGAGUAAAGAGACUUGCCGGUAACGAGAUUGAACGAGGUAUUGGGAUACUGAGGAUCGAAUCUCGGGCAAGUAACAUACCGAUAGACAAAGGGAAUUGUAUACGGGAUUGAUUGAAUCCCCGACACGUGGUUCAUCCGAUGAGAUCAUCGUGGAACAUGUGGGAGCCGAUAUGGGUAUCCAGAUCCCGCUAUUGGUUAUUGGCCGGAGAGGUGUCUCGGUCAUGUCUGCAUGGUUCCCGAACCCGUAGGGUCUACACACUUAAGGUUCGGUGACGCUAGAGUUGUUAUGGGAAAUAGUAUGUGUUUACCGAAGGUUGUUCGGAGUCCCAGAUGAGAUCCCGGACAUCACGAAGAGUUCCGGAAUGGUCCGGCGGUGAAGAUCGAUAUAUUGGACGAAGGGUAUUGGAGUCCGGAAGUGUUCCGGGGGUACCAGGCUAUGGCCAGCAUGACCGAAAGGUGUUUCGGGAGCCCCGGCAAGUGUUGGAGGGCCUCAUGGGCCAAAGGGGAAGGGGAAAACCAGCCCACUAAGGGGUGGUGCGCCCCCCACACCCUUUCCGACGUUACUUGGGGAGGUGGGGCGCCUCCACCUGGCUUGGGAGGCAAGCCUCCACCUGCUUGGCUUGGGGGGCAAGUCUCUCUAGGAUUUCCCUAGGGAGAUCCAAUCUGCUUGGCCGCCGCCCCCUAGGGGAAACCCUAGGGCGCCUCCCCCUCUCCCCUUGCCCCUAUAUAUAGUGGAGGGGUGGGAGGGCAGCCGCACCUCUUCCCUGGCGCAGCCCUCCCUCCUCAUACACCUCCUCCUCCUCCGUAGUGCUUAGCGAAGCUCUGCCGGAGAACCACGAGCUCCAUUGCCACCACGCCGUCAUGCUGCUGGAGUUCUCCCUCAACUUCUCCUCUCCCCUUGCUGGAUCAAGAAGGAGGAGACGUCCCCGGGCUGUACGUGUGUUGAACGCGGAGGCGCCGUCCGUUCGGCGCUAGAUCGGAACUUCCGCGAUUUGAAUCGCUGCGAGUACGACUCCAUCAACCGCGUUCUUGUAACGCUUCCGCUUAGCGAUCUUCAAGGGUAUGAAGAUGCACUCCCUCUCUCUCGUUGCUAGCAUCUCCUAGAUUGUUCUUGGUGACACGUAGGAAAAUUUUGAAUUAUUGCUACGUUCCCCAACAGUGGCAUCAUGAGCUAGGUCUAUGCGUAGAUUCUAUGCACGAGUAGAACACAAAGUAGUUGUGGGCGAUGAUUUGUUCAAUUUGCUUACCGUUACUAGUCUUAUCUUGAUUCGGCGGCAUUGUGGGAUGAAGCGGCCCGGACCGACCUUACACGUACACUUACGUGAGACAGGUUCCACCGACUGACAUGCACUUGAUGCAUAAGGUGGCUAGCGGGUGUCUGUCUCUCCCACUUUAGUCGGAUCGGAUUCGAUGAAGAGGGUCCUUAUGAAGGGUAAAUAGCAAUUGGCAUAUCACCGUUGUGGCUUUUGUGUAGGUAAGAAACGUUCUUGCUAGAAACCCAUAGCAGCCACGUAAAACAUGCAACAACAAUUAGAGGACGUCUAACUUGUUUUUGCAGGGUAUGCUAUGUGAUGUGAUAUGGCCAAAAGGAUGUGAUGAAUUAUAUAUAUGUGAUGUAUGAGAUUGAUCAUGUUCUUGUAAUAGGAAUCAUAACUUGCAUGUCGAUGAGUAUGACAACCGGCAGGAGCCAUAGGAGUUGUCUUAAUUUAUUGUGUGACCUGCGUGUCAAUGAAAAACGCCAUGUAAUUACUUUACUUUAUUGCUAACCGUUAGCCAUAGUAGUAGAAGUAAUAGUUGGCGAGACAACUUCAUGAAGACACGAUGAUGGAGAUCAUGGUGUCAUGCCGGUGACGAAGGUGAUCAUGCCGCGCCUCGAAGAUGGAGAUCAAAAGGCGCAAGAUGAUAUUGGCCAUAUCAUGUCACUUUAUGAUUUGCAUGUGAUGUUUGUCAUGUUUACAUCUUAUUUGCUUAGAACGACGGUAGCAUAAAUAAGAUGAUCCCUCACUAAAAUUUCAAGAGAUGUGUUCCCCCUAACUGUGCACCGUUGCGAAGGUUCGUUGUUUCGAAGCACCACGUGAUGAUCGGGUGUGAUAUAUUCUAACGUUCGCAUACAACGGGUGUAAGCCAGAUUUACACAUGCGAAACACUUAGGUUGACUUGACGAGCCUAGCAUGUACAGACAUGGCCUCGGAACACAAGAGACCGAAAGGUCGAACAUGAGUGGUAUAGUAGAUACGAUCAACAUGGAGAUGUUCACCGAUGAUGACUAGUCCGUCUCACGUGAUGAUCGGACACGGCCUAGUUGACACGGAUCAUGUAUCACUUAGAUGACUAGAGGGAUGUCUAUCUGAGUGGGAGUUCAUUAAAUAAUUUGAUUAGAUGAACUUAAUUAUCAUGAACAUAGUCAAAAGGUCUUUGCAAAUUAUGUCGUAGCUUACGCUUUAGUUCUACUAAGAUAUGUUCCUAGAGAAAAUUUAGUUGAAAGUUGAUAGUAGCAAUUAUGCGGACUGGGUCCGUAAACUGAGGAUUGUCCUCAUUGCUGCACAGAAGGCUUAUGUCCUUAAUGCACCGCUCGGUGUGCUGAACCUCGAGCGUCGUCUGUAGAUGUUGCGAAACAUCUGACAUACACGUUUUGAUGACUACGUGAUAGUUCCGUGUGUGAUGCUAACGGUUUAAAAUUGUGGCACCAAAGACGGUUUUGAAACGUCGCAGAACAUAUGAGAUGUUCCAAAGAUUGAAAUUGGGAUUUCAGACUAGUGCCCACGUCAAGAGGUAUGAGACCUCUGACAAGUUUCUUAAGCCUGCAAACUAAGGGAGAAAAGCUCAAUCGUUGAGCAUGUGCUCAGAUUGUCUGAGUACUACAAUCGCUUGAAUCGAGUGGGAGUUAAUCUUCCAGAUGAGAUAGUGAUGGUUCUCCAUAGUCACUGACACCAAGCUAUUAGAGCUUCGUGAUAAACUAUAACAUAUCAGGGAUAGACAUGAUGAUCCUUGAGCAACUCGCGAUGUUUGACACUGCGAAAGUAGAAAUCAAGUAGGAGCAUCAAUUGUUGAUGGUUAGUAAAACCACUAGUUUCAAGAAGGGCACGGGCAACAAGGGAUACUUCAUGAAACGGCAAAUCAGUUGCAGCUCUAGUGAAGAAAGCCAAGGUUGAACCCAAACCCGAGACUAAGUGCUUCUGAGAUGAGGGGAACGGUCACUGAAGCAGAACUGCCCUAGAUACUUCGUGGAUGAGAAGGCUGGUAAGGUCGACAGAAGUAUAUUGGAUAUACAUUAUAUUAAUGUGUACUUUACUAGUACUCCUAGUAGCACCAGGGUAUUAGAUACCGGUUCGGUUGCUAAGUGUUAGUAACUCGAAAUAAAAGCUGCGGAAUAAACGAGACUAGCUAAAAGUGAGAUGACGAUAUGUGUUGGAAGUGUUUCCAAGGUUGAUGUGAUCAAGCAUCGCAUGCUCCCUCUACCAUCGAGAUUGGUGUUAAACCUAAAUAAUUGUUAUUUGGUGUUUACGUUGAGCAUAGACAUGAUUGGAUUAUGAUGUUCAUUUAAGAAGAAUAAUGGUUACUCUUUUUAUUUGAAUAAUACCUUCAAUGGUCUUGCACCUAAAAUAAAUGGUUUAUUGAAUCUCGAUCGUAGUGAUACACAUGUUCGUGCCAAAAGAUAUAAAAUAGUAAUGAUAGUACCACAUACUUGUGGCACUGCCAUUUGAGUCAUAUUGGUAUAGAACGCAUGAAGAAGCUCCAUGUAGAUGGAUCUUUGGACUCACUCGUUUUUGAAAAGAUUGAGACAUGCGAACCAUGUCUAUUGGUAUAUAUGCAUGAAGAAACUCCAUGCAGAUGGAUCGUUUGGACUCACUUGAUUUUGAAUCACUUGAGACAUGCAAAUCAUACCACAUGGGCAAGAUGACUGAAAGGCCUCGUUUUCAGUAAGAUGGAACAAGAAAGCAACUUGUUGGAAGUAAUACAUUUUGAUGUGUGCAGUCCAUUGAGUGUUGAGGCAUGCAGUGGAUAUCGUUAUGUUCUUACUUCACAGAUGAUUUGAGUAGAUGCUGAGUGUAUUUACUUGAUGAAACACAAGUCUGAAUUAUUGAAAGGUUCAAGUGAUUUCAGAGUGAAGUUGAAGAUCGUCGUGACAAGAGGAUAAAAUGUCUAUGAUAUGAUCAUAGAGAUGAAUAUCUGAGUUACGAGUUUGGCACACAAUUAAGACAUUGUGGAAAGUGUUUCACAAUUAAUACCGCCUGGAACACCAUAGUGUGAUGGUGUGUCCGAACAUCAUAAUUGCACCCUAUUGGAUAUGGUGCAUACCAUGAUGUCUCUUAUCGAAUUACCACUAUCGUUUAUGGGUUAGGCAUUAGAGACGAACGCAUUCACUUUAAAUAGGGCACCACGCAAUUCCGUUGAGACGACACCGUAUGAACUAUGGUUUAGAGAAACCUAAGUUGUCGUUUCUUAAAAGUUUGGGGCUACGACGCUUAUGUGGAAAAGUUUCAGGCUGAUAAGCUCGAACCCAAAGCGGAUAAAUGCAUCUUCAUAGAAUACCCAAAAACAGUUGGGUAUACCUCCUAUUUUAGAUCCGGAAGCAAAGUGAUUGUUUCUAGAAACAGGUCCUUUCUCGAGGAAAAGUUUCUCUCGAAAGAAUUGAGUGGGAGGAUGGUGGAGACUUGAUGAGGUUAUUGAACCAUGACUUCAACUAGUGUGUAGCAGGGCACAGGAAGUUGUUCCUGUGGCACCUACACCAAUUGAAGUGGAAGCUUAUGAUAGUGAUCAUGAAACUUCGGAUCAAUUCACUACAAAACCUCGUAGGUCGACAAGGAUGCGUACUACUUCAGAGUGGUACAUAAUCCUGUCUUGGAAGUCAUGUUGCUAGACAACAAUGAACCUACGAGCUAUGGUGAAGUGAUGGUGGGCCCGGAUUCCGACGAAUGGCUCGAGGCCAUAAAAUCCGAGAGAGGAUCCAUAUAUAAAAACAAAGUAUAGACUUUGGAAGAACUACUUGAUGGUCGUAAGGCUGUUGGGUGCAGAUGGAUUUUAAAAGGAAGACGAACAAUGAUGGUAAGUGUCACCAUUAAGAAAACUCGACUUGUCGUUAAGAUGUUUUCCGACAAGUUCAAGGUGUUGACUGCGAUGAGACUUUCUCACUCGUAGCGAUGCUAAGAGUCCGUUGGAAUUAUAUUAGCAGUUACUGCAUUAUUUAUGAAAUCUUGCAGAUAGGAUGUCAAAACAUUGUUUCCUCGACGAUUUUCUUGAGGAAGAUACAACCAGAAGGUUUUGUCAAUCCUGAAAUAUGCUAACAAGUGUGCAAAGCUCCAGCAAUCCUUCUAAGGACUGGAGUAAGCAUCUCGGAGAUGGAGUGUACGCUUUGAUGAGAUGAUCAAAAAUUUUUGGUUUAUACAAAGUUUAUGAGAAACUUGUAUUUCCAAAGAAGUGAGUGGGAGCACUAUAGAAUUUUUGAUGAGUAUAUGUUGUUAACAUAUUGUUGAUCAGAAAUGGUGUAGAAUUUCUGGAAAGCAUCCAGGGUUAUUUGAAAAGUAUUUUUCAAUGGAAAACCUGGAUUAAGCUACUUGAACAUUGAGCAUCAAGAUCUAUAAGGAUAGAUCAAAAACGCUUAAUAGUACUUCCAAAUGAAUACAUAUCGUGACAAGAUUUUGAAGGAGUUCAAAAUAGAUCGGCAAAGAAGGAGUUCUUGGCUGUGUUACAAGGUGUGAGUAUUGAGUAAGACUCAAGACCUGACCACGGCAGAAGAGAGAGAAAGGACGAAGGUCGUCCCCUAUGCUUUAGACGUAGGCUCUACAGUAUGCUAUGCUGUGUACCGCACCUGAAGUGUGCCUUGCCAUGAGUUAGUCAAGGGGUACAAUAGUGAUCCGGGAAUGGAUCACAUGACAGCGGUCGAACUUAUCCUUAGUAUCUAGUGGACUAAGGAAUUUUCUCGAUUAUGGAGGUGGUAAAAGAGUUCGUCGUAAAGGGUUACGUCGAUGCAAACUUUGACACUAAUCCGCAUGACUCUGAGUAGUAAACCGGAUUCGUAUAGUUGAGCAGUUAUUUGGAAUAGCUCCAAGUAGCGCAUGGUAGCUGUAAGAUGACAUGGAGAUUUGUAAAGCACACACGGAUCUGGAAGGUUCAGACCCGUUGACUAGUAACCUCUCUCACAAGCGAGAUAUGAAUAAACCCCAUGGGUGUUGGAUUCAUUACAAUCACAUAGUGAUGUGAACUAGAUUAUUGACUCUAGUGCAAGUGGGAGACUAUUGGAAAUAUGCCCUAGAGGCAAUAAUAAAAUGGUUAUUAUAGUAUUUCCUUGUUCAUGAUAAUUGUCUAUUGUUCAUGAUAUAAUUGUAUUAACUGGAAACCGUAAUACAUGUGUGAAUACAUAGACCACAACAUGUCCCUAGUAAGCCUCUAGUUGACUAGCUAGUUGAUCAAUAGAUGGUUAUGGUUUCCUGACCAAGGACAUUGGAUGUCAUUGAUAACGGGAUCACAUCAUUAGGAGAAUGAUGUGAUGGACAAGACCCAAUCCUAAGCAUAGCACAAGAUCGUGUAGUUCAUUUGCUAAGAGCUUUUCUAAUGUCAAGUAUCGUUUCCUUAGACCAUGAGAUUGUGCAACUCCCGGAUACCGUAGGAAUGCUUUGGGUGUACCAAACGUCACAACGUAACUGAGUGGCUAUAAAGGUGCACUACAGGUAUCUCCGAAAGUGUCUGUUGGGUUGGCAUGAAUCGAGACUGGGAUUUGUCACUCCGUAUGACGGAGAGGUAUCUCUGGGCCCACUCGGUAAUGCAUCAUCAUAAUGAGCUCAAUGUGACUAAGGAGUUAGCCACGGGAUCAUGCGUUACGGAACGAGUAAAGAGACUUGCCGGUAAUGAGAUUGAAAGAGGUAUUGGGAUACCGACGAUCGAAUCUCGGGCAAGUAACAUACCGAUAGACAAAGGGAAUUGUAUACAGGAUUGAUUGAAUCCCCGACACGUGGUUCAUCCGAUGAGAUCAUCGUGGAACAUGUGGGAGCCAAUAUGGGUAUCCAGAUCCCGCUAUUGGUUAUUGGCCGGAGAGGUGUCUCGGUCAUGUCUGCAUGGUUCCCGAACCCGUAGGGUCUACACACUUAAGGUUCGGUGACACUAGAGUUGUUAUGGGAAAUAGUAUGUGGUUACCGAAGGUUGUUCGGAGUCCCGGAUGAGAUCCCGGACAUCAUGAAGAGUUCCGGAAUGGUCCGGCGGUGAAGAUCGAUAUAUUGGACGAAGGGUAUUGGAGUCCGGAAGUGUUCCGGGGGUACCAGGCUAUGGCCAGCAUGACCGAAAGGUGUUUCGGGAGCCCCGGCAAGUGUUGGAGGGCCUCAUGGGCCAAAGGGGAAGGGGCAAACCAGCCCAUAAGGGGUGGUGCGCCCCCCACACCCUUUCCCACGUUACUUGGGGAGGUGGGGCGCCUCCACCUGCUUGGCUUGGGGGGCAAGUCUCCCUAGGAUUUUCCCUAGGGAGAUCCAAUCUGCUUGGCCGCCGCCCCCUAGGGGAAACCCUAGGGCGCCUCCCCCUCUCCCCUUGCCCCUAUAUAUAGUGGAGGGGUGGGAGGGCAGCCGCACCUCUUCCCUGGCGCAGCCCUCCCUCCUCAUACACCUCCUCCUCCUCCGUAGUGCUUAGCGAAGCUCUGCCAAAGAACCACGAGCUCCAUUGCCACCACGCCGUCGUGCUGCUGGAGUUCUCCCUCAACUUCUCCUCUCCCCUUGCUGGAUCAAGAAGGAGGAGACGUCCCCGGGCUGUACGUGUGUUGAACGCGGAGGCGCCGUCCGUUCGGCGCUAGAUCGGAACUUCCGCGAUUUGAAUCGCUGCGAGUACGACUCCAUCAACCGUGUUCUUCUAACGCUUCCGCUUAGCGAUCUUCAAGGGUAUGAAGAUGCACUCCCUCUCUCUCGUUGCUAGCAUCUCCUAGAUUGAUCUUGGUGACACGUAGGAAUGGGUACUCAUACCCAUUGGGUACCCAACGGGUAUAUUAAUAGUACACAAGUUAUUUGCAAUUUUACAUUCAUCUAUAGCAUGUUUGGUAAAAACAUUGAUCGCAACUAAAUAAUUGGUAGAUGAGUGCAUGAAAAUUAUGUCAAUUCAAAUUGACAAUUGGUGAAAACUUUAACAUAGGUUCACAAACUCAUGGCACAACUUUAACAUAGCUACACUUGUGAAUCAUGGGUAAGGCUAACAUGUCAGUAUAAAUAGGUAGGGUAUGGGAAUAUCCAUGGGUAAAAGGCUAUACAUGUGCCCUACCCAUGACUUAAUGGGUAGCGUAUGGGUACUACCCGUGGGUAUAAAAUUAUGCCCAUACCCUGCCCGUGUGGGUACGGUAUCCGCGGGUUCCCGUACCCAUGGGUAAAAUUGCCAUCCUUAAUCUUCCCCAGGGGGUUCCGGUAACCCUCCCGGUACUCCGAUAUGUACCUGAUACAUUCCGGAACACUUCCGGUGUCUUAAUACUAUCAUCCAAUAUAUCAAUCUUUACCUCUCGACCAUUUCGAGACUCCUCGCCAUGUACGUGAUCUCAUCCGGGACUCCGAACAACAUUCGGUCACCAAAUCACAUAACUCAUAUAAUACAAAUCGUCAUCGAACGUUAAGCGUGCGGACCCUACGGGUUCGAGAACUAUGUAGACAUGACCGAGACAGCUCUCCGGUCAAUAACCAAUAGCGGAACCUGGAUGCUCAUAUUGGCUCCCACAUAUUCUGCGAAGAUCUUUAUUGGUCGAACCGCAAUGACAACAUACGUUAUUCCCUUUGUCAUCGGUAUGUUACUUGCCCGAGAUUCGAUCAUAGGUAUCUUCAUACCUAGUUCAAUCUCGUUACCGGCAAGUCUCUUUACUCAUUCCGUAAUGCAUCAUCCCGCAAAUAACUCAUUAGUCACAUUGCUUGCAAGGCUUAUUAUGAUGUGCAUUACCGAGAGGGCCCAGAGAUACCUCUCCGAUACUCGGAGUGACAAAUCCUAAUCUCGAUCUAUGCCAACCCAACAAAACACCUUCGGAGAUACCUGUAGAGCAUCUUUAUAAUCACCCAGUUACGUUGUGACGUUUGAUAGCACACAAGGCAUUCCCCCGGUAUCCGGGAGUUGCAUAAUCUCAUAGUCAAAGGAAUAUGUAUAAGUCAUGAAGAAAGCAAUAGCAAUAGAACUUCACGAUCAUUAUGCUAAGCUAACGGAUGGGUCUUGUCCAUCACAUUAUUCUUCUAAUGAUGUAAUCCCAUUCAUCAAAUGACAACACAUGUCUAUGGUUAGGAAACUUAACCAUCUUUGAUUAACGAGCUAGUCUAGUAGAGGCUUACUAGGGACACUGUGUUUUGUCCAUGUAUCCACACAUGUAUCAAGUUUUCGGUUAAUACAAUUCUAGCAUGAAUAAUAGACAUUUAUCAUGAUAUAAGGAAAUAUAAAUAACAACUUUAUUAUUGCCUCUAGGGCAUAUUUCCUUCACACCAUGCAUCCAUGGCCCUAAGGCUACAUGAGACCGAUGCAGACCGGCGACGGUGCCGGCGGGUUCCCUAGUGGUAGGGUUCCCUUGCCUAGGAGCGAAGGGGUACGAGCUUUGCGCGUAUUAACCAUGUUUAUUGAUAGUUUACACAAAGUACGUCAGAUCAAACAAAGACAAAAAAAUCAAAAGGUCAAGAUAAAACAUAAAGUUACAUCAAAAGUCCUUGGUGGUCAUUAACUCCAAAUUCAUCUUUUGCAUCUCGACUUUUCUUCAAACAUCCAGCGAAGAAACUGCAGAAGAGCGAACUUGCACACGGUGCAUUACCAAAUUCAAGGAUUCAAAUAGCUGUAUGAGCCAUCUACGACAACGGCUUAGAAGCUAAGACCGUCAAACAUACUGUGAUCAAGGGUACAUCAUUUGUAAGAUAGGUUGUGGAAUUGUUGCUUAGCCUAUUAGGAGCACACGCAAAAAAUCAACAUACCCAGUGACAAGAGUAUGCUUGACAAAAGAACGAACAUACAUGCCUGGUGAUGAGAGCGUGCUUGACAAUACUAUCGUGGCCACCAUCGAAUGAUAGGCUGAAGCGUCGAGCGACGAUCUACAAGAGCGGGAGCCAUUGAUCUGCGGGACUAAGGGGUCUGCUAGAGAUGCUCUAAAACACCAUCAAUCCUCGGUAAGUCGUAUCAGCCACGAUAGCCACAUUAGAACGACGGUAGAAACCAUGAGAACUAUUCCGUAGUACGCCACCUCCAUCGUCUAGACUUUGUUGUCAAGGACACGUAAAUAAAACAUAGAUGAAAAGUAAAUUGGAUUCCGAGUGUUGAUCGAUAGUUCCCCCCAAGGCUGGGAGCCAUCGAAAACCACGAACCUCCAAAACGAAGGAAGAGCUUAAGCACGCACACUUCUUAAGUAUUUGUUUGCCUUUUUGCUUGCUUUCAUCAUACUUAAAACGAAAAUUGGUCAUCUUGUUCUUAUCCUUAGGGCUGCGCUACGCGUCGGCCGGUGGCUUAGUUAAAAACAUCCGCCGCCUAGCUGGCCGUUGGAUGGACGCGCUGCUAGCCGUCCAAUGUACCACCCACGUUCCCCAUCUCCCUUCUGCAACAAGUGUGGUGUUGCAGAAACAAGGGCCGUGCUACGCGUCCGUCGGUUGAAGUUCGGGAAGGUUCGACCACCUCCCACGCCGUUAGAUCUCCCCACGUGAGCGUCACAAAUUGCAAUAAGCUAGUUUGUUACGCUCAUCCCUCUGCAACAACGACUUUGUUGCAAACCACUGUGAAGAGUUAUCGUGUGACUUCACGAAUUGCAACAAGUUGGUUGUUGCUGAAACAAAGACUUUGUGUGGAGACGUGAUGUAACUUUUGCUAUAAUGAUAUUGUUGCAGAAAAUUUUGCAACUGUGGUGAUGUUGCAGAAAAAAUUGUCUCCACUUUUAUGCAACAAAGGUAAUGUUGCAGAAAUUUUUUGCCUUCACAUUCAUGCAACGUAGGUGAUGUUCCGGGAGCAAGUUUUGCAACAUUACUGAUGUUGCGGAAUUUAUUUGCAAUGAAUAGGGUUGGCCCAGGUAGUAGGGACCAGGCACGUGCACCAAGUCUUCAUGCGAGUCACGCGCCUUCACAAUCCAGUGGACCAACGGGUCGCGAUCUGACGGCCGCGCGAGCGACGGUUGCAGCGAGAAAGAUCGGCCGGUUGAUUGGAAGCUUUUUCCUUAUCCUUAAGUACGUUCUCCCUUUUUUUCAUUUUGAUUUUUCUUCUUGUAUAUUUGUUUCUUUCAUUGUUUUUUCUUGAAAUAUUUCUUAACGUCCUACCAUUUUUUGAUAUACCAAAUAAAUUAUGUUUUCUUUAACAAGCCAAUAGUUUACACCAAAUAAAAUCCUGACAUUUAUUAAGCUAGGUAAAUCACAGGUAGUAGCAUUUUGUAAACAAUUAUUCACAUAAUUACAUUAAUAUGAAAAAUUAAACUCAGGGACUAACGUGCUAUAAUAUUUAUUGCCAGUUAUAAACACGGACAAUUAUUUAAAGUUUUCUACAAGAAAAAAUAUUUAAAAAGCAUUCCCUCGAAGAAGGGGAAACAAAACCUAAUGGUGCGUGGGCCGAGUUAACCAGGCCAAUAUCUGGCCUAACGCGUGGCUCGCUAUGAAGGCCCAACACGUGGCAUUGCGCUUGCCUGCCGCCGCGUGCCCUAUAUAGCUUGAGCCGCCGCGGCCCGCGUCACCGCCGACGCAUCAACCCCGCCUCCCACGAGCGUCGCCGCCAUCGCCGUCCCGUUCCGCAUCGUCGCGGCGUCGCAUCCCUGCUGUCUCCACACGCCCACGAGCUUUGGCCACUGGCUUUUGGGUUCCAAGGUCUGGGCUUGUGAUCAGCCAAACCCCACUGACCCCCACGAUUGCAGGGCAGAUGAAUGCUGCUGCUUCUUCUAAUCAACAUGCCAAUGCCACGAUAACUACUCAAUUUUGUCACCAGAAGUUUCUUCCUGUAAAUUCACUCGCGUGGUUGUCUCGUUGUUAAUUUCCAUUUUCCAUUGUGAGUUUGUGACAGGUUGAGAAGGAAGGGGGUCGCCAUGGAAGGAGACCCCAGAGAGAGGGAGAACCGCCGAGGCUCUCUGGACGAGAUGGAGAUGAAGGUGGCCAGGUUCUCGCGGGGGAAGGCGGCAAACCUGGGGGUAGGAAUAGGAUUGCUGCUCUCCUUCUGUCCUACUAGUGUGGUUGUUGGAAAUUCAGGUGCUACAUGCUCUGCCUGCUAUAAUACUUCAGAAGUGAAUUUGACAUCUUUGGUUUUCUCCGUAACAGGAUUUGCGCGACAAGAAACUGAAAGGGCAGCUCGCUGGAAAAGAGAAGCUGAUUGGAGUGUCCGCCAAAGCUGCCGCUCAGGCUGAAAAGGUGUGUGUUUGUGGAUUUGUGGAUUUGUUGCAGAAUGUAUGUGAAUUUGUUGUUUCAUACAACAUAUAUGUAGCUAUCUCACUGGAAAUCUCGGGGGCACUAACCAACGGUGUAUGCAUGAUAAGGGAAUCUGGCAUUCUAGACUAGUGACUUGUGGCAAUGUGAUGUUCUAGAAUACAGCUCUGGUUUAGCUGUUCACCAGUGUCGUGCGGAACUGUUUGAAUGAAGUGCUCUACUCAUAUGUAUAGAAUCCACAUUUUAAAUGUAAACAUAGAUUGAUCUGGCGUUGCCGUUAAAGAGAUGAUGGCCAGCCGGCGAAAGACCAGCCAGUAGAUUUUCGACGCAUCUACCGUGACAAGGAGUAAAAUUUACUGAGUGUACACAUACUCUUUUUGGAUCGUUUUAAUUCACAUUACUUGACAAUUAUGGCAUAGAUAGGUAUGGCUAUCACUUUCAUGUCACUUUGAGUAUGGACUCUCUUGCAUAACUCCAUGGUGCUCGUUGGAACAUAAUAUAACAGUGCACCCAUCUAAAUUCUUUGCCUACCUCAUGCCUCUUGAUUUUCAUGCUAAACAAUUAUCCAGUCGAACUGACUUGUGCAAACAUGAGAUAAUUUGCACUAUGCUGAUUUUUCUUUUACUCAAUUUACAGUGGCUAUUGCCUAGCGUUGGGGGCUAUCUAGAGCCUGAAGGUCUCGAAAAGACAUACAGAUUUGAGCAGUGGUCGAUUCUGCCAAAGGUGGACAUUGGGAGUUCAAGAAAAUCAUUUGACAUGAUCUUACCUGGUAAAUAUGUAGAUCUGUUACACUAUUAUCUGAAUCUGCCACCCUAUCUACAUUAUCCAGUAUCAAAAUAGCCACAUGAUGGCCAGCUCAGAUUGACGAUAUCGUAUUUCUUGAUUCUUAUUGUGUAUGCCUUUAUAGACUUACCAUGUGGUUGUUACAUAUACCCUCCUUACUGUUUACGUGAAAGGAAGAUGCAAGUUAGCCUGUAAAACAUUUGUAACCAUAACAUAACAUUGAAACUAUCAGCUUUGUAUGACUAAACAGUUUUCCUAAUCGAAUAGUUCAGUGAAAGAAUUUUUCUGCAGGCUCUUAUGUUAUUUCAUUAGGCAUACUCUAUGCUGCGACCUUGCUGAAUGCUGACUGUCAGUUUCCCUAAUUAUGGUUUAUGACCAUGAGUUGUAUGAGGGUGCUGAUCGACUAGCUGUUUUGUAUGCAGUGUUUGGUCCUUAUACUCUGGAAUACACACCAAAUGGGCGCUACAUGAUAGUAGGUGGGCGAAAAGGUCAUAUUGCAUUUAUGGAUAUGUUGAAUAUGGAACUCAUCAAUGAAUUUGAGGUCAGCUUUCGGUAUUUAAGCAGUUUGUCAGUAUGUAGGUUUACUUCUCUUUUGUUCUUUUUUCCUCAGUAAAAUGUUCACUAUUGAAUUUCAGUGCUUUGCUCAUAAAUUAGGCUCGCGAGAAUGAUAUUAGUAUGGUCCUCAAUAUUGGUGGAAAUAGCAGUAUUAAAAGUUUGUGCCUUUUGUUAGACCAACCUGAAAGCAAGAACUAAAUGAACUCUGGGGUUUAGUCUGCUAGUUCGACAAAUAUACAAAUGUGAAGGCUAAAAGGAGCCUAAGAUACCAUUGUGAAAUAAGGAUAUCUAUUUUAUGUACUCAUAAGUUGUAGAGUAAAGAUGAUACACAUUUUAAUUGUGGAGGGCGUGGAUGUUGAAGUCAAGGAACUACUUAUAGUUCAUAUUUUUCCAAGGUAUUGAAACUAGAAACUAGAGUACCUGGUAGGUACCCAAGAGUUUGCUCACCUUGCAGGGAUUACACGGGUUAAUCGCCCUUAUACUUAGUUAUAAUCAGCCUUAUACUCUGGUUGUUCUGAUAACCUAGUCAUUGAGUUUUUUUCAUUUCAUACGGUUUGAGUGAUAGCAGCUCAAAUUCGGAUAAAAUAUGCUGAGUUUAGAGUAGGUAGUUUUUCUUGUUUGCCUAGAAAAGACAAAAGAGUAAAGUCUUCAGAGACUUUCCCGUUGUCUCCCCGUUGGUUUCCAAGGUUUGCAGAAGUGAUAGCUAGGCACUAAGCGGGCGGUGUAUGGAUGCCUAGUUCCUAGACAGUAGCCUAGAACAUGGUGACAAGCAGCCAAGCAGCCAACCGAAUACCUGGGCCAAGGACCAUGCAUCCAAGAGCAAAAAUACAUAGGUAAGGGAGUAGGAUGGAGGGUGUAUGUGGAGAAUGUACAGGUCGUUGCAGCAGGCAGCUGGAGGAGGAUGUUUUGUGGUGGUAGGGGAGUGUGGCUCGUGGAGUCUGGAAAAUGAUGUCCCCUGUCCCCAUGUUUUAGUCCAUAAAAUGGAGCGUCUAAGCAGCGCCGAAUAGCACCUUUAGAACCUUGAUUAAAGAAAGCGGACCUGAAUCCUUCACAUUGUUUGUCCCUCGUCAAAAAAGAGAAAUUCCUAUAUAAGGAUAGCACGGAUCUUGACACAAACUGAAUGGUCUAGAUAGAGGGUACACUGGUAUGUGGGUACAAAAAAUCCACACUCCAUCCUAAUACUGUUCCCCACUUUUCUCCAACAUAUCAGCCCCUGGUUUUUAUAAUCACGGUGACUGUAGACAUCUCCAACAUUAUUUCUUGUUGCACCUCAUAUAUGUAUUGUAUUUCUCUGAUCUUAUCUUUUUUAUAGGUGAAGGAAACUGUGUGCGACGUGGCAUUUUUACAGAACGAGCAACUCUUUGCAGUCGCCCAGAGAAAGUAAUUUAUUGACUGUACUCAAGCUUUGCGACAUAUUUCCAUUUCUCAUGAAGUAUAUCAACAUGUUCCAUGUGCUAAAAAAGAUGUAAUAAGAUGACCCCUACAGCUUGAUGAUGUAAAGAAAGGAUGGACAAACCCAUGCUCAGCAAAAUAAGAACCGUUGUCAGAAUAUGUUUGAUAUGUGGAUCAAUCAGGCUACAGAAUGACGCAACAUUUCAACAUGAUUCACUACACCGUUUCCCUGUACAAUUUCCCAUGAGUGGGAUCAUCAUAAAAUGGCAUCUGUGAACAAGACUAAUUUUUGGCAGUUUCUUGAACUGUUAGUGCAUAAAUAUGUGGGCUAGGUACAGCUUAGGGUUGCCUUCUGACUUCAAUAUUCGAGAAUGGGUGAUCUGGACUCUGGAACUGUUAGUUUCUUAAAUCGUGUAUUAAUACUCUAUGUGCAAAUGGUGCUUACAAGCUGUGAAGGGCUGAUUAUGCUAAUGAUUUCUAUAGAUUUUUUAUAGUUCCUCACAAGAAUAUUGUUCAAACAGGUAUCCGUACAUAUAUAAUCGUCAUGGCACAGAAAUUCACUGUCUGAAGGUAAUCAUGAUUUAAAUACCUCUAUGUUCUUGGUAACUUUGCCCUGGUUUUUGAUGAUUUUGAAGAAGUGGUUGUAUGUAUAGUAAAUCCGGGAAUAGGAGCCUUUGUAUGAUCUCUACAGAACUAGUGAUUGAUUAAUAUAACUCUUAUGUUAGGUACAUUCAGUGAUUUGUUCUUAGAUCAGCUAAUGGGAAUACAUGACCUCCCUUUUUUGUAGUUGGAAAACUAAUAACUAGUGCCCAGACCACAUAUUGAUAUGCAUCUGCAUGUCAGUGUGAUAUUCAGAUGCAUUUUCAACAACUGAAAGCUUAGUGGUGGCAAAAUACCGGGCAUGCAAAUAUCCGAAUUGAAUGUUCCUUUGUUGAUGAAUGUGAUGCUUUUUUUCACAUAGGGCUUUCCAAAAGGAACUUAUUGGUACGUACUAAACAGUUGAGUACUGCAAAAAAUUGGUCUCAAGGAAUUACUUUGGACAGUGCUUCUGUUUCUUAUAAGCAUCAUAACACUAGUGUAGCGACACCUUCAUAGCUACCAGUCAAUUAUCGAAUUUGUACCCAAUGCGUCUCCACAAAAGACGUGCUAUCUCCAAAAUACUUCUUUUGAGAGUCUAACAGUGAUCACUCUUCCGUUUCACAGGAACAUGGCAAAUCGCUGAAGCUUCAGUUUCUGGAUAAACACUUACUCUUGGCAUCGAUAAACAGCUAUGGGCAGCUCCACUACCAAGACAUGAGCACUGGUGAGAUGGUUGCAAACUACAGCACAGGUCUUGGACGUACGGACGUGAUGCGGGUAAACCCCUACAAUGCCGUCAUUGGCCUUGGACAUGCUCGUGGGAAACUCACCAUGUGGAAGCCAACCAGUGUGAAACCCCUUGUCACAAUGUUGUGCCAUAAGGGCUCUCUGACUGCCGUCGCAUUUGACAGGGGUGGUCACCUUAUGGCAACUGCAGGUGGAGACCAGAAGAUUAAGAUUUGGGAUCUCAGGAAGUUUGAGGUUGUGCAUUCAUACACCGCACGUGCUCAGUCCCUGGAUUUCAGCCAGAAGGGGUUGUUGGCGAGCAGCAACGGAUCUCUAGUGGAGAUAUACAGGGAUUGCGGGGGCCAGGACUAUAAAAUCUAUAUGAAGCACAGAAUGGUAAAGGGAUAUCAGGUGGGCAAGGUUUUGUUCCGCCCUUACGAGGACAUCUGUGGGAUCGGGCACUCCAUGGGAUUUUCCUCCAUGCUCGUUCCUGGAUCAGGCGAGCCAAACUUCGAUACCUUUGUUGACAACCCCAUGGAGACCGGGAAGCAAAGGCGGGAGAAGGAGGUGCAGGCCCUCCUUGACAAGCUCCAACCAGAGACCAUCAUGCUUGAUCCGGAUGUGAUAGCCACUGUAAGACAACUGAAGAAGAAACAGAAGAAAACCAAGAAAGAGAUCGAGGGCGAGAUUGAAGGUGCCGUCGAGGCCGCCAAGAACAUUAGGGUCAAGAAGAAGACAAAGGGUAGGAGUAAGCCGAGCAGGCGGGCCAAGAAGAAAGAGGAGGAGGUUCUCAGAGCCAAGAGGCCUUUGUUGGAUCAACACAAGGAAGCCAGUGGGCACCCUGACAAGAAACUGCGGAUUGGCGAUGACACCGAGCUGCCGAAAGCAUUGCAGCGGUUUGCCAAGAACAGGCAAUCGUGAUCUUAGUUAUCAACUUAUCAUUAGCGAGUGUGUGCUGUAGUCUAUUAUGUGAAGGAGUAGCUGGCAAGUAGUAGUUCAUGUGAACUUGUUAGAAAAAUAUGCACCUUUAUUCUCUGCUGGGCAUUACGUUCUCCAGGUUGAAGUUUGGUUUAGGUCAGCUCUUCUUCCUGGGCUGGCAUAUUUUUUAUGUUUGAUGAUGCUGAGGUUGAGGCUUGAGAGUACCGUUUGAUCUAAUUACUUGUGCCUUGGUGGUGUCUAACACUGUUUUAUGUGCUCAGCUCCAAUUCCUAUUGGAAUUCAGAACACUGUUUUCAUAGGAUAAAUGUCCUUGGGUCAGAAAUACUCGACCAAUGCAGCAUAGAAAGAAACUAUAAGUAUAGGUCUGGUGGCUACUGGUUACUGCUGUGAAAGGAGCAUGUGUUACUUGUGUAUAUGUUUGUUUUAGGAUCACUCAGAUUCAUGAAGAAACUAUCAAAACCCACUGAAAAUUAUACAGAACGAUCUCCUGUUCCCAACCUUAGUUGUCGCCACCGCCGAAGGUCUCCAUACCGCUGUCUCGGACCCUCGCCUCUCCCCUGUCUGAUGUUCUCGUCGGUGACAAUAGGAGUGGGGACCUGUUUUUGUUUUUUGUUUUUUAUUAGGUUUUGUUUCCAUGGCGGUGGUGGCGAUGAAGGCGAGUUAUUGACAAAAAAACUACCACUUUAGGACUUGUUCGGUUGCAAGAGUUUUGAAGAGGGUUGGGGAGGAUUAAAUCCCCUAUAAGUCAAAAUCCACCUCAAUCCCUCCAAACCUCUCCAUUCCUCUCCAAGAGAGGUUUAACUGAACAUAGCCUUAUGCUUCGUUUGACAUGAGAGGUUUUGGGGGGUAUCGAGUGGAUUUUCCACACGUGGCCCAGAACCCUCUACAAUCCUCCUUGGACCAUUUGGCAGACGAGGUUUCGCUGGCCCAAUCCAUCUGAUUCCCCCUCGAUCCGCCUCGACCCACGCGGGUCAGAAGGCACGAGGAGGCCCUCGUGGAAUUGGAGCCACGCGCGAGACCGAGCCUUCUCCUCGCGCCGCCGUCGGCAGCAGCCGUCCUCGCGGAGGGGAUGCGUGGCUGGAGGGGAUGUGUGGCUGGAGAAGGAUUUAAGCUUUCAAGGGGAUUGGGUGAAAGAGGGGGAUUUACCAAAUCCCCUAAAAUCCCCUCCUCCCUAAACCUCCACGAUCUCUUCCUGUCAAACAAAGCCUUAGGGGUUUGCGUCCCAGUGAACUACCACAUUUUAAAAAGUGACCGAAAACUACCAAUAUUUUUUUAUUUUGUGACAAAAACUAUCACUUUCAGAAAAUGAUCAGUUUAGAUGAUUUAAACACGUUUAUGACAUCCGGGACCCACCUGCCAGGGCUGACAUGGCGACAAAGUCAACUCCAUUUAAUUUGACUGUUAAGUUGACCAGUGGGGCCCGCAUGUCAGCAUCAACUUCUUCCUCCUCAUCCUCAUCCUCCUCUCUCUCUCUCUCUCUCUCUCUCUCUCUCUAUGUCUCUCUCUAAACUGUUAUUACCUUGUAUAACCACGACAAAAUACUAUCAUCCAAGGCAACAAGAUAUAGUCAUCAUGCAGGUUGCCCUAUUAUUAGCCAACGGCUAUAGGCAGCCAAUCUUUUCAAUGAACGCGCGUUGAUCCCAGCAAUCAAGUCUUGAGAUUCAUGUCACUACAUAGGAAGCCUAUCCCCCAAAAUCCAAUCAAACCCUUCCUAUGCACGUCUUCACCUUCGACUAUAUAAGAAGCCUGCCCCAUCUCCCUCCUGUCAUCUGCAAACACAACUUCCUACAUUCUCUCUUACUCCUUCAGAAGAAAAACUCCCGCAACAAUGGCGGUUUCGUCCAAGCUUUUCCCGGCCGCCGUCCUCCUCCUGCUUCUCCUCCUGGCCACAGGUAAUCGACUGCAUGUUCGUCCUGACGGGCUAGUAACUUCCAACCUAACCUGAGACUGAUCGUUCUUGAUGCGUGCAGAGAUGGGGCCUGUGCGGGAGGCCAUGGCGUGCGAGCACGCCCCGUGCAAGAAGUGCACCGGGUCGUGCUUCGACCCGGAGGAGUGCGCCAUCACGUGCCGGAACGAGGGCUACGACUCCGGCGACUGCACCGGCGGCGGAGCCUACCGUUGCACGUGCAGCAAGAAUUGCUAGCUAGCUAGUGCGUGAAGAACACACGAGUAGAAUAAAAAGGGGAUUAUAGUUCUGUGCUACUCUAGUUUGUUCUUUCCUUUUUGACCUUGGAUUUUGUUCGAAGGUUCACACGAAUGUGGCCGAAACUCAGUGGACUCCACUAGGGUCCAGUUCUGAGAUUAUUUUGUGUCGCAAGUUAUGUACUAAGAGAGAUUUCUCUCAAAAAAGAAUAUACAAAAAGAGAGUAACUGUUAGUCAAAGGUUUAUCCUUCAGAACGGGAGUACGGUGGGCUAUCAAAUUGACAUGCAAUGAGACGUACUCCCUCCGUUCCCAAAUAUAAGUCUUUGUAGAUAUUCUAACAAGUGACUAUAUACAGAGCAAAAUGAAUGAAUCUACACUCCAAAAUAUGUCUACAUACAUCUGUAUAUUGUAGUCUGUUUGAAAUGUCUAAAAAGAUUUAUAUUUACGAACGGAGGGAGUAGCCAAUUGUUGACUCUAUUAUUAGACAUGCUCUUUUAACUAACAUCCAAGACUUUGUUUGAAAGACUAAGGGCAUGUACAAUAGUUGAUAAGGUAGUCUUAUCUUAAGUUUUGCAUGUAAUUUAAAGAUGACAAUAUUUUGUCUACAAUGAGUCAUCUCUUAGCCUUAUCUUCAAUAACUAGUCAUUCCUAAAAACAUGGUGAGACAUAUUGUGCUAAAAGAUCAUCUCUUGUCUUCUCUUAAAUAAGAGAAGACAAGCCUUUUCUUAUGAGUUCUCUCUCCUCCACCUCAUCACUUAUCCUACGUGGCAAUGCUAAGAUAGCACCAUUGUACAUGCCCAAAACUGCUUAGCAGCGGUCGAAUAAGUGGGUAAUGUUGGGAUGAACCAAAAAAGUUUGGUAGAGCUGGAUCUAAGUGUUGGCUGGUAAACGUCCUGCAGUAAGUAAGAUGGGUAGUUAUAAACCCUGUCUUGAUUUGAGGAGGGAAAAUAGGGGUUGAGAUUCAUAUAAUCAUCGCCAAAAUCCAAUCCAAACAUAUCUUAACAUUUCAGAACUAUCCCAGUGGCGGUUUUCUCGGUCAUCCUUCUCCUGGCCACAUGUACGUUGUAAUUGAUUGUUUAUAUAUCCUAAUAAUAUUGGGUGCUUACCUGGCUUGAAUGCAUGCAUGGAUUAGACGUCUCCAACCACAAUGGUCAAAUUUGACCCUUUUCCCCAGAAACAUGUCCGAACCAUGUACAAUGUGUAGGCUCUAGACCCUCAUUUGUCCAUGUACACAACGAUAUCUCUCAAUUUAUUUCUAAAUUGUCCAAACACAUGCACAAGAUUGAUAGGGUGGUUUGCUCUCCAUUAGAUAGGAAAGACUAAAAAAGAUAGAAUGUGGUCAAAGAUGGGAGGUCUGAUGGACUAUCGGGGCACCCCUAUUUCUUCCACACUUAUGGUUGUGUUUGGGGAUUUGCGAAUGGGGAUUUGGGAACAACCAGGACAAAUGAGAGGAUUUGGAGGACUUGGUUGAAGAGGCCAUUCUUAUCCGCACAUUGUCCAGGCUGUUUAUUCGGAUAUAUAGAUAUAUGAGGACAAUUUGAGUGUCUAGUUGAAGAUGCUCUUACAUGAUGAUCAGUAAACAUAGGAUCUGACCAAAUAUAUUUCUUUGUCUAGCGUAGACUCAUUCAUACGUGCUAGAAAAUUCUUGGAGCUGCCAGUUACACUCAGAGUUGGCAGCUUGGGGCUGCCACUCCGUUCCCGUAUAUAAGGUGUGUUUAUUUUUUACUAAUGUGUAUUUCUUCUAAUCUCACAUAUUUUCGUUUCUAUCUAUCCACCCUCAUGUACGAAGCAACCUCACAAUCAAGCCCAAAAGAUGCUAGUAUCAUAUCAUGAUACCGUAGCUUAAUAAAAAAUAGUACUAUGAUGUGUCAUGCAAAACAAUAAAUAAAGUUAUCUAAGAUGCUAACACGUUAGAAUUUGCACUAGGAAGAUAAUAUUUAUACACUACGAGUAGGCUAACCGUACGUGUGUGCUACACAAAAUAAUUUGUUCCCGGCGGAAAGGCAUGCAACAUGCAUUUCUGUUUUUACAGAUAUAUACUUCUAAGGGACCCCGCAAAAAAAUACUUCUAAGGGAUUAUUCAAGGGUAUUUUUGUCUCAAACUCUGCUAGAUUGCGUGCCUUGCUGAAAAAAUACACCUGACAUAUGAAGGGGGUAGAAAGAAAAUUACUUCACGGUUUUCCCCGUGGGAUUUUAAAACUAACUCCGAUUAUGGGUAUCAUUGGCUUUAAAAAGAAAUCAAAAUUCAUUUAUCCACUAGUAAAAAAGGGGCUUUCGUUCGGGCCUGGCCAGCCCAUUAGUCCCGGUUCUGCCACGAACCAGGACCAAUGGAGGCAUUUGUCCCGGUUCGUGAGCCCAGGGGGCCGGCCGAGGCCUCGUGGGCAUUGGUCCCGGUUCGUCUGGGCCCAUUUGUCCCGGCUCUUGGCACGAACCGGGACCAAUGAGCCUCGCUCCUGGCCCACAACCAUUGGUCCCGGUUCGUGGCAGGAACCGGGACAAAAGGAUGGCCUUUAGUCCCGGCUCCAGCCACGAACCGGGACAAAUGAGUUGCCUAUAUAUACCCCAUUGCCGGCGAGCAGAGAACUCCACAGUGCUUUGUUUUUUGCUGGCCGGCGAGGAAGGGCAUUUGGGUGCUCUAGCUCACCUCUUAUGCAUGUGAGGUGUUCGAUGAAAUGCCCGAGCCACACUAGUUAAGCUUUCUCCUCUCGAAGCUCGACCUCCGAGAUCCAUUUUUUCCAAGAUUUGUCUAGGUUUAGCGGUCCGUCACGUCGCGUCCUCGUCUUCACCACCGUCGAUCGCCCGCGCCGACCUCGUCGCCGGCACCACCGUGGUGAGCCUCUUGUUCUUAUCUUCUUUCUGAAAGAAAAAAAUCUUACUUUAGAUAGAUACUUGUCUAAUUUUCUUACUUUUGACACACAUAAUUAUAUAUAAUGCACGCAGAUGAACCGGCAAUGGAUGUACGGUGACAGACACACCUCUGAGUACAUUAAGGGCGUGCAUAAUUUUCUCAAAGUGGCUGAGGCAAACAAGCAGAAUGGUUUUAUGUGUUGUCCAUGCCCUAAUUUGUGGGAAUACGAGGUCUUACUCUGACAAGAAAAUCCUUCACACCCACUUGCUUUAUACGGGUUUCAUGCCACACUAUAAUGUUUGGACGAAGCACGGAGAAAUAGGGGUUAUGAUGGAAGACAGCGAAGAAGAAGAGGACGAUGACAACUAUGUGCCCCCUGAAUACGGUGAUGCUGCAACGGGGAAAGCUGAAGACCGAGAGGAAGCUGAAGAUCCAGAGGAACCAGACGAUGUGCCCUAUGAUGAUCUCCGCCGGGUCAUUGUUGAUGCAAGGGAAAAGUGCGAAAGUGAAAAGGAGAAGCUGAAGUUCGAUCGCAUGUUAGAGGAUCACAAAAAAGGGUUGUACCCCAAUUGCGAAGAUGGCAACACAAACCUCGGUACCAUACUGGAAUUGCUGCAGUGGAAGGCAGAGAAUGCUGUGCCUGACAAAGGAUUUGAGAAGCUGCUGAAAAUAUUGAAGAAGAAGCUUCCAAAGGAUAACGAAUUGCCCGACAGUACGUACGCAGCAAAGAAGGUCGUAUGCCCUAUAGGAUUGGAGGUGGGGAAGAUACAUGCAUGCCCUAAUGACUGCAUCCUCUAACGCGGUGCGUACAAGGAUUUGAACGCAUGCCCGGUAUGCGGUGCAUUGCGGUAUAAGAUCAGACGAGAUGACCCUAGUGAUGUUUAGGGCGAGACCCGCAGGAAGAGGGUUCCUGCGAAGGUGAUGUGGUAUGCUCCUAUAAUAACACGGUUGAAACAACUGUUCAGAAAGAAAGAGCAUGCCAAGUUGAUGCGAUGGCACAGUGAGGACCAUAAGAAAGACGGGAAGUUGAGAGCACCCGCUGACGGGUCGCAGUGGAGAAAAAUCGAGAGAAAGUUCUGGGCUGAGUUUGCAAGUGACCCAAGGAACGUAUGGUUUGCUUUAAGCGCGGAUGGCAUUAAUCCUUUCCGGGAGCAGAGCAGCAAUCACAGCACCUGGCACGUGACUCUAUGUAUGUAUAACCUUCCUCCUUGGAUGUGCAUGAAGCGGAAGUUCAUUAUGAUGCCAAUUCUCAUCCAAGGCCCUAAGCAACCCGGCAACGACAUUGAUGUGUACCUAAGGCCAUUAGUUGAAGAACUCUUACAGCAGUGGAAUGGAACAGGUGUACGUGCGUGGGAUGAGCACAUGGGGGGAGAAUUUGACCUAAGGCGUUGCUAUUCGUGACCAUCAAUGAUUGGCCCGCUCUCAGUAACCUUUCAGGACAGACAAACAAGGGAUACCACGCAUGCACGCACUGUUUAGCUGACACCGAAAGUAUAUACCUGGACAGAUGCAAGAAGAAUGUGUACCUGGGCCAUCGUCGAUUUCUCCCGACCAACCAUCAAUGUCAAAAGAAAGGCAAGCAUUUCAAAGGCAAGGCAGAUCACCGGAAGAAGCCCGCCAUGCGUACCGGUGAUCACGUACUUGCUAUGGUCUCUAAUUUACACGUAAUAUUUGGAAAGGGUCCCGACGGACUAGCUGUUCCGAAUGACGCUGAGGGACGCACACCCAUGUGGAAGAAGAAAUCUAUAUUUUGGGACCUACCCUACUGGAAAGAGCUAGAGGUAUGCUCUUCAAUCGAUGUGAUGCACGUGACGAAAAACCUUUGCGUGAACCUGUUAGGCUUCUUGGGCGUGUAUGGGAAGACAAAAGAUACACCUGAGGCACGGGAGGACCUGCAACGUUUGCACGAAAAAGACGGCAUGCCUCCAAAGCAGUACGAAGGUCCUGCCAGCUACGCUCUUACCAAAGAAGAGAAGGAAAUCUUUUUUGAAUGCCUGCUCAGUAUGAAGGUCCCGACUGGCUUCUCGUCGAAUAUAAAGGGAAUAAUAAAUAUUCCAGAGAAAAAGUUCCAAAACCUAAAGUCUCAUGACUGCCACGUGAUUAUGACGCAACUGCUUCCGGUUGCAUUGAGGGGGCUUCUACCGGAAAACGUCCGAUUAGCCAUUGUGAAGCUAUGUGCAUUCCUCAAUGCAAUCUCUCAAAAGGUGAUCGAUCCAGAAAUCAUACCAAGGCUAAGGAGUGAUGUGGCGCAAUGUCUUGUCAGUUUCGAGCUGGUGUUCCCACCAUCCUUCUUCAAUAUCAUGACGCACGUCCUAGUUCAUCUAGUCGACGAGAUUGUCAAUCUUGGCCCCGUAUUUCUACACAAUAUGUUCCCCUUUGAGAGGUUCAUGGGAGUCCUAAAGAAAUAUGUCUGUAACCAUGCUAGGCCGGAAGGAAGCAUCUCCAUGGGCCAUCAAACAGAGGAUGUCAUUGGGUUUUGUGUUGACUUCAUUCCUGGCCUUAAGAAGAUAGGUCUCCCUAAAUCGCGGUAUGAUGGGAGACUGACUAGAAAAGACACGCUAGGAGCGGACUCAAUAAUAUGCAGGGACGGGCAUUCUUCGUCUCAAGCACACUACACAGUUCUACAGAACUCUACCUUGGUGACCCCGUAUGUCGAUGAACACAAAAACAGUCUGCGCUCCAAACACCCGGAGCUGUGUGACGACUGGAUUACAUGUGAACAUAUCAGGACUUUCAGCAGUUGGUUGGAAACACGUCUCAGAGGUGACACCACUGUUUGUGAUGAGCUGUACUCGCUGUCCAGGGGACCAUCUUCGACUGUAUUGACUUACAAAGGAUACGAGAUAAAUGGGAAUACAUUUUACACGAUCGCCCAAGAUCAAAAGAGCACCAACAAAACAGCGGUGUCCGCUCUGAUGCAGCAACCGAGAGGGGAAAGGACACAUAUUAUGGUUACAUAAUGGACAUAUGGGAACUUGACUACGGACAUGAUUUUAAGGUCCCUUUGUUUAAGUGCAAAUGGGUCAAUCUGUCAGGAGGCGGGGUACAGGUAGACCCACAGUACAGAAUGACAACAGUGGUUCUGAACAAUCUUGGGUACACUGACGAACCGUUCGUCCUAGCCAAUGAUGUGGCACAGGUUAUCUAUGUGAAGGACAUGUCUACCAAACCGAGAAAAAGAAAAGAUAAGCAAGCGAAUACAUCAUACAAUGAGCCAAAGCGCCACAUAGUUCUUUCAGGAAAAAGGGACAUUGUGGGAGUGGAGGGCAAGACAGACAUGUGAAGAUUAUGAAAAGUUUCAUGAAAUUCCUCCCUUCAAAGUCAAAGCAAAGCACACAAGCGAAAAAAGUGAAGACUUUCUCUCCACAACUAUUAUGAUGAUACCAUGCCAACUUUCAACCUUUUCGUAGUUCAUUUGAAAUGUCUAUUGUAACAGACGAGUUUCCGUAUGAAAUCCUGAUACUUUGAAACAGAUUGUCCGUUUUGUACACGAAGUGCAUCCAGUUUUUGCCGUAACCCUCUCUAAUUUUUUGCACAUGCUAUGUGGGUGAAAUGAUGAUACCAUGCCAACUUUCAACCUUUUCAGAGUUCAUUUGUAGUGCUUUUCAAUUUCAUGGUCUUAUAGCUCAAAAUAAUCAGUAAAUGCAUGGAAAAUAACAAAUGAAGUCAGAAAUGGUUGAAAAUUGAUGAUGUGGCUUUGAAUGGUGCAUUUUGAACACAGAAAAACUAUGGAGUUCAAAUAAGUUCUAAAAAAUGAAAUCCCUUUGUAACAGACGAGUUUCCGUAUGAAACCUUGAUACUUCGAAAGAGAUUGUCCGUUUUGUACACGAAGUGCAUCCAGUUUUUGUCGUAACCCUCUCUACUUUCUUGCACAUGCUAUGUGGGUGAAAUGAUGAUACCAUGCCAACUUUCAACCUUUUCAGAGUUCAUUUGUAGUGUUUUUUAAUUUCAGGGUCUUAUAGCUCAAAAUAAUCAGUAAAUGCAUGGAAAAUAACAAAUAUCAUAAAAAAGUAAUUAGAAAUGGAAUAAAAUAAACUUUAAUAAAAUAUAUAAGUAGAAACAAAAUAAAAUAAACUUUAAUAACAUAAAUAAAAUUUAUGAAACUAAAAUUAUCAACAUAUUUUCUGUUCAAAACAUUAUAAGCAACCUCUAGUAUUACUGAAACUAAAAUUAUAUAAAAUUGAUGCAACUAAAAUUAUCAAAGUUUUUUCUGUUCAAAAUCAUUAAAAGCAAAAAGAAUUUUCAUAAAGAACUUUUUUGUUAGAAACUUUAAUAGCAAAAAGAAUUAUCAUAAAAUAAAAUAAAUAAGUAAUUAGAAACAAAAUAAAAUAAAAUAAAUAAGUAUUUUGUUGUAAGUAGAAACAAAAUAAAAUAAAUAAAGCAAAAAAUAAAAAAAUAAACUGGGAAAAAAUAAAAAAAGCCACCUACUAGGCCACCACGGCCUGAAUACGACUAGAAACCCACCCAUGGGCCAGGAUUCAGGCCCGUAGAAGGCCCAAUAGGCCCACAGGCAGAUACAGUGUGUUUAGACCCGAAAGCCUGCAUUUGAGAGGAGCUCGAGAGGGCAGCGGGAGUGGGGCUUAUAAACCACUCUCGAGCUCCCUCAGCUAGCGAGGUGGGACUAAACUUUCGUGCCACGAUGCGGGCAGCACAAGGCCUUUAGUCCCGGUUGGUGCCACCAACCGGUACUAAAGGCAUACAUUGGUACCGGUUCAUGCCAACAACCGGUACCAAUGCGCACCCUUUAGUCCCGGUUUGUGCCACCAACCGGGACCAAAGGCCUCUGCUUCCCGCCCUUUGGACUGCUGAAAAGCGACCUUUGGUCCCGGUUGGUGGCUCCAACCGGAACUAAAGGGGUGCUUUGGUCCCGGUUACUGCCACGAACCGGGACCAAAGGUCUGUCUAUAUAAGCCACACUUGUGAAAUUUUCGGUUCAGUUCUUCUUCCCACUGCCCCGACGCCGUCGCCGCGUGCUCCUCUGCCCCGACGCCAUCGCUACGCGCGCCCCUGCCCCGACGCCGUCGCCGUGCCGCCNNNNNNNNNNNNNNNNNNNNNNNNNNNNNNNNNNNNNNNNNNNNNNNNNNNNNNNNNNNNNNNNNNNNNNNNNNNNNNNNNNNNNNNNNNNNNNNNNNNNNNNNNNNNNNNNNNNNNNNNNNNNNNNNNNNNNNNNNNNNNNNNNNNNNNNNNNNNNNNNNNNNNNNNNNNNNNNNNNNNNNNNNNNNNNNNNNNNNNNNNNNNNNNNNNNNNNNNNNNNNNNNNNNNNNNNNNNNNNNNNNNNNNNNNNNNNNNNNNNNNNNNNNNNNNNNNNNNNNNNNNNNNNNNNNNNNNNNNNNNNNNNNNNNNNNNNNNNNNNNNNNNNNNNNNNNNNNNNNNNNNNNNNNNNNNNNNNNNNNNNNNNNNNNNNNNNNNNNNNNNNNNNNNNNNNNNNNNNNNNNNNNNNNNNNNNNNNNNNNNNNNNNNNNNNNNNNNNNNNNNNNNNNNNNNNNNNNNNNNNNNNNNNNNNNNNNNNNNNNNNNNNNNNNNNNNNNNNNNNNNNNNNNNNNNNNNNNNNNNNNNNNNNNNNNNNNNNNNNNNNNNNNNNNNNNNNNNNNNNNNNNNNNNNNNNNNNNNNNNNNNNNNNNNNNNNNNNNNNNNNNNNNNNNNNNNNNNNNNNNNNNNNNNNNNNNNNNNNNNNNNNNNNNNNNNNNNNNNNNNNNNNNNNNNNNNNNNNNNNNNNNNNNNNNNNNNNNNNNNNNNNNNNNNNNNNNNNNNNNNNNNNNNNNNNNNNNNNNNNNNNNNNGGGGGGGGGGGCGAUAAAUAAUAGAACUAGUUAAACAAGUUUAUUUUUAGUAAGUACUACUUUAUUUUCUUUAUAGUAAGUGCUUAGUAGUUGAACUAGUUGAUUUAAUAAAACUACUUUAUUUCACUAUAUAUAGAACUAGUUUAUUUUUAGUAAGUACUACUUUAUUUUAUUUAUAGUAAGUGCUUAAUUAGUAGUUGAACUAGUUGAUUUAAUAAAACUACUUUAUUUUACUAUAGAAGUAGUUUAUUUUUAGCGAGAAAAUUAAUAGAACUAGUUUUUUUUAGUUCAAGCAAUUAUUCCCGCAUCGACGUUGACGAUGCCUAUCCCGCAUCCUCAUCGUCGACUCGGCGGAGGAGGCCGGCUUGAUCAGAGGGGCCAUCUCCGGGACUGGGCUCCGCCGGGCUGGUAUUGGGAGGUGCUACCUUCCGAGGGGCGUAGGUUGGUGAGGAGCCAGCCCGUCGUUGACCCGGUCCUUGUUUGGUGGCGGUCGUGUGGGCCAGUGACGGUGCCUAGGCUUCCGGACACCGCGGAGGUGGUGAUGAGGACAUGUACCUAGGGUAGGGUCACAUGCCUGACCUAAAUACCUUCCCCAAGGACAUCACUCUAAAGCCAGAAGCAUUCGAGGGGUACCAUCACCCACUCGACCAGAAACAUUUCCACUCGGAGGAAUCAAGAUCACUCGACCGUAACAAGAAACACUCGACGGACAGAAGACCUAAAGCCACUCUACACAGCAACGGUCGAGCAUUAACUCCUAGACUUAAUAGCCAUUUAUAACACUUUAUUACGGACGUUACCAGUAACGCCCCCCUCUUGAUGUACCUUAAAUCCCUUGUAACGUGGGCUGGCCGGGGUGCUGGCGCACUCUAUAUAAGCCACCCCCCUCCACAUGCACAAGGGUUCGCACCCCCUGUAACACACACGCAUAUAAUCCAGUCGACCGCCUCCGGGCUCCGAGACGUAGGGCUGUUACUUCCUACGAGAAGGGCAUGAACUCGUAAAACUCGUGCGUACAACUUCUCCAUAGCUAGGAUCUUGCCUCUACAUCCCUACCCCCCCCCCCAUUCUACUGUCAGACUUAGAACCACGACAGUUGGCGCCCACCGUGGGGCAGGUGUCUUAGCGACUUGUUGGAGAAGUUGCAAUUUUUUCGAUCCCCAUCAGCAUGGUUUCAGGCAGAGGAUUGGCCGAGGACUGCGAGAUCCGUCUCGGCGCGCUCGUGUUCGUCGCCGACGACUCCGCUUGGCUCCAAGAAGCUCCACUCGACGUCGAGGCGCUCCCCGUCCGCGGGGCAACGCACUUUCGCGCGUGCGUCCGCGGCGUCCUCUUGCGGCAGCCGUCGACCCAGUAUCGGUCGGCUCCGGUGGCGUCUCCACUCCCUGCUGCCCGCCGGCGCAAGCGUUCCGGUCGGUCGAGGCUCCAGCAGUGGGUGAGGCACGCGGUGGCUCGCCACUCGGCCACCCCCCAAGUCGUGGCAAUCGAGCCCGACGAAACUCUCUACAGCCUGUUCGACCUAUCGACUGGCUCCGUUGAGACCGCAUCCGAGUGCGACAACAGUGACCCCGCGACGGAAGUCCUGAUGGUCAACGGACCGCGCAGUCCUCCUGGCUUCCCCCGCGACGACGGUGGUGAUGGCGGAGGCGAUCCGUCGCGUGUCCACGAGGAGUACCGCCCUGAGCCCCUCUCUUCGCAGCAGAGGGAAGAGCUUCGCCGCCGUAACAUGGAUGCACUUCACACUCCUAUCGUUGGAGAAACCCCCGAGGCCCGGGCCUUGGAGGAGGUGCGCCUGGCCAACUUGGCUGAGCACACUCGACUGGAGAAUCUCCAGCACGCACUCGACGAGCGUGCUCGGCAGCGAGUUCCUGAAUCCAGUCGACGACAACUUUUUCCGCCUCCAACCCAGGUAUAUCGAACUCCGAUCCAGAAUCUCACAGCUGCUGCCCGAAUAGCAGAGUCGAUUCAGCCUUCCCAGUCGGAGGCUGGUAGGGGUUUGAUGCAGAUCCAGGCUUUGCUCCGGGCGGCGGGGGAGCAGAACACAGCAGUGUCAUAGUCUCGGAAUAGGAUUCAUAGUAGAUCUGUAAUGGCAGACACAGCUCAGUCGGCUCACAGCCCGAGAUCACCUCCAAGGCGCGAGGGACGUGGAGAUCGACAGGAUCAGUACAGAAACCGUGAGCAGUAUGAUCGUCGUCGAGUACCCACGCCUCCCCCAAGGAGUGGGUCAUACGCGCCUCGGCAACACGAUGACAGGCGCCCUCACAGUGGUGGGCGAAGGAUUCCAGUCGACCCCCGGGAGCCGGGCUUUGACGCGAGAUCCAUUCUCGUUCAAGGUCUGGUUGAUAGAACAGAGCACACAGAGAUGGCCACGAUAGAGAUUACCUGACCGGCAGCAGGGUGCAUGUUUUAGGUCCCGAGUGUUUCAGCAGAGCCAUCAGAACAGCAGUGAUUCCUCCCAACUUCAGGUUGGCGACUGGAGUCAGCAAGUUCACUGGUGAGUCCAAGCCUGACACUUGGCUUGAGGACUACCGAGUGGCUGUGCAGAUUAGUGGUGGUAAUGAUGAAGUGGCCAUGAAGCACCUUCCUCUGAUGUUAGAGGGCUCGACCAAAGCGUGGUUGAAUCAGUUAGCACCUAGCAGUAUUUAUAGCUGGGAAGAGCUUGCCCGAGUGUUUGUCAGAACAUUUGAAGGUACAUGCAAACGGCCAGCAGGGCUAACAGAGCUACAGUCCUGUGUGCAGAAGUCGAAUGAAACUUUGAGAGAUUAUAUCCAGAUAUGGAUCCCGUUGCACCACACGGUGGAGAAUGUGUCUGAUCACCAAGCAGUUUGUGCCUUCAAGGAAGGCGUCAAGUAUAGAGAAUUGAAUCUGAAGUUCGAUCGGACCGGAGAUAUGUCUCUGAGUCGAAUGAUGGAAAUUGCCACCAAGUAUGCUAAUGGUGAAGAGGAGGAUCGGCUCCGGAAUGGCAAGCACAAAACAGUCGCCCACGAACCGGGGGAGGGAACUCCAGUCGGAAGCAGAAGCGUAAAGCCGAGCCAGCUGCUCCCGGAGAAGCCUUAGCCGUGACUCAAGGAAAGUUCAAGGGGAAGCCCAAAGGGCCAUGGAACCCCAAGAAAGUAAAAGAUCAAGAUGGAAAUGAUGUGUUGGAUUUACCAUGCCACAUUCACACCAAAAAGGAUGAGGAGGGUAAUCUCAUUUAUCCGAAACAUACCACUCGACAAUGUCGGCUCCUAAUCCAGCAGUUCCGAGAGAAACAGCCCAAAGAAAAGGAGAAAGAAUCGGACAAAGUUGAGGAUAAGGAAGAGGACGAUGAUGGUUACCCCCACGUCAAUUCCACUCUGAUGAUUUUUGCUGAUGUUGAGAGCAAGAGUUGACUGAAAGUCAUCAACAGAGAAGUGAACAUGGUCGCUCUGGCGACGCCCAGUUAUUUGAAGUGGUCUCAGACUACCAUUACAUUCGACCAGUCUGAUCACCCGACACACAUAGCCACCCCUGGGAGGCAAGCGUUGGUGGUCGACCCAGUCGCCGAAGGCACUCGGUUGACUAAGGUUCUGAUGGAUGGUGGCAGUGGCCUGAAUAUACUGUAUGCGGAGACCUUGAAAGGAAUGGGCAUUCCGAUUUCCAGACUCAGUGAAAGCAAUAUGAGUUCCCAUGGGGUUAUUCCUGGCAAGAAGGCUGAGUCACUCGGCCAGAUCGCCCUCGAUGUGGUUUUCGGUGAUUCCAAGAAUUACCGCAAAGAAAAGUUGACGUUUGAAGUCGUCGAUUUCUAGAGUGCUUAUCAUGCUAUUCUGGGCAGGCCGGCUUAUGCACAUUUCAUGGCUCGACCAUGUUACGUUUGCCUCAAAUUGAAGAUGCCUGGUCCUAAAGGAGUGAUCACUAUCACUGGCAAUCGGAAGAAGGCAGAAGAGUGCUUCCAGAAGGGCUCAAAGAUCGCCGAUGCGCAAAUGGCAGUAGUGGAAUUGCAGGAGUACCCAAAAAAUGCAGAUCCAAGUGAUUUGUUGCGAGCUAAGAAGCCUGCCACGGAUUGAGCAUUUCAGUCGUCUGGUGAAACGAAGCCGAUUCAUAUUCACCCGACCGAUGCCAAUGCUGCUCCGAGUCACAUUUCGAAAACACUCGACUCCAAAUAGGAAGAAGCGCUCAUCCAAUUCCUCCGUGAGAACUGGGACAUCUUUGCAUGGAAACCUUCUGACAUGCCGGGUGUUCCCAGGGGGCUGGCUGAGCACCGUUUGCGAGUCGACCCAAAAGUGAAACCAGUCAAAGAACAUCUUCGACGGUCCGCCGUACAGAAGAGAAAAGCAAUCGGUGAAGAAGUGGCUCGGCUCCUAGCAGCUGAGUUUAUCCGAGAGAUUUACCACUUCGAGUGGCUAGCCAAUGUUGUCAUGGUCCCCAAGAAGGACGACUCACUUCGCAUGUGCAUUGACUUCAAGCAUAUCAAUCGGGCCUGCCCGAAAGAUCACUUUCCUCUCCCCGCAUCGAUCAAAUAGUUGACUCGACUGCAGGGUGUGAGCGCUUGUCCUUUUUGGAAGCUUAUUCCGGGUAUCAUCAGAUCCGACUGUAUGGACCCUAUGAGAUAAAAACAGCUUUCAUCACUCCUUUUGGGUGCUUCUGUUAUGUUACCAUGCCAUUCGGCCUGAAGAAUGCUGGAGCCACAUUCAUGAGGAUGAUUCAGAAGUGUUUACUCACUCAAAUCAGUCGGAAUGUGGAAGCAUACAUGGAUGACAUUGUGGUCAAGUCACGUAAAGGUUCCGACCUGUUGGCUAACCUUGCUGAAACUUUUGCCAACCUCAGAAGGUGCGAUAUCAAGCUUAAUCCAUCAAAGUGCACAUUCGGAGUUCCGGGCAGAAAAUUACUCGGAUUCCUCGUUUCCGAACGGGGGAUCGACGCUAACCCAGAGAAAGUUGGUGCCAUUCUCCGAAUGAAACGCCCUGUGCGUGUGCACGAUGUCCAGAAGCUUACAGGUUGUUUGGCCGCCUUAAGUCGAUUCAUUUCUCGCCUCGGUGAAAAGGCAUUGCCUCUUUACCGACUGAUGAAGAAGUCUGAUAAGUUCGAGUGGACUCCUGAAGCUGAUGCAGCAUUUGCAGAGCUCAAAGCCCUGCCUUCCACCCAGCCGGUGCUUGCUGCCCCAAUCAGCAAAGAGCCUUUACUGCUUUACAUUGCAGCCACUGAACAAGUCAUCAGUACAGUACUUACGGUCGAGUGGGAAGAAGAAGGAAAAGCCUGUAAAGUUCAGCGCCCAGUAUACUAUGUUUCUGAAGUUUUGACUCCGUCAAAGCAAAGAUAUCCACAUUAUCAGAAGCUUGUUUAUGGGAUUUAUAUGACCACGAAGAAGGUUGCACAUUAUUUCUCUGACCACUCCAUUACAGUCGUCAGCAGCGCUCCAUUAUCAGAGAUUCUGAACAACAGAGAUGCAACCGGUCGAGUGGCAAAGUGGGCGAUUGAACUCCUUCCCUUGGAUAUUAAGUUUGAGGCAAAGAAAGCUAUCAAGUCCCAAGCAAUAGCAGAUUUCCUCGCCAAGUGGAUCGAACAGCAACUGCCGACUCAAGUCCACUCGGAGCACUGGACCAUGUUCUUUGAUGGUUCCAAGAUGCUGAAUGGUUCCGGUGUUGGGGUGGUACUAGUAUUCCCCCGAGGAGACAAGCUCAGAUAUGUUCUCCAGAUUCACUUUGAUUCCUCCAAUAACGAAGCGGAAUAUGAAGCACUCUUAUAUGGGUUACGUAUGGCCAUCUCGCUCGGCGUCCGUCGCCUCAUGGUCUACGGUGACUCAGAUUUGGUAGUCAAUCAAGUGAUGAAGGAGUGGGAUGUCAGAAGCCCAGCUAUGACUGGUUACUGCAAUGCGGUGAGGAAGUUGGAAAAGAAGUUUGAGGAGUUAGAGCUCCAUCAUAUACCCCGACUGAAAAAUCAAGCAGCCGAUGAUUUGGCAAAGAUAGGCUCCAAGAGGGAAGCCAUUCCCAGCAACGUGUUUUUGGAACACAUUCAUACACCUUCAGUUCAAGAAGAUCCUUUCACUGAAGAGCCCCCGCAGCCUAAGAGUGCCACAGAUCCGACUGAAGUCGAAGUCCCAGCCGUGGUCAACCUAAUCACGGAGGUUUUGGUCAUCACUCCCGACUGGACAGUGCCAUACAUUGCGUAUAUCCUUAGGAAGGAACUCCCAGAGGAUGAAGAAGAGGCUCGACAGAUCGUCCGUGGAUCCAAAGCUUUUACUGUGAUAAGAGGACAACUGUUCAGGGAAAGCGUAACCGGAGUCAGCCAGAAAUGCAUAACACCAGAAGAAGGUCGAGUGAUCCUCGACGACAUCCACUCGGGGACCUGUGGUCACCAUGCGUCCUCUCGGACCAUUGUGGCCAAAGCAUACCGAGCUGGAUUUUAUUUGCCACGAGCAAAUGAAAUGGCGAAAGAUAUAGUCGACAAAUGUGAAGGCUGCCAGUUUUACUCCAAUAUGUCCCACAAGCCUGCGUCAGCCCUGAAGACCAUUCCACUCGUCUGGCCCUUUGCUAUUUGGGGAUUGGAUAUGGUUGGACCCCUGAGGACUGCUAGGAGCGGCUUCACUCAUGUGCUUGUAGCAGCCAACAAGUUUACCAAAUGGAUUGAAGCCAAGCCUAUCAAGAAUCUUGAAGCCAGUACUGCCGUCAGCUUCAUCAGAGAAUUGACAUUCAGAUAUGGAGUUCUGCACAACAUCAUCACUGACAACGGGUCAAACUUCGAUUCUGAUGAGUUCAGAGCCUUCUGUGCUUCCCAAGGCACACGAGUCGACUAUGCUUCAGUCGCCCACCCCCAGUCGAAUGGACAAGCAGAAAGAGCAAAUGGCUUGAUUCUCAAAGGACUGAAACCCCGACUGAUGCGUGAUCUCAAGCACGCAGCAGGCGCCUGGGUCGAUGAACUUCCAUCAGUUCUUUGGGGAUUGAGGACAACUCCCAAUCGGUCGACUGGCCGAACUCCAUUCUUCUUGGUUUAUGGAGCUGAAGUUGUUCUACCGAGUGACUUGCUUCACAAUGCACCCCGAGUCGAGCUCUUCUCUUAAGAUGAAGCAGAAUAGGCCCGGCAGGACGCAGUCGAUCUCCUAGAGGAGGAAAGAGAGAUGGCCUUAAUCCGGUCGACCAUUUAUCAGCAAGACUUGCGUCGAUUCCACGCCAGAAACGUGAGGGGCCGAGCCUUUCAAGAGGGAGACUUGGUUCUUCGAGUGGAUCAGCAGAAACCACACAAGCUCGCCCCUGCUUGGGAAGGUCCCUUCAUUGUCACCAGAGUUCUCCACAAUGGAGCAUACCAUCUUUACAAUGUGAAGCAUCAGAGAGACGAGCCACGGGCUUGGAACGCGGAGCUGCUCCGCCCCUUUUAUACUUAAGUACUCAUUCGGAUGAGAUGUAAUAAGAAAUACCUUUGUAGUUUGUUUAUCAAAGACAAGAGCUUUACAGUCUUCCUAAAUGGUUGUUGUUGCUUUUGUUUGUGUCUGAAAUCCCCCAGUGGGUAACUUUGCCGCGAAUCUGUUUCGCCUAAAGUUUGAAAAAUCCUACCGAGUGAUGAGCAAGCCUCUCACUCGGGGGCUUAGCCGUGAAUCUGUUUCGCCUAAGUUUGAAAAAACCUACCGAGUGAUGAGAAAGCCUCUCACUCGGGGGCUUAGCCGCGAAUCCGUUUCGCCUAAGUUUGUAAAAUCCUACCGAGUGGUGAGCAACCAUCCCACUCGGGGGCUUAGCUGCAGUCCAGUACUCGCCUAAGUUUGAAAAAUCCUACCGAGUGGUGAGCAACCCUCCCACUCGGGGGCUUAGCUGCAGUCCAGUACUCGCCUAAGUUUGUAAAAUCCUACCGAGUGGUGAGCAACCCUCCCACUCGGGGGCUUAGCUGCAGUCCAGUACUCGCCUAANNNNNNNNNNAGUCCAGUACUUGCCUAAGUUUGAAAAAUCCUACCGAGUGGUGAGCAACCCUCCCACUCGGGGGCUUAGCUGCAGUCCAGUACUCGCCUAAGUUUGAAAAAUCCUACCGAGUGGUGAGAAACCCUCCCACUCGGGGGCUUAGCUGCAGUCCAGUACUCGCCUAAGUUUGAAAAAUCCUACCGAGUGGUGAGCAACCCUCCCACUCGGGGGCUUAGCUGCAGUCCAGUACUCGCCUAAGUUUGAAAAAUCCUACCGAGUGGUGAGCAACCCUCCCACUCGGGGGCUUAGCUGCAGUCCAGUACUCGCCUAAGUUUGAAAAAUCCUAUCGAGUGGUGAGCAACCCUCCCACUCGGGGGCUUAGCUGCGGUCCAGUGCUCGCCUAAGUUUGAAAAAUCCUAUCGAGUGGUGAGCAACCCUCCCACUCGGGGGCUUAGCUGCAGUCUAGUACUUGCCUAAGUUCGAAGUCCAUCCCUAUCCGCAAGGACGACGAGGUGCAGGUCGACUGCAACUUUCUCCUUCGGAGCUGCGCCACAAGUACAACAUGCGCUCCACCCCUAUCCGCAAGGACGACGAGGUGCAGGUCGACUGCAACUUUCUCCUUCGGAGCUGCGCCACAAGUACAACAUGUGCUCCACCCUUAUCCGCAAGGACGACGAGGUGCAGGUCGACUGGAGCAUCAACCUCAGAGCUACAUCUGAAGCACAAAGAUUAUUCCGUGUGAAGAACAAAUUCCACUCGAAGACAAAUACAAGCAUAUUCAGAGAUAAAUCAAGUUCAGAUAAAUUCUAAAGUUCAAGACCACGGAUCAAAGUACUCGGGCGUUCAGCCCGAAGGAGUUUAACGGUUACAAAAUCACUCGGCAUUCCGAGGCAAAUUUAAGGCAGAGCAUAAAAGUUUGUUCACUCCGCAGGAGGAGGGCUGGCAGGCUCGACGAAUUCGUCCAGGUCGAUCCCGUCAGCAAUCCGAGUGGCGGCAGCAAUGAAAGUCUCCAUGAAGGACUGGAAGUCGUGCCUCUUGGUGUUAGCAACUUUAAUCGCCACUAGCUUCUCUUCCCGAGCUUCUCGACAGUGGACGUGAACCAGAGAUAGUACCACAUCAGCGCUGCACCGGGCAGAAGACUUCUUCCAUUCUUGAAUUCGACUGGGAGCUUCAUUGAGCCGAGCCAUCAUAGACUCGAGGUCAUUCUGAAGUGUUGCCAUGGGCCAGAGAGCUGCGUCAAUCCGCGACAUCGCGACUUUCAGUCGGGCGAGAUAAUCGACAACACCAGUGAUGCGGGAUUUCAGUCGGAGCACGUUCAUGGCAGCUUCAUCCUUCACUGGAGAGUUGAUGGGGUCCAAGCUUGGUUCAAUUCGCCCGGUCUCUUCCUCGAAGUCCUGGCAAAACUCUGCAUACACAAUUCAAGGGUAAGCCAAUGAUCAUAUGUCGAGUCGACAAGAACAAACCAGUCGGAUCAAAGGAAACACCUUCAAGCAUGACGAACAACUUCUUAGCAAGGCUUCCCAGAUAAUUCUCUAGAUCGUUCCUCCUGCGGGCAAUACCUUCCAUCUUCUCGUUCAGAUUUUCCUUGUCCUUUUUCAGGCGAGUCACUUCCUUAUUGGCUUCAUCAAGGGCAGUUUUCAGCCUGGAGUUUUCUUCCUCCAACUUGCCGACUGAAGCCAACUUCUGUUCAGCGAGCGCGGUUUUCUCAUCAGCUUUUUUCUGCGCGGCCGCCAGAUCUUGAUCCGUUUUCGCCAGAGCUUGGUUCAGUUUCUCUGAAAGAAAUAAUGUUGGAUUCAGAAAAAGCAGAAUGAAAUCCGGUUCAGGGGAAACUUAGUCGACAGGUCUUCCUUACCAGCGGCGUCAUCCUUGGCUUUCUGCAGUUCUGUCUUGGCCAGCUCCAGAUCGAGGUUGAGCUGAAUCUGCUGCUUCUCCAGGUCAGCAAAACGAGCUCCAAGAUCACAAGAUUUCUGCAACCAAAGAACAGGUCAGUCGACUGGUGAAAAGAUUGGUUAUUUCGGAGAGGUAAAAGGAUAAAGCCAACAAAUUCUAAGACUACUGCCGAAUCGAACAUCCAACAGUAGUCUCGGGUACUACACCCAGUGGGUGCACUUAGCGUGGCCCCACUGGUUCAGUUUACACUCGACAAGGCCUGUCCAGCACGAGUGCAAAAAACAGAGUCUUCACACCAUAGUCGACUGCCAGCAGUCGACCACGGUCUCGAGGACUACACCCAGUGGGUGCACUCAGCGUGCCCCCACUGGUUCAAAGUUCCACUCGACAUGGCCCGACCAGACCGAGUGAAGAAAUUCAAAUUCUGAUGCUCAGACCAUAGUCGACUGCCCGCAGUCAAUUAUGGUCUCGGGGACUACACCCAGUGGGUGCACUCAGCGUGCCCCCACUGGUCAAAAGAUUCAAUCGACAACAACAUUAUCAGCUCAAAGUGCGAAUCUGUUCAGUGACAAAUCAAAACACCCAGUGGGUGUACAGAUGCAAGGCGCAGACAGAUGCAAAGAUUCUUGGAAAGAAAGUUUUCAGGUACCAUAUCCUAACAGAACAAGCCAAAGGAGUCAGUCGACGAUCUACUAACCUGGACGUUGCUCUGGAGAGCGGAGCUGGCAUCAUAAGCAGCUUGGCUGGCUUCCCGCACCAUCUUCAUCUUCUCCAUCAUAAUGCCCGCCUGGCGUAUAGCCUCUUUUGCAGCACCCACUUGGUCCUCUGGGACGUGAUGUGUAGCAAAAAGUGAAGGUGGAUCGGUGGGAGUCUGUGCAGCUGACGAGGAAGGCCGAGCACUCGACAACGGUAUGGCGAAGGAGACGGAAGUCCGAUUGGCAUCGCCAGCAUCCUGAAUUACCGGUUCCGCCAUCGGUGUCGAUUGAAGCGUCUUGCCAGCGGACGUUUUCCUAUUUCUUCUCCCCAAGGGCCUCUGUGGCUCGUCCUCGUCGUCGUCGGGGAGGUCAAUGAUGUUGAGGGCUGUAAAAAGAUCAGUCGCCAAAGUUUCAUCACCCGAUUGGAUAUAUCGCAGUUCAAUCGACAAAUCGAAGAUAAAAUCACGAGGAUUGUACCCGGAUUGGAGGUCGCCGCAUCUUCCAUUUCCUCAUCCUCGUUCUUAUAAGCAGAGGUCCUAGAGGUAGCCGCACUGCCAGUUUCAAGAUUCAUUCGGUCAAACCAAGGGAAAAAUAAACAGCACAGAACGUCGAGUAAAAGCGAAAGAAGAACACUCACACAGAAGCAACGGGAACGUCUGUCGGAGUAAAUGGCCACGGGUAGCCUAACCGACUGCCCCUGGCUCUUCCAAAAAAUUAUCAGGCCUUUGGGCCUUCAAGCACUGGACCGCCUCCCCUGGCUGGCUACCUCUGAAGCCGACUCAUGGAAGGCGGCCCGGCCUGAGCAACCUCCCCCCAGGACAACCACAGGGUGGCCGACUCCAGGAAGCCGGCCUCGAAGAGCACCGACUCCAAGAGGCCGGCCAAGACCGCAACCACCAAAGCUACGCCACAUAACGGCGACAAGACGGGGUGUGGCCACAGCAUGGCCCACUACCCCCGAAAUCCGAGGCAGGCAUGGCCACAGGACGCCGUACGGGACGGCCAUCUCCCGUCCGGCUCGGCACUGUAGCCAUGCCAGCCUCGACGUCACCCACGGACGACGCCAGUACGGCCCACGGGCGGUGGGUCCCUUCGGCCAGAGAGAGGCGCGGAGGCGGCUCGGCCUCCCCCAGUCGGCCAAGGGCGUAGCCGGCCCCCAGAAGUCGGCUACCCCCUCCCUCGAAGCAUGCGCCACAUUAAGGAGACAAGACGAGGUAAGGCUACAGUGAGGGCCCUCGAGGCGGCUCACUGUAGCCACGAUUACCUCAACGAAGCCCUCGUCAUCAGGGGCGAGGCUACAGUAAGCAGCCGCCGACAAGAUCCUAGGCGGUGGGGCCGGCCUGUCGACCAAGAGGUAGGCAGCCGGCGGGACCCACUAGUCGGCGGGCCCCAACAGCCGGCGGAGAAGCCGGCGAGCGUAGACACUGACGGCUGGGACCAGAGCCCAGCCGGAUUACAAUUGUACCCCCGGGGGGUGGGCCUAUAUAAACCCCCCGGGGCACCCAUGCAAAGGGUUGGCUUCUGAGCAUAGCACACACACCAUAGAGAGAGAGAAGCAAGAGCUAGCCUUGUUCUUCUUCUCCCUUGAACCCAACAGCUCUAGGAGCGAUUGUAGCUACCUUUUCCUGAUCUAGUGAUCAUGCGGAGACCCCGCAGAGCAGGACUAGGGGUGUUAUCUCCUCGGAGAGCCCCGAACCUGGGUAAGAUCCACCGGCGUGCAUGUCUUCGCCUCAUCCCGUUUCCAGGCACCGGCGACGUCUUAUUGGCACCCACAAUGAUAAGCCACCCGUUGGCAUAUGUCGCACCUACCACCCGACAUUUGGCGCCCACCGUGGGGCCAGGUGCACCGUCAUCCGGAGACCUGUUCUGGACGGGAACCCUCUUCCUCCCCCGCGAGCGCAGCCAGCCUGCUGCGCCCGAUGGCGUUUGCCUCGACGCGCUGCAAGGCGUCGACGACGCCUGCGCAGCGAGCUGCCUCGCCGAUCUGCUCGGCGAGACUCGCCUCUCCGACGAGCCUGCGUCCGACGCAGGCACGGACUACCCCGAGAGCCGCCUCGUCAGCCUCCUCGACCAGCUUCACGUCUCCAGCGAGCCUACUGCAGAUGUGGAGUCGGUCGGCUCCACCGACCCGAUGCUCGUCGACUCCGACACGGCAUCGCUCGACGCCUACCCCUCCGACGUGGUGGUCUUCGACGAUCCCCUCCCUCGAGCUGACAGCGGAAGCAGCACCGUCACCGAAGUGUUGGUCAUCAGCCACGUCGCCAACUCGGGCGAGAAUGCCCACGACGCCCUGCAAGCGGCGAUGCACGACCUCUCCGUCCCCAUCCCGGCCGACGCCGACGCCGAGACCCUGGAGGCACGCCGCCUCGCCCUCAUCGCGGAAGGCCAGAAGAUAGCCUCCAUGAGACGCCUCACCAAGGCCCACCAGCGCGAAGUCGACCGCGCCGCCUAGCGGCCCGAGCCGAGCCGGCUUCGUCCAGAAGCGCGGCGCGGCCGUCGCCGGCAUGCUGGGGGCAGAUCGCCCCGUAUACGCCACCCCGCUCGAGAAUCUGUGAGCCGCUCAGGUGGCCGCAGAAGAGCUCAAUGGGCUGGGAGCCGAUGAGCUCCCCUACAUGACAAGAGGGAUCCAGCAGCUGAUCGACGUGGCUGCAGAACGGCACGAAGCCGGGGCCCGUGCUAAUAGUCAUCCCCCGCGCCGGGAGCACGCCGCGACGUCCCGCUCGCCGACUGCGAGCGGUGCCCACCAGAAGAAAGACAAGGAGUCGGCUGCUAGCCGCAGCCGGACUCGCAUCACCAUCGAACACGACGCGGAAGGCCGCCCACGAGCGGUGGAGCACCAAGGAAAUCUGCCUCCUCCCCCGCCUCGAAGAGAGAGACGUCUCACCCCGCCGCCUAUCACGCACCCGACACUUGGCGACCGACUCGGCCGCCGAGAAGGAGUCGGCGAGAACGACGCCCGCCACCGGAUCGACCGCCUUGCUCGAUCCUUGGCGUUAGAAGAAGAAGACGAUGUCGGCCCGCCAUGUUUUGGCCCCCGCAUCCGCGACGAGCCCUUCCCCAUAGGGUUCUCGCUCCCCAGAGACACGCCCAAGUACAACGGCUCAGUGAAGCCGAAAGAUUGGCUCAUCGACUACUCCACGGCCGUCAGCAUAGCCAACGGCAAUCGGCGCGUCGCCGUGAAGUACGUCCCCCUCAUGCUGCAAGGCACGGCGCGCACAUGGCUCAACAGCCUCAAGCCCUACAACAUCAACAGUUGGCUGGACUUCACAGAAGUCUUCGUCCGCAACUUCACCAGCACCUACAAGCGGCCUCCCAAGCCUCGCCAGCUCUCCCUCCGCGUCCAAGGACCCAACGAGUCGACCCCCGACUACCUCACGCGGUGGGCCGAGCUCCGCAACUCCUGCGAGGGGGUGCACGAGGUUCAGGCCAUUGAGUACUUCACCGCCGGGUGCCGAGAGGGCACCCUCCUCAAGCACCGACUCCUCUGCGACGAGCCGGCUACCCUCGACGAGUUGCUGGUCAUCGCGGACAAGUACGCCACAGCCGACUCCUCGAUGAAGACCGAGCUUCGAGUAGACGCCUCGGGAAAGGUGAUUGCUCCGGCUCCCAAGACGCCGGCUGGCGACCAUAAUCGGCGCCCCUACCAGAACGAUCACAAGCGCAAGGCCCCCAUGCCGACUUCCACCAGUCGACAGGUGGCCACAGUUGAAGAUGAGCAGCCCGAAGAACGGCCCGCUCCCAAGAAGAAGGGUGGCAGGCCGGCUUGGCAGCCGACUUUCUCUUACGAGCAGGCUCUAGACGCCCCCUGCAAAUUCCACAGCGGUGCGAAGCCGUCUAACCACACGACCCGAAAAUGCCACUGGCUCACGCGAAUCACCAAGGGCGAGGGGAUGUUGCCGCCUCCGCCUCCCGGUCCGCCGCCUCCAGCCCCCCAGCAGUCGGCGGCUCGGCCGGCAAUCGGCGCCAUCCAAGACGAAUUCCCUGAAGAGCACGCCGCCUACGUCGUCUUCACCAGUCAAGCCGACGACAAGCGCAGUCGGCGCCAACAGCAUCAAGAAGUUAAUGCAGUCGCCUCUAGCGCCCCCGAGUUCAUGCACUGGUCAGAGAAGCCAAUCAGCUGGAGCCAGGCUAACCACCCAGAGGUGAUGCCCUCUCCUGGCUCCUAUGCAAUGGUCUUGGAUGUCACCCUCGCGACGGAGAGGCGAGCUGCCCGAUUCUCCCGCGUCCUGAUAGAUGGCGGAAGCAGUAUCAACAUACUGUACCGCGAUACCAUGGAGAAUCUGAACAUCAAAACGAAGCAGCUUAUGCCGAGCCGCACCAUCUUCCAUGGUAUCAUCCCCGGCAUGUCUUGCUCCCCAAUCGGCAAGAUCAAAAUGGAUGUUCUCUUCGGAGACAAAGAUCAUUUUCGCCAAGAAGCAAUCUGGUUCGAGGUAGUGGAUUUGGAGAGCCCCUAUCAUGCUCUGCUUGGCUGACCUGCCCUGGCCAAGUUCAUGGCUGUGCCCCACUACGCCUACCUGAAGAUGAAGAUGCCGAGCUCGAAGGGGAUCAUCACGGUAGCCGGCGAUUACAAGAAGUCCAUCGAGUGUGCCAUGGCCAGCAGCCGGCUGGCCGAGUCCCUCGUGGUGGCAGAGCAGAAGAAGAUGCUGGAGCGGGUUGUGGCCAUGGCCGGCAAGCAGCCGGCCCUGUCCCCCAACCCCAAAGAUUGUGAUGCGCAGGGCUCCUUCCAGCCUGCCAAAGAGACGAAGAAGAUACCUCUGGACCCGGAGAACCCGGAGAGGUUCGCUGUCAUUGGGGCGAACUUGGACAGUAAAUAGGAAGGCGAGCUCGUCGACUUCCUCCGUGAGAAUCGAGACAUUUUUGCAUGGUCCCCAAAGGACAUGCCGGGUGUCCCGAAGGAUUUCGCCGAGCACAAAUUACAUGUCCGCGCCGACGCGAAGCCGGUCAAGCAACCCCUCCGCCGACUGUCAGAAGAGAAGCGAAGAAUCGUGGGAGAAGAGAUAGCCCGGCUCCUUGCCGCUGGCUUUAUCAUGGAAGUGUUCUUUCCAGAAUGGCUUGCCAACCCAGUUCUGGUUCUGAAGAAGAAUAACAAGUGGCGUAUGUGCAUAGACUACACCAGCCUGAACAAGGCCUGCCCAAAGGAUCCGUUUGCUCUACCACGGAUUGACCAAGUGAUAGACUCCACAGCCGGAUGCGAGCUGUUGAGUUUUUUGGAUGCGUACUCAGGGUACCAUCAGAUCAAGUUGGAUCUAGCUGACCGCCUGAAGACUGCCUUCAUCACACCCUUUGGAGCUUUCUGCUACCUGACUAUGACAUUCGGCUUGAGGAAUGCCGGUGCCACUUUUCAGCGUUGCAUGCAGAAAUGCCUCUUGAAACAACUCGGAAGAAAUGCCCACGUCUAUGUAGACGACAUUGUGGUGAAGACAGAGAAGCGCGGCACCUUGCUGGAAGACCUGAAAGAAACAUUCGCCAACUUGCGCCGAUUCCAAAUCAAGCUCAACCCCGAGAAGUGCGUGUUCGGAGUACCAGCCGGCCAGCUGCUAGGCUUCCUGGUCUCCGAACGCAGCAUCGAGUGCAACCCCGUCAAGAUCAAGGCCAUCGAGAGGAUGGAGAUUCCCACCAAACUGCGAGAUGUGCAGAAGUUCACCGGCUGCUUGGCCUCCCUGAAUCGUUUUAUCAGCCGACUAGGAGAGAAGGCUCUUCCCCUGUACCGACUCAUGAAGAAGUCCACUCACUUCGAGUGGAACGACCAAGCCAACCAAGCCUUCCAUGAGUUGAAGAAAAUGCUGACCACUCCGCCUGUCCUGACAGCGCCGACUGAAAAGGAGCCCAUGCUCCUCUACAUCGCCGCGACUAGCCGAGUCGUCAGUACUAUUGUUGUGGUCCAACGCCCGGAAGAAGGCCGAGCCCAGCUAAUCCAGAGGCCGGUGUACUACCUAAGCGAAGUGCUAUCCAGCUCAAAGCAGAACUACCCGCACUACCAGAAGAUGUGCUAUGGGGUAUACUUCGCCGCCAAGAAACUGAAGCCCUACUUCCAAGAGCACCCCAUCACGGUCGUGUGCACCGCCCCGCUCGCCGAGAUCAUAGGCAGCCGGGAUGCAUCCGGCCGGGUGGCUAAAUGGGCCAUUGCACUGGCGCCCUACACGAUCUUCUACCAACCCCGCACCGCCAUCAAGUCCCAAGCAUUGGCCGACUUCCUCGUCGACUGGGCCGAGACCCAGUACCUACCGCCGGCUCCCGACUCUACCCAUUGGCGGAUGCACUUUGACGGGUCCAAGAUGCGCACCGGCUUGGGAGCCGGCAUCGUCCUCACCUCUCCCAAAGGUGACAAGCUCAAGUACACGCUGCAGAUCCACUUCGCCGCCUCCAACAACGUGGCCGAGUACGAGGCGCUCGUACAUGGGCUCCGGCUAGCCAAAGAGCUCGGCAUACGCCGGAUCCUGUGUUACGGCGACUCAGACUUGGUGGUCCAGCAGUCGUCUGGCGACUGGGACGCCAAGGACGCGAACAUGGCGAGCUAUCGAUUCCUCGUCCAGCAGAUCAGCGGAUACUUCGAAGGUUGCGAGUUCCUCCACGUGCCAAGGGCCGACAACGACCAAGCAGAUGCCCUAGCACGGAUCGGCUCCACCCGACAAGCCAUACCGACUGGCGUCUCCCUCCAGCGCCUCCUCAAGCCGUCCAUCAAGCCGUCUCCAGAGUCGGACUCUAUCUUCGUACCGCCUGCGCCAGAUGCAGCCGGAUCCGACUGGAGAAACCCCGCAGGCGGCACGGGGACUUCAACAACUGGCCCGGGGACUGCCGUAGUCGCACCCGGCCCGGGGACUGCAGUAGUCGGCCCGGGGACUGCAACGACACAAGAAGCGAUGGCCGACUCCAAUGCCGUGCAACCCAACCCACCCACCCGAGUCAUGGUGGCUACACUAACAGAAGAAGAAGUCACAGCUCCGUCAUGGGCCCAGCCCAUACUCAAGUUCCUGGUCAGCAGAGAGCUGUCGGCUGAUGAGAUCUCAGCAAGAUUAGUGCAACGAUGAGCCGCAGCAUAUGCAAUAAUCAACAGAGAGCUUGUGAAGAGCAACGUCACUGGAGUCUUCCAGCGUUGUGUCGAGCCAGAAAAAGGAGUGGCAAUCCUCAAGGAUAUCCACCAAGGCGAAUGCGGCCACCACGCAGCCUCAAGAUCACUCGUGGCCAAGGCUUUCCGCCAUGGUUUCUUCUGGCCGACUGCCUUGGAGGAUGCUAAAGAAAUAGUCAAGAGCUGCAAAGGAUGCCAAGUUUUUAGUUCCAAACAACACCUGUCGGCUUCUGCACUCAAGACCAUUCCCCUCACCUGGCCUUUUGCCGUCUGGGGACUGGACAUGGUGGGCCCUUUCAAGACAGCCCGCGGCGGCUUGACGCAUCUACUUGUCGCUGUGGACAAGUUCACAAAGUGGAUCGAAGCAAAGCCGAUUAAGAAGCUGAACGGGCCGACUGCCGUGACAUUCAUCACUGACAUCACUACUCGGUACGGCGUGUCGCACAGCAUCAUCACCGACAACGGCACGAACUUCGCCAAAGGAGCACUGGCACGUUUCUGCGCGACGCAGGGCAUCCGACUGGACCUAGCGUCCGUUGCCCACCCGCAGUCAAACGGCCAGGUCGAGCGAGCAAAUGGACUCAUCCUCUCCGGCAUCAAGCCCCGACUGGUUGUACCACUGGAGCGAUCGGCCGGCUGUUGGCUCGAUGAGCUGCCGGCUAUCCUCUGGAGUCUGCGCACUACACCCAACAAGUCAACCGGCUUUACUCCAUUUUUCCUCGUGUACGGUGCCGAGGCUGUCAUCCCAACAGACAUCGAGUUCGACUCGCCUCGGAUCACCAUGUACACGGAGGAGGAGGCCAAGGAAGCAAGAGAAGACGGCGUCGACCUACUGGAAGAAGGUCGGCUGUUAGCACUCAGCCGGUCCGCCAUCUACCAGCAAGGGCUGCGCCGCUACUACAAUCGCAAGGUCAAGCCAAGAUCCUUCCAAGAGGGCGACCUUGUGCUCCGGCUGAUCCAGCGAACAGACGGCCAGCACAAGCUCUCGGCCCCUUGGGAAGGCCCCUUCGUCAUCAGCAAGGCACUAGGCAACGACUCCUACUACCUGAUCGACGCGCAAAACCAAGAGCACGCAAGAGAGACGACUCCGGCAAGGAGUCGGAGCGACCAUGGAACGCAAACCUCCUGAGAAGAUUUUACAGUUGAAAGCAGUAUGUAUCAUGCUACCCUUUUGUAUUAAGUACAAACCAACAGGCCCCCCGAACAGUACUCGGGGACUGCCUUUGUUUAUCUAUGAAUGACAAGUGUCAUAUCCAUGAAUGUAUUAUUACAUUUGAUUUCUUGUCUGGCACCGGGUUCGACUAGUCGGCCCGGGGACUGGCCGCCUUGAGCUAUAUUAAAAGUUCUACCUGAAGUCAGAAAAGUAGUGUGCCGGCUCCCGAGUCCUCUCUUGUUGAAAGUCGCAGCUCGAAGAACCGACUGUCCGACUAGCAAGAGGCAAGGCAGAAAGGAUGCCCACACGAAAAAUGGCUAAGGAACAACGAACUUAUAUAGCAAAAAGAUGGCCUCCAAACACGCCUGCCGGCUGUCAGAACAGCCGGCUGGCCGGCUUCCUAAACACUUAGCUUUAGUCCAGCAAAGCUAGAGUACUUCCCCCCCCCCCGAAUUGGCCAAGCACUCCUCCAGCUACAGAUUGCAGAGCAACUGUCUGACUGGGGAGGCGGCAACCAAGGGAGGGCGGCAAAGGAAACAGCAGAAGGAUAAAAAGCAAAGUACGAGGAAAAGCCAAAUGCAUAUAUAAGUUAUAUAUACAUAUAAAGCCCCCAACAGGCCAGCAAUCAACAUGGUUCGAAUACACCCCCAGUGGGUGGAAUUGUGCAGACUUAACAGAGUAUUGUUCCGAAAGUAACAGGAUAGGAAAACAAAAGAUGGCAGACUAGACUAGGGCGUGGUGCGGAAGCUGAGCUGGUCGGUGGAGACGGCGUCGCCGGCUGAAGGAGUGGCCGCCUAGCGGGUCUCGGCUUGGUCACCACCAGUGGCAGGCGACGCACUCGCGCGCGACAUAGUACUGGAGGCGCGGUUAGGCUGAGGCUAGUCGGCUACUCCAUCAGCCGGCUCGGCGUCUUCACCCUCCUCCUCCUCCUCUUCGCCCUCGUCGCUGGAGUCGAUCUCCUCCGCCGAGUCUUCAUCGUCUGCCGGGUUCAGCCCGAACCACUCCUCCGGCUGGGCGACACCGUUGUCAUCUACCUCGGGGGCGAAGACGCUGGUGUCGGUGUAAUCGGCGAUCGCCGAAGCCCGCCGGAUGAUAGCCGGCCGCGCCGGCUCCAGCUCCGUGUCGGCUUGCUGCCGCCAGCUAGCCAGCUGAUCCAGGCUCAGGCCGGGAUACCAGGCCUUGACGAACUCCAGCGCCCGCAUGGCGCCAGACCGAGCCGCCGAGGCCUUCCAGGCUUCGAAGCGGCCGACUGCCACCUCCAGCCAGUCGGCAGUUCGACUAGGGGUGCGAGGAACUACUUGGCCGGGCCAGAGGGUGGCCAAUACUUGCGCCCCGGCACGCUGAAGCCGGCGGAGCAGUCGGUGAGCCGGCUGGAUGCGGGCCUGGAUCGCCAGGAGCUGCUCCUCCAGCGAACGGCCGGCGGUUGGCGAAAUCUCGAAGCCAGCCUGCCUUCGCGCUUGGCGGCGGGCCUCGAUGAUCUGGUUGGCGGCGGUAGAAUAGCCAGGGAAAUACUCUGUGUAAGAAAGAAGAAGAAAAGAAGAGAAGAGCACCAAGUCAGAAAUCGAGCCAAAAGCGGCAGACGGCAAGAAAGGAUGAAGAAGUAGGCGGCUUACCGUCAACCAGAUCUUCGAUCUGACCAUAGCCAGAGAUCAGAGUUUGCCUCGCUUCAGCCCAGCCAGCCGCCUCCGUCUCGUACUCGGCCUGGAGGGUGGCUUCGCGGUCCUGCACCGCCUUCAGAGCCGCCUUGUGGCCCUCCUCCUGGUCGGCCAACUUCUUGGCCAGGCGGUCGCGUUCCUGCACCAAGGCGGCGAGCUCGGCAUCCUUGGCACGGAGGGCAGUCUGAGACUCUCCUAGUUGUGCCCUCAAACUGGCGUUGGCCGCUGCAGAGACGGCAGAGAAAUAAAGAACAGUAAGAGGAAGUUGUCGAGGAAGAUCCGACCCGACUGCUCAGCAGUCGGCCCGAAUCUCGGGGACUACACCCAGUGGGUGCGCUGACGCGCCCCCACGUGAGAUAAAGAACAAGGCAUGUACCCCGGCUCUCAGUAAGGUCGGCGGUCUUCUGGGUCAGCUCCCGAGCCUGGGAGUUGAAGGCGGCUGCACGAAGAUUGUGGUAGUCCUGCAAGAUAGCCAGAAGAUCGAAGUAAGAACAAGAAUAGCAAAGCCAAAUCCACUAAGAAGUUCCAAGCCGCCUGCUCAGCAGCCGACUCAGAACUCGGGGACUACACCUAGUGGGUGCGCUGACGCGCCCCCACGGAAGAAAUCAAGAUCAAGAAGAAGCAAGAUGGGAAGACUAACCCGGAUGGCCGCCCGCGUCGCAAGGAACUCGUCGGUGAACUGCCUCAGCGCCGUAGCCUGGGCCUGGAGCCGGGUCCGGACGUCCUGCGCGGCCACGUUCAUCACGGCCGUCCCUCCGCCUGGCGUCCACCCCGAGGUAGCGCUGGCCACCUCCACGUCCUGGGCCGACGAGCUGGAGCCCACGGCCGGCUGCGGCUCCUACGCGGCCUUCUGUGGCUCUGACACAGCCUUCCCCGCGCGCCGGCUCGGCGGCAUCCGGACCGCCAUCUCAGUCCUCGCGGCCGGCUCGCCCCCCGCCGACUGCGCAGGCGGCAGAUCAGGCCAGCCGCCUUGAGCCGCCCCAGUUGGUGGGGUCGGCACCGGUGCCCUCUCCAGGACGACGACGUCGUCGUCCCUCCCCAGCCCUGGCUGGUCGCCGCCGGCUCCUUUUGGCGAGGCUCCAUGGCCCCAGGCGCUGCGACGCGCGGCGGGGUGACCAUCAAGGCCUCCUCCGCCGCCGCCGCAGCUGCAGCCUCCGCUUGGGCCUUGGCUGCAGCGUCGGCGAGCGCCUUCGCCGCCUCCUCCUCCUGCGCCGCCUGGGCGGCCGCCGCCUUCCGUGCCUCCGCCUCUCGCGCCUCCCGCUCCUCCCGCGCCUCCCACGCGUUCUGUUAUGUCGCUUCCUGAAGGUCGGCACGGGGGUCCACGCAACGAGUGGCGCUCCCAGACCCCCUCGGCGACUCGACGACGGAGGCGGCAGCCGCCCGCUCAAGCGACAACGGAGCUCUGGUUGUUUGGAGAAAAAGACAAGGGUUCAGGAACCACCAGAGAAAAGAAAGAAAAAAGAGUGCACAAAAGAAUUCGAACUUACGCCGACACAGUCUGUGGUUGCUUCACCGUCUUGCAUAAGCGAGCCGCCUUCGCGGCCGCCUCCUCCCGCCUGGUUGCCGCCGCCCCGCCCCUGGGUUUCUUCGUCCGACUACCGAACAAGCCCUGGGCGGCGCGACGCUUUUGCCCUCCGCCCUGAGCAGGCGGUGCAGCGGAGGAACCCACGCCACGUCCAGAUGCCGGCCGGCGAUGCAGGACGACUUCGGCCUCAUCGUCGUCCGGCCAGUCGUCGAAGGUGACUCCAUGCCCGGAGCCGCCUGCUUCGCCGCCGGCUUGGCCACCACCCGGCUCGGUGUUGUCGUCCAUAGCGGCCGCCCCCAAGUCGGGGUCCUCCAGGUCGUGCUGCGUACGGUCGGGGACGAAUCGGCGCUCCGCAUCCGACCCGCUGGCAAGCCGAAGGAAAGGACUCUGUCGAAGACAAGCCGACUAGUCAGAGUCGGCCAAAGGAACUCGGCGACAAAGUUAAGAGAAAAAGAAGAGACAAGGAGAGCAUACCGUGGGCGGUGGAUUGGCUCGGCUAUAUGGCUCCUUGCCGAACUGCCACUCUUCGGAGAGUUUGCAGUUCGCGAGGUAGUUCACCAUAUAGGCGACCUCCUCGUGCGGCAUGUCCUUGGUACACAUCCGGCUCGGAUCGAGCUGGCCGCUCAUCUGACAGAUCAGAUGAGGACGGCUCUGGAGCGGAAGUACCCGGUGCGUGACGAAGGCGGCCAGCAGGUCGGGCCCCGUCAAGCCCUCCGACUGGGUCAUCGUUCGCACUCGGGCGACGGCUGCGGACCCAGCCGGCGUCAGAGUCACGGCCCAGUAGGACCACUGGGGCCGCCUGCCCGCCGGUGGGCCGGCUACGUAAGCCGGCAGGUUGACGUAGUCGCCCUGCGGGGCGAUGCUUCUGACGUAGAAAUACGACUUUUGCCACUUCUUCACCGACUGGAUCAGCGGGAUGACGGGGAAGGGGUUGUCGGCGACCGCCCUCCGCGCCGCGAUGAAGGCGCCAGUCUGAGCCGGCACGCCCUGCAUGCGCGUGCCCAGCUUGGACUGGAAGAGCUCCCCCAGAGCUCGAGGGUAGGGAGGACGCCGAGGUAGCCUUCGCACAGGGUGACGAAGGCAGACAGCAGCACCACCGCGUUUGGGGUGAGGUGGUGCGGCUGGAGCUGGUAGAACUCGAGCCAGGAGCGGAAGAAGGCGCUCACGGGCAGGCCGAUGCCGCGCAAGAAAUGCGAGCGGAAGACCACCCGCUCGCCCUCCCGCGGCUCUGGCGUAAUCUCCUUCGCCGGCGCGAGACGGACCUCCACCUUGUCCGCGCUGGGCAGCCGCCGCAUCUUGCGGAGGAAUUCGAUGUGAUCUUCGUGGACGUUGGAGCCAUCCCAAUCCCCGCCAUAUUGCUCCGUGGCGGGAGGCAUGGUGAACACGAGCGCGGCGGCGGAGGAACGAGUGGUGGAAGAGCGCGGCGGCGAGGCGCAGUCGCAAGAAACGGCAAGAGAAAGAAGAUGGUGGAAGGAGGAGGAGCGUGCGAGAGCCUGCCGCCCUCCCUCUCCCCCUACUUAUAGCUUCGCGAGGUGAAGCCGGGGAGGCCGGACAUGGGGUGAGACGUGGGAUUAACUGCACCCACUCCCCCCACGCCUCGCGAUUAUUACGCCCUAAAGGCGUGCCGAAACUGCCGCAAGGAGACGUGCGGGCGGUUUCGGGCUGCAGAGAAUCCGCGCCUGGGCCCGGGCGUGGACGUGGCGGGCCCCCACCCUACGGCGACGUCCCGUCGCGCGCGUGGGCUGGCAGGCUUUCUGGCCGAGAGAGGCCACGUGGUUCACAGACGGCAAGUGGCCGGCCCGCGGCCCGGUGCACGUACUGGCAAGCUCCCGCCCUCCGACCCCGGAGUUUUCGACCAAGGCGGCGCGCCUAACCAAAGCCGGCUCCCAGCUGCCGACUUGUCAAGAUAGGAAGCUGACCGAGCUUCUCAACUCCUACCCAACCUCGAAGCCCAAUCAGCUUCGGGGACUACUGUCGGAGUAAAUGGCCACGGGUAGCCUAACCGACUGCCCCUGGCUCUUCCAAAAAAAUUAUCAGACCUUUGGGCCUUCAAGCACUCCAAGCACUGGACCGCCUCCCCUGGCCGGCUACCUCUGAAGCCGACUCAUGGAAGGCGGCCAGGCCUCAGCAACCUCCCCCCCAGGACAACCACGGGGUGGCCGACUCCAGGAAGCCGGCCUCGAAGAGCACCGACUCCAAGAGGCCGUCCAAGAGCGCAACCACCAAAGCUACGCCACAUAACGGCGACAAGACGGGGUGUGGCCACAGCGUGGCCCACUACCCCCGAAAUCCGAGGCAGGCAUGGCCACAGGACGCCGUACGGGACGGCCAUCUCCCGUCCGGCUCGGCACUGUAGCCAUGCCAGCCUCGACGUCACCCACGGACGACGCCAGUACGGCCCACGGGCGGCGGGUCCCUUCGGCCAGAGAGAGGCGCGGAGGCGGCUCGGCCUCCCCCAGUCAGCCAAGGGCGUAGCCGGCCCCCAGAAGUCGGCUACCCCCUCCCUCGAAGCAUGUGCCACAUUAAGGAGACAAGACGAGGUAAGGCUACAGUGAGGGCCCUCGAGGCGGCCCACUGUAGCCACGAUUACCUCAACGAAGCCCUCGUCAUCAGGGGCGAGGCUACAGUAAGCAGCCGCCGACAAGAUCCUAGGCGGUGGGGCCGGCCUGUCGACCAAGAGGUAGGCAGCCGGCGGGACCCACUAGUCGGCGGGCCCCAAUAGCCGGCGGAGAAGCCGGCGAGCGUAGACACUAACGGCUGGGACCAGAGCCCAACCGGAUUACAAUUGUACCCCCGAGGGGUAGGCCUAUAUAAACCCCCCGGGGCACCCAUGCAAAGGGUUGGCUUCUGAGCAUAGCACACACACCAUAGAGAGAGAGAAGCAAGAGCUAGCCUUGUUCUUCUUCUCCCUUGAACCCAACAGCUCUAGGAGCGAUUGUAGCUACCUUUUCCUGAUCUAGUGAUCAUGCGGAGACCCCGCAGAGUAGGACUAGGGGUGUUAUCUCCUCGGAGAGCCCCGAACCUGGGUAAGAUCCGCCGGCGUGCAUGUCUUCGCCUCAUCCCGUUUCCAGGCACCGGCGACGUCUUAUUGGCACCCACAAUGAUAAGCCACCCGUUGGCAUAUGUCGCACCUACCACCCGACAACGUCAAUCUUGAUUCUCGGCAGCGCCUUCCGAGUCUUCUGCACUACAACCUUGGACUGCUUUGGAGCUUUUUCAGUUGGUGCCGGAGAGGACGUCCGAGGACGCUUUGACGACUGCCCGGUCUGAACGGCCGCCUUGUCACGGGCGCUCGCCGGGUCGUGAGUAAGUUUGGAUCGCCUUUCCCUGCGGGGAGAAGAGUCGACCUCUUCUUCGUCACUCGGGUCGUCGCUCUCCUCGUCCCCCUCUCCGUCGGAAUGCCACUCGCCGCUUUCACCUCCGCUUGCCUCCCCCUCCGAAUCCUGCUCCUGCUCUCCGUUGGGCAUCGAAUACAUUUCAGUAAGGGCCUAGAAGAAAACAAGCAAGACAAAGUCAGUCGGUGAAGCAUAAACAGUUGCAUGUUAAAUCAAGAUGACACUCGGUAAUUCAGAAUCAGACCUUGUCUGGUUCGUAGGAUUGGUCAAGUGGAGGGAUUCUCCUGGCUCCUCUGGGGUUAUCCUUGUUGCCUGUGAUACUCCUCAACCACUUCUCCACCGUAUCCUCGUCGACUUCUUCUGGGUGCACCCGAGUGGAAUCUUCAAUGCCCGAAUACAUCCACUUCGGAUGGUCGCGGGCUUGAAGUGGCUGAAUACGUCAUCUAAGGAAGACUUCCAGCAGAUCCAUUCCAGUUACACCCUCACGGAUGAGAUAGACCACUCGCUCAACCAGCACUUUCACCUCCGCUUUCUCCCCUGAAGUCACUUUCAAGGCGGAGGGCUUCUCUAUGCGAGCCAUAGAAAAAGGAGGAAGUCCAGUCGACUGACCUGGAGUCGGCUGGUCUUUGUAGUAAAACUAGGUUGACUGCCACCCUCUUACUGACUCAGGAAGAAUUAUGGUUGGGAAAGAGCUCUUACCCCUCAUCUGAAUCCCAAGACCCCCACACAUCUGGAUCACUUAAGUCCUCUCGUCACUCGGGUUGGCCUUUUUGACCGACUGGGAGCGACACGUGAAAAUGUGCUUGAAGAAACCCCAGUGUGGUCAACAACCCAAGAAAUUUUCGCACAGAGACACGAAAGCAGCAAGAUAUAUGAUGGUGUUGGGGGAAAAGUGAUGAAGUUGUGCCCCAAAGAAAUUCAAGAAAGCCCGGAAAAAAGGAUGCGGAGGCAGAGAAAAUCCACGGUCGACGUGAGUGGCGAGGAGGACGCACUCACCCUCCCGCGGUCGAGGUUCAGUCUCAUCCUCCGGGAGCUGCGCCGAUCCGUGAGGAAUUAGCCCCUCCUCCGCCAGAUCGUCGAGGUCAUCCUGACUGAUCGUCGACCGGAUCCAGUCGCCCUGGAUCCAGCCGCGCGGCAAACCGGACCGCGACGAGGAUCCGCCCCGGCUGGACUUUUUCCCCUUCGCCUUCGCCGUCGCCUUCUUUGCGCGCUCCAGAGCCACCGUCUUUUCUUUCCCCAUCGCCACGGACAGAGCUCGAGCGGAGCGGCGGCGCUGGAGGAGGAGCAGGCGCAGUGGGGAAAACUGAGAAGAGAGAAGAAGAAUGAGGACGCACUGUUCAAAAACCCCGGUCCGGCGCCUUAUAUGGGGUUGCUUCCGAGUGACUGACCUGUAGGCCCGGGCAAUCUUAUCAAAUCCCGCAACAGUUGCGCGCGUGAUACGUGGCAAAAAAGGCGGUGCGGGAAUCGAGGCGGCCUUGCCUUAUCCAUCCCGAUUACUGCGGCCUCCCCCGCCCCGCGCGCUUCCCGAAAUUCGAAUCCCGCGAGAUCCGCGGGCAGCAGAACAACUUGUCAGAUGGAAGAUCUCCACCACAUUAGCACUCGGAUCUCUUCCAGCAAAAGUUCACUCGACAAAACCAGGAAUGGAUCAAGGCGACUGAAAAAGAAGUUGGUGUCACCACCUCGGUUCGUUGAUCCAAAACAAGACACACCCGAAGCGCGAAAAAUGAGUCGAAAGUAUUUUCAACUCCUUCUCCACUCAAACCCUGAUCCAUUCGGGGGCUAAUGAUGAGGACAUGUACCUAGGGUAGGGUCACAGGCCUGACCUAAAUACCUUCCCCAAGGACAUCACUCUAAAGCCAGAAGCAUUCGAGGGGUACCAUCACCCACUCGACCAGAAACAUUUCCACUCGGAGGAAUCAAGAUCACUCGACCGUAACAAGAAACACUCGACGGACAGAAGACCUAAAGUCACUCUACACAGCAACGGUCGAGCAUUAACUCCUAGACUUAAUAGCCAUUUAUAACACUUUAUUACGGACGUUACCAGUAACGCCCCCCUCUUGAUGUACCUUAAAUCCCUUGUAACGUGGGCUGGCCGGGGUGCUGGCGCACUCUAUAUAAGCCACCCCCCUCCACAUGCACAAGGGUUCUCACCCCCUGUAACACACACGCAUAUAAUCCAGUCGACCGCCUCCGGGCUCCAAGACGUAGGGCUGUUACUUCCUCCGAGAAGGGCCUGAACUCGUAAAACUUGUGCGUACAACUUCUCCAUAGCUAGGAUCUUGCCUCUACAUCCCUACCCCCCAUUCUACUGUCAGACUUAGAACCACGACAGGUGGUACGUCACCGUGUCAGCGAGAAGGACGAGCACGUCCGUCGCUACAUGGUUGCGUUGGAGGGCAGGUUCGACAAUACCUGGCAAGUUCUUCAGGGAUCUCACUGGAGCUAUGAUCCUAUGAUGGUUCCUUCCCUUUGGGUGUCCACCGCCCGCGCCGAUACCCGUCGGGCGCUACGGUUCUAGCUGUACUAGCGAUGCUAUAUAUAUGUAUGAUAGUAUUCGAGGUGUAUUAGUGAUAAUAUUCGACGAUGUACGGACGGAAGAGAUGAUGUAGUUUUGCUUAUAAUUGAAUGCAUGCUAAUUUGAAUACUACUUUAUCUUACGAUUUGGUUUUGCUUAUUGAAUGCUCAAAUUGGAAAACUACUCCUACUUUGAAUGCUAAAAUUGGAGAGCACUAUGCAAGGCGUAUGCAUAUGAUUAGUUGAUAGCUUUUAGGGUUUUUGUUGUCGCAGAAAUCUAGGAGCCCCCCUCCAUCAUCCCCGCCGUCAUCCCCAUCACCGACCCCCUCCGACCUCGAGGUGAGACCAGCCAAAUCCUUUUUUAGAAAGAUAAUUAAACGAUAUUUCGGGUUGACUUUAAGUUUGUCGAGUCUCCACCAUAUAUGAGAGGACGAAGAAUCCCGACUGUUGUCGUGGGGUAGCUUCUCCUUCGUUCCCGUGUGCUAGACAAUUUGGUGUAAUGCACUCGGGAACGAAAGGAGGAGCUACCAUCACCGACGAUCACAAAUGUCAGAGAGGAAUCAGUGAGGGAGAGUUCCACCAUAUAUAUAUGAGAGGACGAAGAAUCCCGACUGUUGUCGUGGGGAUCGCUUCUCCUUCGUUCCCGUGUGCUAGACAUUUUGGUGUAAUGCACUCGGGGACAAAUGGAGGAGCGACAUCACCAACGGUCGAAUGUAUACACCACGUGAGCUGAGAGUUUUCAAGAAAAGAUUCGACAAACCGAUAGUCAACCCGUGAUGAAUAAUAAUGAUCUAAUUUAGUUUUUGUAGUACAUAUAUUUAAUUGUACAAGUUUCAUCUUUGAAUUAUGAACGUAGGAAAUGUCGUCAUCGGACGACGAAAGUCUCCCGGGGGAGUGCGGCUGGUGCCACGAUGAACGAGGCUUGUGCGACAGGCCUCACCUGGACAAUGAUCGGCGCUUCAGCAUUAAGCCCGAGGAGACCUUCGAUGUUGAAACGGUACGCAACGGCGACAAGUGUAUUUUUCGUAAUUAAGCAUGACUUCAACUAUUUCAACGUGUAAUUUUCAUCUUUUACAAUUCGAGUAUAGCUUAUCCCAUGCCAUGCAAGACGCUAUGUCUUAGAGAGGAUGGAUUUUGAAGACCAUAAAAAUUUUGAAACGAAGAAAAUUCACCUAAGGACCCAUCAUGAUGUGGAUUUUGAAGUAAAUCUGUAUAAUGCUGAGAGCGUAACCCAUUUUGGUUGCAAAAUUUGGGAAGCAUUUUGCAAGAUGUAUGGUUUUGAUGAGGGUAUGCUUGUCACCAUGGAUCUUGGUGAUCCUGACAUCGACCAAGACAAUAUGGACAUUUGGGUCCUUGUUGAUACGCCUCCAAUUCUACCGCUAUGUGAGUUUCUCAAACAUAGUUAAUUAUUAACUAAUUUAUAUUGUUUAUUUCAAAAUAGUUGACAGCUUAUUUCCAUUGACAGCUUAUUUUGAUUGUUCAAACAAUAUGCGGAACAUGGUAGACAAAACCCACUACACCGAUGGCUCCGAGUUAACUUAUCAGGAGAAAAAUCAUCUGGUCGGAUUUUGUACUGAUCUUGAGAAUUAUAAUAUCUACAAUCAAACUCCUCAACAUUAUGGUCAAUACGUGCCACUAGUGCACGUGUUAAACUACGGUAACUACCAUGGAGAUACCCUGGUAAGAUUUUUUUACUAUUACGACAUCCGUGCAUCUUUUGCAUACUUCUAAAACUAGUACAUCAUUGUUAACUAUGAAGUUAUUACUAUGUUUUUCAACAGAGAAUCCCAAAGGAUUGUGUGCCUCAUUUGAUGUAUCAGAAUGGCAGCCUUCGUGUUUUGAACAUAUAUCCAGGUCAUCUUAAGAAUCUCAACUGUCCAUACCGGAUUUCUAAAAGAAGUGAAGACAUGCUAAUCAGAGAAUGGAAAAAAUGUAUGGACAGUCGUAAGGAGGUUCUUGGAAGCAAAAGGAAGCGCCGCGCAAGAAUUGGAGACGGGAUGAUCUCCAUUCUCCAUAAUGGAGAGUCAGGGUCUAUAUUGUUUUAUGCUAUUUUACCUUAAAUAGGGUAUUUAGGUCCUGCAUAAUACUGAUGAUCAUGUGCUAAGAACAAUUAAGUAGGGUUGGUUCGAUGACUAUCAGGAUGAUGAUCGUAUGACUUGUUAUUAAUAACGAGUAGAAGUUGUAUGAUGAUGAUUAGUAGGACUUGUUAUUAUGAUGAUGCAUGAUGGGAGCAUGAAGAGUUAUUAUAUAUCUGUGGGUGAAAUGAACGUGGAUUGGAUUGAAGUGAAGGCCACAUGCAUGUGGUGCAUGUCGAAAGUAGUACAAUCCAAACUUGAUCAAGUUAGGAUUAGUAUUACUUUCGACAUGCACCACAUUUUGCCUCACUUCAAUCUAAGUCAUGUUUAGGCAUAGCAGUAGCAGUAGCACGGAGAUAAGAGAGGACACAUCUCUCUAUUAGCUACCUAAAACAACCUAAAUUAACCCCCAAAACCCCUAAACCACCUCCUUUCAAAAAAACAGCCCCUGAAAUGCUGACGCGUGGAAGCUUAUUGGUCCCGGACCGGGACCAAAGGCCCUCCUGCCUGGGCUCGCCGGAGCGGCCACGUGGAGGCCCGUCUGUCCCGGUUGGUAUAAGAACCGGGACUAAAGGCCUAGGGCAUUAGUAACGACCCUUUAGUCCCGGUUCCCGAACCGGGACAGAUGGGCCUUAUGAACCGGGACAAAUGGCCCUUUUUCUACUAGUGCUCAAGGCUUGAUAAAUAUGGUGAGCGCAAUUCCAUUACGGUGAGGUUAAAUUUAGCCAUUAAUUGAUUUGAUAUUUGUUCCCGAAAAAGAUGUAUUUUGGAAGGCACACGAUGAAUGUGUCCUGACCUCUUAGGAAAACGGAAGGCAGAUACCAGUUGUCAAUUUUAUAUAAAUACAAGGUGGGUACUUUUUAAUUGAUUUAAAAAGAUAAAAAGGAAAGUCAAACUCUUUUGUUUCUCUGGAGAAGUCAAACGAGUGAGGCAUUUUGGAGCUCAGGCUCCAUGGAUCUUUUUUCUUUAACAUUCAAAAGGUGUAUUUCAGAGGCUCAAAAAAUAUACUUGUGUCAUAAGGAUGAUUUUUUGCGGGGUAAAGGGAGUUUUAUUGCAUUGUAAGAGUGUUAUAGUCAAGAGGCCACAAAUUCUCAAUACAAGAUGGAACCGAGUUUAACCACACGGCAUUAGUUCUCUCGAAGCGGCCAUAAUUGGCCAACCAAUCUGCAACUCUAUUAUGACUACGAUGAAUUUUCUGAGAAUAAAACUCCCUACUACUCAUUAACUAUUUUAUCUCUAGAACUAUAUAAAGUUUCACUAUGUACAAUAUCAUGUGAGCUACAUAAAGAGAUAAUUUCGUGUGUUUUUAAAUAAUGAACAAUGCAUGCACACUCACCUUUUUCAAAUCACGAAUUUAUCUUUUUGUUCACUACUCCCUCCGUUCCACGAUACAUGCCUUUCAUUUGUCAAAAUAUAGAUGUAUCUAGACAUGUCUUAGUAUAUAGGUACAUCCAUUUUUGGACAAAUGAAAGUCAAGUAUUUUGGAACGGAGGGAGUACUUUUUUGUGUAACUAUCAUCGUCCAACUUUACACAUAUGUAGUGCACAUCCACAUGAACAUGUGUGGUUAUUUCUUUUGAAACUUCAAAAUGUGAAUUUUGAUUAUUGUUCUUUUUAAGAUCCGUCUCCAUUUUCGAAGUCAGAUGCUAUUUAGCAUUUCAUAAAUGCAAACUGGAUUGUAAUUUUUGCAUCCUGCAAAUUUCAGCUUUGCUUUGCGAACGAUGAUGUAUGGGCUUGCAGCUCGUGAGGUAUGAGGGCCUUAAAACAAAAGCCCAAACAAACGUGGUAAGUUGAAGAAAACCCUAACUCAGGUUCAGGCCGCACGCGCAGACGAGCCGGCGGAGGCACAUACUCUGUUUCCGGGGAAUAGCGGCGACGUCGUCGGCGCCGGCGACGCAGCGAGCGGAGCGACGGCGACUCCGUGGCCAGGUUUGCCCCUCAGCUCGUCCAUCUCAACUCUGAAACUUUGGGAUGCCAACAUUUUCGAUCGAUCCAUCCGCAGAUUAGGCCAUGUCGUCCACGUUCGCCGGUGUAUCCGUCCUGGCCGGCGGCGAGCUGUGCCCUUCCACAGAGUCGUCCGUCGUCACCAGCACGGACUGGGGGUACCACCUGCUUGUGGUCCAAGACUACUCGCGUACCAAGCAAGCCACUCCCACCGGCGAGUGGAUCAGCUCUCGUCCUUUCAUGGUAGGAGGCCAUGAAUGGAGCAUCGACUACUAUCCUAACGGCUACACGAAGAGUUGUGCCGACUUCAUUUCUCUAUUUGUUAACCUUCUCGACGAGGAUGCCGAAGAGCCUGUGAAGGCGAAGUUCAAUGUCAGUUUCAUCGACGAGGCGGAGAAGCACAAGCCAAUGUACAUUUCGGAAACUGAAACAUUCGACUUCCGCUCUGAGUCCAUGCUGGGCUACAACAUGUUCAUGGAAAAAGAUGUCCUUGAACAAUCAUCGCAUCUAAUGAAUGAUUGUUUUACCAUCCGGUGUGACAUCAUGGUAUUCAGCUCCAAGGAUGCCGGUGGCGAUAAGGUGCCCCUGCCUGAAAUAGACCAACAUUUAAACAAUCUCCUUCAAACUAAGGUGGGUGCUGAUGUGACAUUCGAGGUCAGCGGCGAGAUGUUCGCUGCGCACCGAUGUGUGCUUGCAGCCCGGUCUAAAGUCUUCAUGGCACAGCUCUUUGGCCCCAUGAAGGAGGGCACUACUACAUCCUGUGUCAUACAGAUCAAAGACAUGGAAGCAAAAGUGUUCAGGGCUCUGCUUAGCUUCAUCUACACAGACUCACUCCCUAAGAUGGAGGAGGACGAAACAGAUGCUGUGGAAGAAGGAGAAGAAGAGGAAGGAACAGAGGAUGAAAUGUCAGAAGUUGCGGAACAAGGACAAAGAGCGAAACCACCAGAGACUGUGCAAUGGCUGCAAGGCUUGCUUGUAGCCGCAGACAGAUAUGAUCUCCAACGGCUCAGGUUUAUCUGCGAAAGGCAGUUGUCCUUGCGCAUAGGUGUGAGCUCGGUGGCGUCUACUCUUGCUCUAGCUGAGCAGCACCACUGCCGCCCAUUGAAGGCGGCAUGCUUGAAGUUUAUCCAAGCCCAAUCUCCGUCGUGUUUGCAGAUAGUAAUGGCGACCGAUGGCUGGGAGCACUUAAUUACGACCUAUCCCUUUGUUUUGAACGAGCUCUUUGCCAUGGUUGCUUUGAACCAGAAGUAACACUUCAUAUGGUAUGCAUGUUCCUUGGAUCGGUAAUGACACUUGUGCAUAUAUGGGAUUCUCUAGAGAUCGUAGUAUGUCUGUCUUGCUUUUGCCUCGUCAUUUAAUUUGCCUAUCUGCUGAAUCGGACAAAUCCAACAUAUGGGCAAAUUGUCUCCUCAUGGUCUGUAAAAUGGGGAGAACUCCCAGUGCAGAUCGUUGUCUAUAUAUUGAUGUCAGUUUGCAAGAAAGCAGAGAUAUGAAUCAUCACUCUACCUAUUUGUAAAUUAUCAGCAAAGAAAAUAUGUGAAAGUGUCUGUGGCCUAUUUUAACUUGAGGAAACUAUGUGCUUUUUGACCGCUCGUAACUUGUUGCUAUUGGCGCGGCGGGUUUCAGCAGAAAUGUAUGUGGGGUUGGAAUUCAUGUUACAAAUUGGUGUGCAAGGUAGGCCAACCAUUAGUGCAUAUUGGUUUCUGCAUGCACCUGGCAAUCAGGCAACAUGUUGCCUGCUUAUCUUUUGUUUAUCAGAGCUACUACUACAUGAAAAUUCACGCAACAAAGAUAUAUAGUUUAGCGCAUCGGUCGACCUGUAGAACAGUAGAAAGAAAUCUUAUAUGCAGGUAUGGCAUACCCUGACUUGCUAGACAUCUACAGCAGAAGGCACCAAUAUAACUCUGUUUUCAACCAUCAGAAACAAAAUAUAUGGCAAUCAGAAAAUUACUUCUUGUAUCGACUUAGCCAUGUGUCUCUCACAAGAGACAACCUGCCAUUUUACGCAAAAAUAAAAAGUAAAAAAUUAAGAGACAGCCUGCCAUGCCAUAGUAUCUUGGGAGUUCGGUUCUCGUCUUCAGUGCCGUUGGAGGCAGGACCACACAGGCCUCGAAUAAGAUUAUCUAAAAUGUUAACAUCUUAUACUAUGCACUACGAAGGUGGUAUCAUACACUACGAGUAGCCUAACUGUACUGCGUGCUAUUAGCUGGAUGCAGGCCACAAAAUCAUUUGUUUCCCGACGGAAGGGCAUGCAACAUGCAUUUCUGUUUGUACAUAUACUUCUAAGGGAUUAGUCAAGGGUAUUUUUGUCUCAAGUUCUGCUCGAUUGCGUGUGUUGCCGAGAAAAUAUACCUUACAAAAAGGACGAAGGGAGUAGAAAGAAAAUUACGUCACGGUUUUUCCCGUCGGGAUUUUGAAUCUAACUCUGAUAUAAUUAUCAGUGGUUUUAAAAUGAAAUCAAAUUCAUUCAUCAAGGCCCCAUAAAUGUGACGAUCGCAAUUUCAUUAUAGUGAGACUAAAUUUAGCCAUUAAUUGAUUUGAUAUGUGUUCCCGAGAAAUGAAGGUAUCUAGAUCUCUUUGGAAAACGGAAGGCAGAGAUCAUUUGUCGAUCUCAAUAAAUACAACGUGGAUACUUUUUAAUUGAUUUACAAAGAUAAAACAAAGGCCAGUCAAUUUUUUUGUUUCUUUGGGGCAAGUCAAACGAGCGAGGCAUUUUGGAGCACAGGCUCCAUGGAUCUCCUUUUUUGGGAAAUUCAAAAAGUGUAUUUCUGGUCCUAAAAAAAUGGAAAUAUCAUCAUAUUCAUAUGGAUGUGUUUAUAAGUGUAUAAAUUUUUCACGAUGAGAUUCAUUGACAUGUGAGCUACACAAAAGAGACAAAUUCGUGGGUUCUUAAUAUUGAACAAUGUGUGCACGUUCACCUUUUCAAAUCACAAGUUUAUAUUUGUGUUCAUUAUUAAAAAGUAAAAAAUCACGAAUUUGUCCCUUUUGUGUAGCUCUUACGUUAAUGUAUAUCAUCGUCAAACUUUACACAUAUGUAGUAUACAUCCAUGUGAACAUGUGUGAUUUUCUGCAAAACUUAUUGAAACUUCAAAAUGUGAAUUUUGAAAAGAAAAAAAAAAGAGCUGCAUCUGCAUUUUUGAAGUGAAAUGCUAUAUAGCAUUCUAUAAAUGAAAACCGGAUUGUAUUAUUUUUCUGAAAUGAACUGGAUUAUAUUUUUGCAUCUGCAGAUUUCUGCCCGAUUCAUUUCAGGCUUUGGUUUGCCCAAAAAAAAUUAGAUUCUUGGUUUGCCCAAAUCAGUGUAACGAAUGAUGUAUGGGCUUGCAGCUCGUGGGCUGUGAGGGACUUCAAACAGAAGCCCAAUCAACGUGGUAAGUUAUAGAAAACCCUAACUCCUUGCCUCAAAAAAAGAAAAAGAAAAAGGCAGGCUCAGGCCGCACGCACAGACGAGCCGGCGGCGCAUACUCUGUUUCCAGGUUGAAGCGACGGCGUCGGCGCGGGCGGCGCAACGAGCUGAGCGACGGCGACUCCGUGAGCAGGUUUGCCAUGUCAAUCCACUCGCAGAUUCGCCAAUGUCAACUCUGAACUUUGGGACAUCAACAUUUGGAUCCAUCCACUCGCAGAUUCUCCAUGUCGUCGACGUUCGCCGGUGUAUCCAUCCUGGCCGGCGGCGAGCUGUGCCCUUCCACCGAGUCGCCCGUCGUCACCAGCACGAACUGCGGGUACCACCUGCUUGUGGUCCAGGACUACUCGCGGACCAAGCGAGCGACACCCACCGGCACGAGCAUCUGCUCUCGCCCUUUCAUGGUGGGACGCCAUGAGUGGUGCAUCGAGUACUAUCCUAACGGUCAGAAGAAGAGCUGUGCCGACUUCAUUUCUCUAUAUGUUAACCUUCUCAACGACGACGACGAUGCCAAAGAGCGUGUGAAAGCGAAGUUCGAGUUCAGUUUCAUCGACGAGGCGGAGAAGCACAAGCCGAUGUACAUUUCUGGAACCGAGACACUCAGCUUCCGCGGCGAGUGUCUGCGGGGCUACGGCAAGUUCAUGAGAAAAGAUGUCCUUGAACAAUCGGCGAAUCUGAUGGAUGAUUGUUUCACCGUCCGGUGUGACAUCAUGGUCUGCGACACCGAGGAUGCCGGUAGCAGCAAGGUGCUCCUGACUGAAAUAGACCAACAUUUAAACAAUCUCCUUCAGACUAAGGUGGGUGCUGAUGUGACAUUCGAGGUCAGCGGCGAGAUGUUCGCUGCACACCGAUUUGUGCUUGCAGCCCGAUCAAAAGUCUUCAUGGCACAAUUCUUUGGCCCCAUGAAGGAGGGCACUGCUGCAUCAGGUGCCAUCCAGAUCAAAGACAUGGAAGCAAAAGUGUUCAGGGCUUUGCUUAGCUUCAUCUACACGGACUCACUCCCUCUAUUGGAGGAGGACGACAUGGAGGAGGACGAAGGAGAGGCCAUGGAAGAAGGACAAGAAGAGGAAGCAGCAGAGGAUGAAAUGGCAGAAGUUGCGGAACAAGGACAAGGAGAGGAUGCAGCAGAGGAUGCAACGGAGCUGCAAUGGCUACAAGACUUGCUUGUAGCAGCAGACAGAUAUGAUCUCCAGCGCCUCAAGUUUAUCUGUGAAAAGCGAUUGUCUGAGCGCAUAGGUGUGACCUCGGUGGCCUCCACUCUUGCUCUAGCUGAGCAGCGCCACUGCCGCGGAUUGAAGGAGGCGUGCUUGAAGUUUAUCCAAGUCCAAUCGCCCUUGUGUUUGCAAAAAGUAAUGGCGACUGAUGGCUGGGAGCCGUUAAUUACGACCUAUCCCUCUGUUUUGAACGAGCUCAUUGCCAAACUUGCUUCAAACCAGAAGUAACACUCUGUGCUGUACGCAUGUUCCUUGGACCUGUAGUGACUCUUGUCAGUCUUAUGCAUAUAUGGAAUUCUCUAGAGAUAUUGUAGUCUGUAUGUCUUGCUUUUGUCUCGUCGUGUAAUCUGCCUAUAUGCUGAAUCAGACAAACCUGGCAUAUGGGCAUACUGUCUCCUCAUGGAAUGGUGGUCUGUAAAUUCAGGAGCAAUGAAGCAAUGUUCAUCUGCAUUGCAGCAAUGUGCAAGUUCCUUAGGCCUGUGGCGACUCUCUUAUCAGAAGCGUCGAUGUUUAUCUGUGUUGCAGCAACGUGCGAGUUCGCCAGCUAGUCGUUGUAUCCUCGUAUAUUUCUCUGUGCAUUAGUUGUGUCUUAUAUUGUUUGCUGUCUACCUUCCCUGUCAUGUUAAAAAUCAUUUUUCCAGUGGUUAUCAAAAACAUGUAAAUCUUGAUCCAGUACGCACCUUAUCCUGGGUGCUCUGCUGUUCUCCUUGGCUGGUGCCGCCCAUGGGAGAGGAAGGUCGGAGCUCCAGAAGUCCAAUGCUGUAGGUGUGCCCCUGUUUUGAAGCGCCGUUGAAUGCAAUGCAGACAGGGGCCCUACUUGGGAGCUAUGCUCGUGUUAACCUAGAUAGGUGUGCAAUCAAUUGAUAUCUUAGCUGCUUCGAUCCUGUUACAAUUCCUUGCUGGGUAUUAGAAUCGAAACAUUUGGCGGUGAACACGUUAUUGUCUAUAUGUUCAUGUCAGUUUGCAUGAAAGCAGAGGAUAUGAAUCAUCAGUCUGCCUGUUGGUAAAUUUUCAUCAUCAAAGUAAAUAUGAACACGUGUGGCGUAAACCGUAUGCUCUAACUUGAGGAAACUUAGGUGCUUUUCGACGCUUGUAACUUGGCGUGAUUGGCACAAUGGCUUUGAGCAGAUGUGCAUGUGGGGUUGAAUUGUUGGCCUAUGAUUCAUUUUGCAAAUUAGUGUGCAGGAUAGGUCAACCUUUAGUACAUACUGGUUUCUGCAUUCACCUCCCAAUCAGGCAACAUGUUACCUGUUUAUCGCACAGCCACGGUUACAUGAAAAAUGUAGUGCUGCCAGCAAUGUUAUGUUCAGUUGUGUAGGUUUAAUAUCACAAGCAACACGGAUAUAUAGAGUUCCGCAACUCCGUCGAUAUAAUUCGGUUACCAACCACAACUAACAAAAACAUGACAUAUGGCUGUGACUUCGAUCAGAAAAAUAUGUGCCCGUAUCAACUUAGUCAAGCGUCCAUCACAGGACACGCCCUGCCAUGCCAGAUGACAUACUUUCAGCUACCUACACUGCAUUCCCCGAGAUUCAAGCGGCAUGCGCAGCGAGAUAGGCAAGGCGCCUCUCUUCAAAGGAGUACUCGGUGCUCUCUAGCAAACACAGCUCCGGCUUGUCAUUGGAGACGCAGACAGGUGCAGCUCUUGCGGCAGUCAGAGCAGGCGUUGUGGUCAUUUGCAUAGGAGAGGUCACCGUCAUCGGCGUCCUAGGACUUGGUGCUGCGAGUAUCUUGGGAGUUCGGUUCUCGCCUUCGGUACCAUUGGAGGCAGACCGCACGGGCGUCGAUUGGAUGCUAUUUCCGGGUGUGAUCUGCGUGAAGGGUUUACGAGGGGUUUCAGUCUCACCAAGAGUACUUGCCUUGAAUGAUAACUUCUUGAUCGGAGGACUGGCAGUGCCUUUGCCUCUACUACCUGAAAGCGUUUUUUUUGUUUUCAUCAGAGAUAGUCUGUUAAUUUGAAAGUAAAGAAACUGAACAACUGCAUCAGCUAUGGUUAAGUGAACUUGCCAGGGGACAGAGUGCCACUAUCUUCUGUCUUCUUGGCUGAACGGACGGAUCUUGACUGAGGUGUCAAUGAUUUUGGAGUUCGCACUGGUCCUCCGCCGACAGACAGCCUCCGGUUUGUACCAGCCAAGGGGUUUCUGGUAAGCUUCUUCCCGCUGUUCGACCUUGAUGAAGGGCUCGGCUUUGAUCCGUACAGCAUCUCCUGCUCAGCUUUGAAUUGAUCCUCAAGCUUCUUCUGAUCCUGCAAUCGCUCACCCAUCAGAUACCAUCCGCAGAUGAAGACAGAUACAAGUGCAGAAAAAGUUAAGCAAAAUAUGAAUACCCUUUGUCUCUUCUUUUCCUGCUCCUUUUCUUCACGAACUAUCCUAUAAUCAUCAAGCAUCGACAAAAGACUAACCUGAAAAGGUUGAAUGGCAUGAACUUUUGACAGUAUAGAAACAGAAAUUGUGUUUACACACAAGAACAGCAGUGAAAUUAUGGAUACAUACACCAUCGUAAGUAAACUCAGUGCCCCUUUCUUUCUCCCAAGCUAGAACUUUGUUUGUAAGAACGUCCACAAUUCCUGCUUCAUGCAACAAUAAACAGAUCAGCAGCAGUAUUUUAAAAAUAACAAGCAGAAAAUCGUACGUAGUAGAGGUGUUUCACCUGGUAUCUUGUUAACCAAAACACGGGCUUUUUCAGCUCUCUUGAGCAUAAUAUGUGCACCCCUCCCAGCAUUAUAUCGGUUAUCAUCCUAACAUAACAUGUAGAUAGUGAAAUUAGUAGUAGUUGAUAUAGACCUGGAUCAAGUAAUCAAACACAACCAUACUUUGCUGUAAUCCUCUAACCAAGCUUCCUCCUCACAUGCAUUUAGCCACCUUUCAACUCGCUCAAGUAUAUCCUUCCUGCUAAAAGCAUCUUCUUUAACUGUUGCGAUGUAUGCCUCGAUUUGUUCUAGAAGAAGUGAGGGAUCAAUAGCACCUGCAAUGAAAUAAAAAAAAGCAAAUUACGUUGGUUGUUACAACAUUAAUAAAUUAUAUCAACAAACACAUCUGUUUGUAUCUGAAUGCUGCAGCAAAGAAAUUUACAGGAAAAAUAUCCUUAUUCCGCCCGAUGCGCCAAAGCAUGUUAGAAAACUAGAAACGUACCUGCUUCAAUGGCCUCGAUAUUGAACUGAGUUGCAUAAUGUUCAUCUCCAACCAAAUGCGCCCGUCGACGAUGCUCUUCUAGUUCUGUUUGCUUCUUAAGAACUAAGUCCUUCAUUUUACUGACUUUCAGUUGCUCAAGCCUCAAUACCUCAGCUUCUACCUGCAUCAACGAAUAUCAUCUCCACUAAGUUAACCAAGAAAAACAAUUAAAGCAAGUUCUGCAAACAACACAUUGACUCACAAAGUUCAUGACAUCAAUGGAAAGGGCAUUGGCCUCUGUUAUUUCAGGUUCUGAUGCAGCAAUAUUGCAUGUUAUAUUCUGGAAUGACUGUUGCUCUUCUAUCGGCGUAUCCAUAAGAUUCCAUAGUUCGAGCAUUGUAGACGAGAGAUCUUGAAGCUGUCAGAGCUAACAGAGUUAAGGGCCAAAAGCAGUCAUAUGAUGAUUUUCUAGAUUAGAACCGUAAGAUGCUAACCUUCUGCAUCCUUUCAAUUUUUGUUUCCCGUAGUCUCUGUAUUGCCAACGCCAACCUCUCAAUUGUGGUGUUGCUUAUGUUCAUUGGUACGCCAUCCUCAUCGAGACUGGGGUGUACAUCAGAUAUUGUUUGUUUGAAGUCAACGGCAAGUACUUUACAUAAGGAAUGCAAAGUAUUCAGGUAAUCCAUUACUUGCUUUAGCCGCUCACUCUGCAAGAUAUUCAGAAAAUGACAGAGCUAGCAUAUGUGAGAAACAGAAAAUGUAAUCAGUGGGUACAAAGGGGAAAAGGCAUGAAUAUGAACCUUCUCUUUCUCUAGGGACUGCAGCUCCAUUCUUAACUCUUCUAGCCUUCUGCAGGAUAGAUCAGAUUGAUCCACAGGUGCUUUAAAAGGGACAAAAUCUGCAGGUCUGAUCUCAGAUGAUAUCUUCUUUAUCUUGCCUAUAACAUCAAGAAUCUGAUUCCAUCUUUCGGCCUUUCUCUUCUUCAUCUCUUCCAAAUAUGGGACGAUUGCACUUAGUUCCUCCCGUAAGCCGCAUCCUUUCUGUUAAGAAUGAAGAAAAGAUAUGAUGGAAAAUACUCAUUAUUGGUGGAGUCCCAAUAGGAAGCGCCAAGCCUUUAAAAUUAGUUCCAUUAACAAUAUAUGUGUGGAGCGAACGCGCAACAUCAUUAUUCUGAAGCUGUGUUUUACAGUUAAAUUGGUCGGUUAAUAAACACAGCUGCCUCGUUAGGAUGGAAUCAAAAUGGUAUGACUGCAACCAAAUUUACACGAGCCUUAGUUUUCCUCUGCCUGGAUUGGUUGGAAUCACUACCAUUCUGAACACUUCAGCCAACUGAUUGUUGACAAUUAGGCAUACUUGCAAACACCUAUGGGAGAACUGGUGCAUUUAUUUAUUUGAUAGGGGGUUCAUAUUUUAAUAUCCUGCUUUCUCAUCAGAUGAAUGAAGUGACAGAAGUAACAAAAACAGAUGGCUGUCCUGUCCUCGCAGGAAUUUCUAACGUAGCUGACCUGCCGUGGCACAGAGUUAAGUUCCUAACACAAUUAGGAUCGACUGGAUAACAGAAUUGUAGGGACCCGAAAUUCAUUUACACAGUGUACACUGCACACAAUUAGCAUAGUAGUUUUGUACCAACCUGCCUGACGAGGACGGGCGGCUCGGCCAUGGCGGAGCAGACGGCGGCGAGCUCGGCCUGGGCGUCGGCGAUGGCCUGGCGCAGCUGGGCCCGGCAGCGGCUGGCCUGGUCCACCUUCCUCCGGUAGGCGUCGAGGCACUCCUGCUGGAGCUGGAGCAGCAUCGUGUCCCUCGCGGCGCCCUGCUCCCCGAUCUCGUCCCAGAUGACCUGCGCGCACACACACACGCAACCAGCCAACACAACCACGAGCGAUCAUCAGACCCGCCGCGAAUCACACCGUCGCCGCACGUAAUCGAAGGGGCAGCGGGCGCGCGCACCUGGAGCUCGCGCAUGAGGGCGCCGCACGCCGUCUCCAUCUGGAGGAGCUGGUCGCCGCCGCUCAUCCCGGUCCCGGCGACGGCGCCGCGGCCUGCGAGGGGAGCGAAUCGAGGGGGAUCAGUUAGGGCCUGGCGCGGCUUAAUUUCCGCCCCCGUGAUUACGAGCUCACUCACCAGUGUGCGGCGUCUCGGCGUGCGGGCGGGGCGGAGGAGCGGUCGACGGGGGCGGGCGGAGGUGUCGCCGGAGAGGGCGGCGCGAUUGGGGUACGGCGGAGGAGAGGUUUGAUUUGAAAUGGGUUGGAAUGGGGAGGGAGGCGAUUGCGGGGCACACGGGGUUGGCGUUUGUGUUUUCGGGAUUUCCGGGGAGGAAGAAGGAACUGCGCUGGUCCCCACUCGUUUCGAAUUCGCGUCAGGAUCCGUCCUGGGCCUUCCGUUUUUCUUUCGUUGGGAAGGCAACGUCUGGGUUGGGCUCGCCUCCUCAUUCUGUGCAUUCUCAUUCUUUCUCAAAAGAAAAAAAGGAAAUGUGCAUUUUAAAACUGAACUCAAAAACCAUGCCAAAAACAAAUCGAACCGGUUUUUUUAUAUGGUCUUCAUGGUAUACGACAUCGUUUUGAAUUUCGGUUUCUUAUAUAUACCAAAAAACCAGAAGAUGAAUUGAAUUAACCGAAGUAUUUAUAUUUCUUGAGAGAACACCAUACAAAGCAGUCGAUUGCAUGAGCUUGUCGAGCUUGCAUUGUCCAAUAUUCACAUGCCGAAGCACACUCUUAUAUACACCUCGCAUCAACCACAUGGCAUCUCUAUUAUUAAAGGGGAAUGUGUAUGUCGUCGUCGUUCGUACGCAACUAUCAAUGCGAAAACAUUUUAAAAAUCAAGCGUCGGAUUAGUUUGGAAAUCAAGCCAUUAAUGAAUUAAUUAGCAAGACAAUUAAUUACAUGUGCAAUUAAUUAGUCCAAUUAAAUAGAGAUUUUCCGUGUGGAAUCAAUUAUCGAGUCAUUAAUACAAUUAUUUAAUUACUAGGCAGCCAGUUAAUAAGGCCUUCCAGAUAAUUAGAAAUAGGGAUUUAACUCUAUUUUCCAGAAUAGUCUAAACUGCUCAUAAUCUACCACCUCGCAUGCCACAACUCUUUAAAUAUUGUUUCAUCCCUAGCAACUUUUUGCAUGCCACCACAACAUUGUUUCAUCCCAUAGAAAAGCUACUAAAAGAUUAAAAGGAGUUGCUGCCUGCUCACUCAGGCCCAUGGUACAAGUUAAUGGGCAGACCAAAGGCCCAAUAAAGCUUGUAACUUGUUGUGUUUUUUUUUGCAAGAGUCAGAUUCGUUAAGCACGUCCAUUUUAUUUUAAUUUCUUUGUAACAAUGUCUUGGUAAGGAUGGAUAACUCUAGGGUGGUUGAUGCUAUACGCUUAAAUGAGGGACAUUUUAUGGUGGCGGCUCCUGUUCUUAACGACUAUAGAGAAUUUUUAUGAGAGUUCAGGAAGGUUAUUAUUGAGCAUUGUAAUAGAAAAAUCAAAUGUAGUUGCUCAUGAGCUAGUUGAGUAGGGGCAUACAAACACCCCUUCUGUAUGGGUGGAUGCACCUCCGGUUUCUAUUCCUAAAAAAGUAGCAGAUGAUGUAAGCAUUAUUUGAAUGUAAUAAAACUAUUCCCUCCGUUCCUAAAUAUAAGUCUUUGUAGAGAUUCCACCAUGGACUACAUACGGAUGUAUAUAGAUGCAUUUUAAGUGUAGAUUCACCCAUUUUGUUCCGUAUGUGGUCUAUAGUGGAAUCUCGUCAAAGACUUAUAUUUAGGAACGGAGGGAGUAGCUGUAAAGGCCUUUCCGUAGAAAGCAACAUGUCCAUUUUUUUUAGUUUUUGGUAAAGUAGUCAUGUUUCUCUACAGAAAACAUGCUAAGCACGCGGAAAUUGCUAGUGGAAGUUGAGCUCCACGGAGACCUUCAAAUAUAAAAUUAAAAAUUUGUGAAAAUCCAUAUUUUUACAUUUCAAAAAACUGAAAGAAAUAGAGAUAGAUAAAGGCAUAGUGCAUGUGUAAAUUUUCAAGACGAAAUACGUUGAAAUGAGGGUUGUGCAAAAAAGGACAUCUGAGGCUUUUUAACAAGUCGCAUUUCAACGUAUUUCAUCCUGAAACUUUACACACAUACACCUCACAUCUUUAUUUAUUUGUACAAUUUUUUCAGAUAUUUUUGAAACCAAAAAUUCGAAUUGCGGUUUUUUCUAAAAAUCAGCCCCAUGGAGGCCAAGAGCCAAAACGCCAUUCUCCUAAGAGCAUCUCCAAUAGAUGGUCCAAUUUUUUCAGAUAUUUUUGAAACCAAAAAUUUCGAAUUGCGGUUUUUUCUAAAAAUCAGCCCCAUGGAGGCCAAGAGCCAAAACGCCAUUCUCCUAAGAGCAUCUCCAAUAGAUGGUCCAAAAUUUGACGGUCCAAAAUCGGAGAUGUAAAAUUUGGACCGCCAAAAAGUGCGUUUCGGAGCUCCGAAAAACGCUCAACUCCAACAGAUGGUCCAAAAGAGCAACUCCAAUAGAUGGUCCAAACCAAAGAUGUAAAAAUCUGAUAGUGGUCGUGCGGCUGCUGCCAGCCACUGUUCAGCCGCGAUUGCAUUGAAAUAGCAACAAAAAUUUGAAAAUAAAGUGCAUCAUCAUCAUAGUUUCAAUCAAAAGUGCAUCACCAUCAUAGUAUCAACUCCCUCUACCAAAAGAGCAUCGUCUCAAUCAAAGUUUUUCGCCCUAGAAAUUGAAAUGCACAUGAAUAUUACUCAUGCGGGUCACCAACACCACCGGCGUUGUGAACCGUGGUACGAUCAUCAUCUUCACCACCGUCUUUGUCGACGUUCUCAACAAGCGGUGAACUCUCGUUGCCGUGAGCACCACCGGAAGCAUCUUCAUUGCGUCCCAUGUUGCCGCCAUAGCCACCUCCAGCGCCACUCAUGUUGCCGCCAUAGCCACCUCCCAAGCCACCCAUCAUGUUGCCACCAAAAGCACCUCCCAUGCCGCCAAAGCCACCUUCCAUGUUGCCACCGAAGCCACCUCCCAUGUUUCCGCCAAAUGCACCAUUCAUGGAACCUCCAAUCAUGUUCAUGUAACCACCCAUGGCACCUCCCAUGCCUCCUCCCAUCAUCAUUUGCCUCAUGAGCAUUUGCUCCUUCAUGAGCAUUUCAUCGCGACAAAGUUCAACAUAUGCCUUUGCCUUGACAUCAAGAGUUGAUGUGUCCAUAAACAUAAACUUGAGUGUCCUCUCCUCAACCAUCUUCCUCUCGUCGGCCGCGGCCUUCUUCUCCUCUAGGUCUACCUUCCUCUCCUCGGCCGCGGCCAACCUCUCCUCGGCUGCCGCCCUCUUCUCCUCGGUCGCCGCCCUUCGCCGCACGGCCUCACUCCUCUCCUCUAUUUCCUUGAGCUUCAAGAUUCUUUUCUCUUCGGCAUACUCUUUCCUCGCCAUGACAAUGGCAUCAAAUCCUUCCUUGAGAUCAUUGUCUCCGGCCUUGGUUCCGUUCGCUUUCUUGUUUCCAUUGGGCCUAUAAGAUUUUGUCGCGGAGUGAGGAGUGGGGCUCAUCUCCUCAAUGGAGACAUCUUCUUCAUCCUCAAGCAACGCAUUCUUCUUCUUCUUCGAUGAUUCAAAAGUCUCUUUAGUUUUUCACUUCUCCACAUCCUUGAGUUCUUUGUAGCAAUGAUGAAAAGUGAAAGCUUUUCCUUUCCUUUUCUUCUUCUCGCCUUUCAUGUUCCUCUCUCAAAACAAUCCUUGUGCAAUCAUUUUCUACAAUGAAACAAGCAACACAUCAUCAUCAACAUGUGGAACAAAGAGGAAAUAUUUGACAAAGCACGGACGAAGAGGAAAUAUUUACCAGAUCACUAUCACCGCAACCACUUGGGUUCAUGCGAGCAACGUUUGACAAGCAACCGGCCCACUUUUGGCAUUCGGCGUUGAUGGUGGACCAACGUUGGCGUAGAGAGUCGCUCGAACGGAAGUGACCACUUGUGUUGCGCUCAUCGAAAUACUCCUUGAUGCGUUGCCAAUAGGUGUUCACCGUUUGGUCGCUUCCAACGCUUGCAUCUUGAGAGAUUUUCUUCCAAGCGGUGCAUAUCAACACAUCCUUCGCGGUGGUAUAAUUUCCACUUCUUCCCUUGACAACAAAGCCCUCAUCGUCCACAUCAAGAUUGUCAUCGUCAUAUUGGGUUUCAUAUUCUUGUGACGCAUACAUGUAAUCAUCAUUUGCCACAUUUGUUGCGUGCAUGAAAGCUUCAUCAUCAACACUACAAUUGGACGCACAAACAAUCAAGAACACAUACAAUUUGAAACAACAAACGAAAGCACAACCGAAAAUUUUUAUACCUUUGCGACAUUUCGUCGAACAUGUUGGAGGCGGUGGCCAUCGGCGUGGCCACAUCUUCCUCCACAGCCGGCGGUGGCGGCGGGGGAGGUUGAGGAAUGGAUGUGUGGCUGCUGGAGGAGGCCGCCGGCCGCACCGUCUGCGAGUCGUCACCCCGAGCCGCCGCGACCGCCUUAGAGACCUUCGUCUGUAGCGUAGAACUGUCGGUCGGGUUGCGGUUGCGGUUGGCCGGCCGUUUUACGCUGCCUCCUCGUCCCUUCGCCGGCUUCGCCACCGGCUGGGGCGGCGCCAAUCCGGGCCGGCAGGCGGGGGGCGGCGGCAUGGCAGCGGUUGCGGGCGAGAUGGCAGCGGCGGCAGCGGCUGCGGCGGCGGCGGGGUUGUCGCCAUCGGCCAUGGCGGCGCCGGACGGCGGGGGCGGCAAUGGCCGGGAGGCUCGCGGGCGGGCGGGAAAGGAAAUGAAGUGGCGGUUGGGCGUUCGCGAGCGGCGGCUGGUUUUGGACUAGAUGCACCUCGUGAUGUAAAUUUGCACCGCGAGGUGUUGUAUUUUACAUCAUGAGGCCGCCGUCCAAUUUUUUUUACAUAUAGACCGUCUAUUGUAGCAGCGUUUUUUGCCCCAGACGGUUCAAAAGUUAGGUAUUUUUACAUUUGAACCGUCUAUUGAAGAUGCUCUAAGCACGCCCAUAGACUACAAAGCAAAGUAAAGCAUGCAUAUGCAGAGCACUUCCGUUCAGCAAAGCAUUCAUUCAAGAUCAACAUUCCCAAGACUCUACAUAACUAAAACAUACAAAGAAGCCACAGUACUUAAACAAGGGUCGAAAACAGAUGCGAUGUUUGACUUUGCUUGCAAUGAUAUUUCUAUGUUAUCAUAACAAGAAACCCAUCCUUUUCACCAGAAGAAAAAACACAGGACACCCCAUAGUGGCACACACGAUGCGAUGUUUGACAUUGCUUGCGUUGACUUGAAUUUAUUUUUCUAUGUUUCUCAGAGAAACCAAACAAGACACGACAUAGAAAACGAGGCCAUUUUUUAAACCUGAACAAGAAACAGCUUCGCCAACAACAAUAAACUAAACCAAUUCAUGAUCUGUCGGAUCUGCAUUACAAAGGGCACAAGUGUUUUCCAAGCCAAGAGUAGUGUUGCUGUUGUGCAGACUAAACCAAUGUCACUGCAGUUGCUUAUUACGGGUAAAUUGGAGUAAAAACGAACAAAAACAAGGAUCCCUCAGCAGGAGCUGGCACACUCCUGCUCGUGAGCAAGUCUCGGGCGAACAGCUGAAACCCAAAAAAUUUAACUUGUACAGAGCGGUGGUAACACCUCGUCAUCAGGCAUUCUCGCUGGCGAUCUUCUCUGCCUUGGCGAUGACUUCGUCGAUGCCUCCAACCAUGUAGAACGCGUGCUCCGAGAUGUCGUCGUACUUGCCGUCCAAAACACCCUGCACGAUUCACCAGGCACGUUAGCAAAGCGCACACAGUAUAAACGAG